UGUUCGCAAACAAUAUACUCAGAUGUUCAGAUGGUGUAUAUAUCUGAGUUAUUUUUAUUUCUAUUUUUAAAGGGAUGGCAUGGGACAACAUUGAGCUAACUUCAUUGAAAUGCAAGUCUGCAAUAUGAAGACCUGUAAUCUGGUGACUGAAGGUGAACACUUUGCGGAUGCUCAAAUCAAAGAUGUUGUUUGUCAAUGACGCGGUGCAGGCAGAACAGUUUGAUGAUGUACUGAUGAAUAUCUAUUGGAGUAACGCUACAUGUUCUGGAUCAUUUAAUCAUAUGUUUUAGCGUUAAAAGUAUGAGAUUGAAUAUCUUUUCUUUCAUGAAAAUUGAAUUGAGGGCAAGCACAAGGAAAAAAAAUAGUGCUAGACAUUAUUUUUGUUUUUCUUAUCGAGGCCAAAAUGUCUUAAUUACAGAGAUCUUCCAAUAUUUUUCUAGUGGGGGUUCUUCCAUUCCUUUUUUUUGAGGAAUUAUGACAGUGAGGGAAGCUCCCCACUGACCUUUAUAUUUCUCAUUCCUUUUAUUGAGCACAAUGAUGUGAAUCAGGCUUUAAUAAGUUCUAAUACGCAGCGGCACAAUUCAUGCUCACUUGUACUCCCUCCGUUCCUAAAUAUAAGUUUUUCUACAUAUGGAGCAAAAUGAGUGAAUUUACACUCUAAAAUAUGUCUAUAUACAUCCGUAUGUUUCGUUCCUAAAUAUAAGUAGUCAAUUGUUGGAAUAUCAGCUCUUCCUCAAUCUCGCUACAAUAAAAUAUGGGUCUCACUUAAUCCUAAUAGCGUUCUUAUUUUCUCUAAAAUUAUUCGCUUGCUUACUCCUAACAAAUGGGGUCCACACUUAUCAUUGUGAGAUAGAUAGAGUUGACAUGUGGGUAUAGGGGUAUUUUGUCAUAUAACAUGGUCAAUGAGUUUGACCUGACAAUAACAAUGUCUAAUGGCAUUUCUGAGCAAACAUCUAAUGGAAUGAUGGCAAUUUUCAGAUAUCUAAUGGCAUUUUUGAGAAAACAUCUCAUGGAACGAUGGCAUUUUUGAGCGUUUGUAAUUUUUAGUGGCAAAACUGAGCAGUGAGACACAAUUAGUGGCAUAAAUGAUAAAAACCCUUUAAUCUAUCCUCACUUAGCUCAAAAAAAAAAACAUUCACCACACCUAAUACCAAAAUAACAGUUCCACUAGAGAUGCAGUGUCAUGUGCCGUUGAAAUGAAAUGCACCGAGCACAUUCAUAUUUAUCCUAGAUCAGUUUUCAGCAUGAACUUUUUCCAUCCAUCGCUGAAUUAAUUAUGAUUAUCAGGAUUUCCUGUACCACAAAAAACUCAAUUAGAAAAACACAACUUUGUUUCUGCUAUAAGGAAAUUCAUCAUAAUGGCAAAGGGUGCAAAAUAUGAGACCAAAAAUGCGCAUGAAAACCUGGCAAUGAUCUGUUCAAAUAAACAAUACAAGUUCUCAAAGAAACUAUGUCGAACUUUCAAGAAACACUUGAUGAAGAAACAACAUGACAGCAGUAUUAACAAAAUCUUGAAUAGGAAAGGAUGUUCUAAACAACAGCAGGUUCCCAUGAAUUAUGAUUUUGAAUGCAAAGAAGAUAGCUACAAGAAUUUCUUGUUCUCAAUACAAGUCUAUUGUGGAUAAUAACACACAUGUCCAGGAUAUUUUGUUACAACAAAGGAUAUAUGGUAGGCUGACCUGAUAUAUGUAUGGCAAGAAGAAAUCAAGGAUUUCUCAGAAUUCAACCAGAAAUGAUCAUCAAUAUUUUUCCCUGAAGAACGAUGUCAACCGCGUCAAUUCCUAAAAGAUGUAUAAAGAAGUUUGUUUGUUUACUUGGUUUAGAGGAAGAACCCAAUAAACAGGGCAAGCUGUCAUAGCCCUAGAAUUUGGUUGCAGAUAGUGGCAUUGCAUCCAUGCAUCAUGUCUAAAGUUAUGUGAAAUUGAAAUGGGGAUUGAUCCAAACCCUAGCACCAAAAUUAAAUCAACUAGGUUCAACUAAAAAUUGCAUUCAAUGAACCCAAAAUGCCUUCAUUAAUGUUUGAUAUUUUUGGCAAGGCUUCGAGUCCAAACAAAAAAUGGUGAACAUUUUUGUGGAAUAUUCUGGGCACUGAAUUUAAAUCAUUACUGUAUUUUGCAUUUGGAAUUAUAUUCAUAAUAUAUAAAAAUAUAUUUUCAAAAGCCCUGAAAUAUUUUAUGUGCAUCUGGAAAUGACCAAUGUGCAACAUAAAAAUAUUUAGAGGAAUCUUUGGCACUAAUUGAAGUCAUUUUGAUUUCAAACAGUGGCAAAUAAAUAAAAAGAAAACAGAACAAAAUAAAACAGAGCAGAAACCUCACCUGGCUUACCUGGUCUGCUCCUGUAGCAGAGGCCCAGCCCACCAGGUGCCGUCGUCCUCCUGGCGCCAGUCGGCCAGGCGCGUGGGCGACGCGCGCACGCACGCACGCCACGCCACGCCACCAGGGUGCCUGCCUGCCUCCUCCUGCCAGCGAGACGUCGCGAGCACCGCCCGGAGCCGUCUGGCUCUUCCUCUCUCUUCCUGGAGCUCUUCCCCCUCCUCUGGUUCUCUCACCCUUGUUGUUCCCCACCUCAACGAACCGCGCCGCCGUGAUCGGCGAGCUCCACCAUGGCCGCAGCCACUCCCUCGCUCCCUCUCCGCGUCCUCGAGCUCCGCCCCGACCCCGUGGAGCAACACACCUGACACAUGCGACCAGAAGAGGCCCAGUCGGCCGGAGCGUCUUCGUCUUCACCUCUGGUGCCCGGAGAUCGAAUCCGUCGAUUCGCCUCGUCCAGAGCGUUCCCGAGGCCGCUGACCUACCCUGUCGCAUCCCUGUGAGCUCCUGCUCCUUCCCCUUGCUCAUCCCCUCCGUUUCCGUGCCCUAGCUGCCUCUCCCACCAUGGCCGCAAGCUUCUCGCCGCCGGCCAUGAGGUCGACGUGGCCAGAGCCCGAACCAGCCGCUCCCGCAUGCGUCAUCGUUCCCCUUGCCUCUCCAGGAGCCCGUAGCCACCACCAGAUCUUCCCCACGUGCCCUAUAGCCGCCACCCGAGCUCACCCGAGCUUCGGCCACCGCCACGAGCUCGUCUCCGGCGAGUACGACGCACCACAACCGCUGCUGCUUGCUCCGUUGGAUGCGGAUGAGCACCAGCUUCACGCAGAGCCCCUCUGCCACUCGUUUGGUCGCCGGAGGAGCAAACCCGACGCGCUCCGCCGUCUCUGGCUUCACCGGCGACGAGCCGCCGGCCUAAUUCCGGUUUAGUUAGUACUAAUGACUCCACUGAACACCCCAGAGCCACUGCUAUGUGGGCCCUUGUGCCUGUUUAGGUUAGUUUAAUUCCUGUUUAGAUUAGUGCUAAUCUUGCGGACCCUGUUGGAACCGCAACCCUCUAGCUACCUCUUCUCUCACUCGAACGAAGGUGGAAGAAAAAGAACAGUGAACAAAAGAUUUUCCGGCCGGCGCACGAACGCCCCAAUCCUUUUCUUCCUUACAGUAGCUACAUGGCUACACAUGGCUCAUACCGACGCUCGGUGGCACAUACCACACCGCAAUCAGCAAUACAGGGGGUCUUUUAUGCCCCGGCACACACACACACACACUCUGGCACGGUGUGAUCCGCUCGGCCCGGCCACCCCUCACAACGAUAUCACACGAAGGACUCGGUUGCUCUCAACAGCCCAUGCAUGCAUGACUCAGCACGCAGCCACACCUCUAGCUAGCUUAUCCAUGCAAACUAACUAAUUUCCUAGCCUGCAGCAUGCGCCAUACACACACACACGCUGGUCAUCACACCUAGACAUGGUUUAAUCCUAACACUCCCCCUAAACCAUGACUUGGCUUGCCAUCGCCAGAGUUAUCGCAGCUCUCGUCGUUGUGGUCACCACAGCCGUGACCCAGCCGGCGGACCCGACCCGGCGCACCGACGCCGGUCGCACCGCCACGGACCCGACCUGGCGCACUGACUUCGGUCGCACCGUGCUCCGUCAUGACCCAGCGACAUACACCGAGCUCCUUCUCCGCCGGCGACACACGCUUGGUGUCCCUCUGCGUCCCGCACGUCCCGCGCGCACUUGACGCGCCCGACGAGCCCGACCGCACCAAUGCGUCCCGCACAUCCCCAACCCGCCCGACGAGCCCGACCGCACCAGACGCUCAUCGCGCGCCGCCUCCGCGUCCGCCAUGGCAGCCACCAGCGACAAACGCCGGAAGGAUGUAGCCGAACUCGAGCACGGACUCGAGCACAACAGCGACAUACGCCUCCUCCCAACGUCAACCGCACGCUCGUAGGCGCGCCAGCGGUCCUGACGCGCCCGACGCGUCCAGUGCGCACCCAUAACACACACCAGUCGCGCCCGGCUCGCCGCCACGGCCUAUUGCCCUGCACCGCUACGGCCUCAACCGCAGCGCAACACCUCCAUGCCUCCAUGCCGCUGUGUGUCGUUGAAGCCGCCACCACGCAGGUCCUCCGCGGCCACCCCACUGUGCCGCUGCAGCCCCCCGCGGCCUCCUCGCCACGCCGCGCACCUCCAUAGACCGACACAUGGCCCGGAGCAUCGCGCAGCCGCCGGCGAACUCCGCCACCGCCGGCACGCCUCCGACAAGGAGAACGCCACCCAAGAUGAACCAGUUCAUGAUACCAAUUGCCGGAACCGCAACCCUCUAGCUAUCUCUUCUCUCACUCGAACGGAGGUGGAAGAAAAAGAACAGUGGACAAAAGAUUUUCCGGCCAGUGCACGAACGCCGCCACGGGCGCACGAACGCCCCAAUCCUUUUCUUCCUUACAGUGGCUACAUGGCUGCUCAUACCGACGCUUGGUGGCACAUACCACACUGCAAUCAGCAAUACAGGGGGUCUUUUAUGCCCCGGCACGCACACACACUCUGGCACGGUGUGAUCCGCUUGGCCCGGCCACCCCUCACAACGAUAUCACGCGAAGGACUCGGCUGCUCUCAACAGCCCAUGCAUGCAUGACUCAGCACGCAGCCACACCUCUAGCUAGCUUAUCCAUGCAAACUAACUAAUUUCCUAGCCUGCAGCAUGCACCAUACACACACACGCUGGUCAUCACACCUAGACGUGGUUUAAUCCUAACAGACCCCACAUGUCAGCUUUGAUUUUGACCAAGUCAACGUUGACCGGUCCCACCCGUCAUCCACCCAAACCAGCCCUGAGUCACUUACCAGUGUGCCCCACUGGUCAGGUUUGACCCAGACCAGCCCAGUUGACCUGCUGACGCCAGGCUUACAUCAUGCUGACCUCAUAAUCAUUUUCUGGCGAUUUUAUAUUUCAGAAAUAAAUUAUAAAAUCCAAAAAAUUGUUUAAACUUCUAAAAAUCAUAGAAAAUAAACCGUAACUCCAAAUGAUAUAGUUUAUAUAUGAAAAAUUAUUAGAAAAAUUCAAAGAAUCUGAAUACGGAAUUUUCAUGCAUGUUUGAACAAGUUAACCUCACUAAAUAGGACAAUUCAUGAUUAUGGAAUAAAUGGUAAUUAGUUUUGGAGUUGGAAUUUGCUAUAGGUUUUGCUAUAGGUUUGAUUAUGGAAUAAAUGAUUAUGACUAACUGUUGCACUAGGUCAAUUCAGUACCUUAAUAUGACAUAUCAUUCAUAUGAAUGUGCAUUGCAUUGAUUGUGGUUCCUUUCGUGUUUGCCUGUGGUUGUUCCCUCUUAGUCGACGAUGUUUCUGACGACGUGAUCGAUGACACCGAUGAAGAGCUAUACUAUCUUCAGAAGUGCCAGGCAAGCAACCCCACCCCCCUUGUUCAUCUCGAUACAAUCCCACUCUCUCGCUCCUGCUCUCUUUUACUGCAUUAGGACAACAACGAUUCAACUGUUACAUGCUGCGGUAGUUGAACCCCUCUCCUCUGCAUGACCUGUCAUUGCCACAACAAAUAGAUGAAACCCACUAGCAUGAGUAGGAGUUGUUUGAGCCCUGAUGUGCCUACUCAUACAUGCUUGUUUGUCAUGCCUGCUACUGCUUAGAGUUGAGUAAGGGCUGAUUCAUCGGGGAUGAACUGGAAUGUGUGAACAUGUCCUACUAUUGAGAGCUAAGUGUGUGAACAUGAUUUGGUAGAGGUAUCGGUGAGAGGCCAUGUAGGAGUACAUGGUGGGUUGUCUCAUUGAAGCCGUCCUCAGGAACUGAGUUCUGUGUUUGUGAUCCAUGAAUAGCUACUACCACGUGUUGGGCCCGAAACCAAUGGACCCUCUCGACUUAUUAACUGCCCCUGUCAUCUGUCCAGGAGUUGCAAGUAGUUUCUGGUGUUCGUAGUAUGCUGGAGGCCGUGCGCAGCACUCACCCGAGGGGUGGGCUGUGAGGCGGUAGGCACGUGGCACGGUGUACCAGGUCGCCCGUUUGGUGUCUUGGGAACCCUGCACACAACUUUCGGGGCCGUAAGUGGAAACCUCGGCCGGACUCCCUUCAGAUGGAACCUGAAUAGGCGAUAAGCCCAGACUAGGGAUUUGUGUGGUUAGUCAGGCCAUGGCCGACACCCUCGUCGGGCUUCCGCUUGAAGGUUGCCGAGUACAUGUCGUGUAAACGGCGAUAAGUGGUGAGAGCAUGUGUGAAGAAGUACACCCCUGCAGGGUUAACAUCAUCUAUUCGAAUAGCCGUGUCCGCGGUAAAGGACUUCUGGGUUGCCUGUACAGUUCAUAGAUAACUUGAAGUGGAUACUCUAAAACUCGCAAGAUAAGCGUGAUUGCUAUGGAUGGCGUUCUCGUAGGUAGACGGGAGCGGAUCCAUAGUGGUGUAUUGGUAUGGUGAAUAUGUGGACUCGUGUGCACCACCUCAAAGAGUUAAUUGCAGUCGUAGUUCAGGAUAGCCACCGAGUCAAAGCUGGCUUGCUGCUGUCAAACUCCACCACCCCUUUGUUGAUACCGAUGCAUAUGUAGUUAGUUCUGAUGUAAGUCUUGCUGGGUACAUUUGUACUCACGUUUUCUUAUUUUAUGUUUUGUAGAGAGACUCCAGUCUCACUAGUAGUUCCGCAUGGACUUCGAUGUUUAGCUUGUUACCUCAGCUACGAUCUUGUACCCUUGGGAGGGUCUUGUAGAUAGUCAGGCUUCUCAGCCUUUUUCAUUUGUAGUUGUCUGCACUCAGACAUGUUUAUGCUUCUGGUUGAUACUUGUAUGCUCUGUAUGUUGGGUCAUGAGACCCAUGUUUGUCAUACUUGGCUCCUCGGAGCCUAAUCACUAGUGCAGAACCGGGAAAUAGCACCGGUUCGUAAGGCCCUUUAGUGCCGGUUUAGUAACCGGCACUAAAGUGUGGGCACUAAAGCCCCCCCCCUUUAGUACCGGUUCAACACGAACCGGUGCUAAAGGGAAACCACGUGGCAUGAGCCAGCUCCGGGGGCCGGGAGCCCUUUAGUACCAGUUGGUAACACCAACCGGUACUAAAUGUUUGUGGGUUUUUGUUUUAUUUUGUAUUUUUCAAUUAAAUUUGUGUUAUCAAUUUAAUUUAGGAUUGUUUUACAUUAUAAUGAGUUGUAGUCGUCAUCAUCAUCAUCAUCAUCGCAUAUUAAUAAAUAAAUAAACUCUAGCUAGCUAAAAAUCAUCGUAGUCGUCUAAUUACCACUAUUUAAUCAUCAUAGUCAUUACCGCUAGCUAUCUAAUCAUCACCAACACUGGCUAGCUUAAAGAGGAAACAUUCACUUUGUAGCAGAAGCAAAGAUAUCAUGGAGUUCAACAUAAUGAUCACCAACAUCGAAGUUCAGGACACGGACAUGAGACAAGUACUAAUUAAUUAAGAGCAUGAACUAGUAGCUACUCCUGAUGCUCCCUCUCAGGUAGAAUAGCAUAGAGCAUGUAUAGCUCUCCUGAUUCAUCAUACUGGAGCAUGCAGAUGAAUCUGUCUCCUAAUCUUGGGUUGCGCUUCUCCUUGCUGCCCCCUAGUACUUCUCUGCGAUCGUUAACAAUUUUGCUCCAAUCUUUCACUAUUAAGCAUUCUUCGCUUUCAGAAAUCCUGAAUGCACUCAUGUGCAAUGUAGGAUAUCUUGGCCGUAAGCUAACUAUUGACAUGUCACCUUUAGUCUCGAUCCACUGAGGCACAACUGUCAUCGGAAGUCCCUGUUGAAGAACAUCGUAUAGUAAUUAAUAUACUAAGCAAUGAAAGUUUAGCUUCAAAAAUAAUGUAUGCAAAAGAUGCACUAAUUAAGGACAAAUAGUUAAAAUCUUAUCAUCUUUCGAUUAUAGAUGUGACCGUAGUUCAAUACGAUCACCAUUGGUCGCACGUUUUGAGUACUAACAUUUCUAAGUUCAGGAAAAAAAUUUGUCUUGACAGUAUUAAGAUCCUCAAGCCAUGAAACAUAAUGACUUAUCUCCUCGCAGUUUAGUUGAGCCCCGGGGCAAUAGUAGGUCCUGUCUACCAAGCGCCGGACAUGUUUGCUUGAACCGAAAUAAGCUGACAAUACAAAUUAGUUGUCAACUAUUUUUGAAUAAACUGUAUCAAAGACAUAAACAUAUGCAUGCAUGGUUGAGAAAAACUCACAUAAUGGUAGAACUGGAGGCGUUUGCACAUUGACCCAGAUGUCUAUAUUACCUUCAAUAUCAUCUUCCGGACGAAUAUCAAAGGUGAUAACCAUAUCAGGCUCAAAUGCAUAAGCUUUGCAUAGUGCUUGCCAAGUUUUGCAUUCAAAAUGGGCGUAUGUGUCUCCAUUAUAUAAUUUGACGUUGAAAGUAUACCCAUGCUCCGUCUUCAAGUAAACUCUCUUUACCUCCAUAUCAUCUAUAGCACUAAAACCUAUCUUAUCCAAGACAAAAAUUCUUGCAUGACAGGGGAUGCGCUAGUAGAAUAGUGAAAACUUAAAAUUAUAAGUUGAAGCAAAUGAAGCAUACGUUUUGCAUUCAAAUAAUAAUUGACAAAGUGACUUACUGUAUCAACUUCGAAUGUCUCAUCCAGCUUGAUGCUGAAGCGCCUACCAUCAACAAGGAAAUUUCUGUCGCACAGGCCGCGCUGGUCUUCACAGUGUUCGCACAUAAUGAAAUCUUUUUCGUCGUCAGAUGACAUUUCCUAUGUUCAUAUAGGUGAAACAUUAAACACCUAUUACUAUCUAACAUUAAUUAAUAUCUAGCUAAAUAUAUAUUCAUCUAACAUUUGACAUUAAUAUAUCUAACUAUAUUCAUCUCUAACAAUUGGCAUUACUAUACAUUUAAUUUUUCUAUCUAAUUCAUCUAACAUUCGACAUUAAUCUAACAUUUAUAUAAACUCAAAAUAUAUAAAAAAUUAAAUAAACAGAAAAACUCAUUAACAAAUAAUAUUUUAAUUAGAUCAUCAAAUCUCAGAUACCUAAAUUUUCUUACUAAAAAUAAACUAGUUAUAUUAAUUAUUGAACUAGUUCAAAUCUCAUAUACCUAAAUAAACUAGUUAUAUUAAUUAUUGAACUAGUUCAAAUCUCAUAUACCUAAAUAAACUAGUUCAACAAUUUUCUUACUAAAAAAUAUGACCUCAAGCUCAACCCGGAAAAAUGCGUUUUCGGCAUUCCAGCUGGAAAGCUCUUGGGCUUCAUUGUAUCCGGUAGAGGAAUUGAAGCAAAUCCAGCCAAGAUUCGAGCUCUGUCACAAUUGGAUAUCCUGAAGGACCUCAAACAAAUACACAAAUUAACCGGAUGCGUGGCAGCUCUAAGCCGCUUUAUCUCCCGCUUAGGAGAAAAGGCCCUACCCCUUUACCGCCUCCUUCGGUGCACCGAACACUUCGAGUGGACGGAUGCAGCCACGGCCGGACUCGACGAAAUAAAAGCCAUCCUGGCAACAAACCCAGUCCUGGCCGCGCCAAACAUUGGCGAACCAAUGCUGUUAUACAUUGCAGCAACCCAUCAGGUCGUAAGCGCAGUGCUCGUCGUCGAACGAGAGAAACGGACAGACACAAAUUCCCCCUUCAAAAGCCGGUCUACUAUGUGUCCACUGUCCUUACUCCGUGCAAGUCACGGUACCCGCAUUAUCAAAAGAUUGCGUACGCGGUAUUUAUGGCAUCCCGGAAGCUGCGACACUACUUUCAAGAGUGUUCAAUAACAGUAGCCUCGGAAGUGCCACUUAACGAUAUUAUAAACAACCGUGACGCGACGGGCCGGAUUGCAAAAUGGGCCAUUGAGUUCCUCCCAUUCGACAUAACUUACAAGCCACGGCGAGCUAUCAAGUCGCAAGUUUUGGCCGACUUCGUCGCAGAAUGGACGGAGGCCGAACUCCCUAAAGAGUACGACACAUAUUCAAAUUGGGUCAUGCACUUCGACGGCUCCAAAAUGUUGGCCGGUCUAGGGGCUGGCGUCGUUUUGAUGUCCCCCACAGGAGACACAGUUCAAUACAUACUCCAAAUAAUGUACACAGACUCCAACAAUGCAGCCGAAUACGAGGCCGUUUUACAUGGUCUCCAGAUGGCAGUAUCCAUGGGCAUUCAACGCCUAGAGGUGCGCGGGGACUCGAACCUCGCAAUAUCCCAAAUAAAUGGAGACUUUGAUGCCAAGGAUCCAAAAAUGUCAGCUUAUCGCAACGCCGUCCUAAAAAUGUCAGCUCGGUUCGAAGGGCUUGAAUUUCACCAUAUAGCCCGGGAAAAUAAUCAGGUGGCAGAUGUCCUGGCACGCAUCGGCGCAAAACGCGAUGUAGUCCCCCCCAACAUCUUCCUGGAAAGGCUGUUCAAGCCAUUCGUAGUAUGGGAAGGGGAACCCGGCAAUAACAGCCCGGACCCAACCGCACUGCCCGACACCGAACACUCUGACAUAAUUGGAGGCUCUGCCAAUGAAAUAACACUUUCAGCCCAGGUAAUAAUGGCCGUCAUUGCUCUGUGGACAGAACCAUUCCUCGCCUACCUUACUAGGCAGGAACUCCCCGAGGACCAAAAUGAGGCACGCUGCAUAGUGCGGCGAUCUAAAGCCUAUAAAGUCCAUGAGGGAGAGCUUUAUAAGAAAAGCACUACCGGAGUCCUUCAAAGGUGCAUCUCCGAAGAGGAAGGGAGGAACCUCCUGGCUGAAAUUCAUGCCGGACUCGGCGGUCAUCAUGCUGCAGCUUGGUCCCUUGUAAGCAAGGACUUCCGCACAGGCUUUUAUUGGCCGACGGCCCGAGCAGACGCCCAGGACUUAGUCCAACGAUGCGUCGGUUGCCAGCUUUUUGCAAACCAAAGCCAUAUGCCACCCACCGCCCUCCAAACUAUCCCCAUCACUUGGCCCUUCGCGGUCUUGGGGCUUGACAUGGUUGGACCCCUUAAAGGCGGAACCCACAAGAAAAAAAUACUUACUGGUCAUGGUGGAUAAGUUCACCAAAUGGAUAGAAGCCAAGCCUGUUAAGACGGCCGAAUCCGGACCGGUGAUAGACUUUAUAUCCGGGGUUGUACACCGUUACGGCGUCCCCCACAGCAUCAUCACUGAUAACGUCACGAACUUUACGGUCGACAAGGUAAAACUCUGGUGCAAAAGCAUGGGCAUCAAGCUCGAUUAUGAUUCCGUCUAUCACCCACAAACUAACGGCCAGGUCGAACGUGAAAAUGGUCUUAUCAUGAGCGGCAUCAAACCCAGAUUAGUGCGGUCCCUUAAGGAAUCUAAUACGCACUGGGUAGAGGAGCCCGACUCCGUACUCUAGGGGCUGCGGACCACGCCGAAUCGCACCACCGGAUACACACCAUUCUUCAUGGUGUACGGCGCAAAGGCAGUUCUGCCCUGCGACAUAAUUCAUGACUCACCUCAAGUGCGCAUGUACGAAGAAAGAGAAGCCGAGCUCGAUCGGCAGGACAGUUUGGACGCCUUGGAGGAAGAGCGUGACGUGGCAAAAGCCCGUUCCGCAUUCUAUCAACAGCAGGCUCGAAGAUACCAAAGCGGAGAAGUACGGGCCAAAAAUUACAACAUUGGCAAACUAGUUCUACGUCUGCCGGACAAGAAAAAGGACAAACUCAAGCCCAAGUGGGAAGGUCCCUUCAUAAUUGACCAAGUCCUGACUGGUGGAGCGUACCGCCUGCGAGAUGCAUCGGAUAACCGACUCGAGCCGAACCCAUGGAACGCAGCCCGCCUCCGAAGAUUCUAUGCCUAGCGCCGGACUCUGUGUUCGUUUCCUUACUCUGUCCAUUUUUAUAUACUUUCUGUCUUACAUUUCUCUCCUUCUCCUCUUUCUCUCUCCUAUAGCCUUUAAAGGCUCAUACAGUGACGCGCUAUCCGCGCUCAUUAAACCUGUGGGCUUCUUUACACAGAAGCUUAUACGGGCUUUCAUGCCCAACACAUGCGUCACACUUCCGCAUGUACCUUUUAUUCGCCAGUAUAUGCAUCAAUAUGACUUAAGUUUUGGCCAAGCUGGGUUGCCUGGCUCCUGUGCUUACCCCUACGUUCUCGAUUGUUCGGCUAGGUGGUAAAGGGAGCACCUCUGCGAUUGUUACUGCCGGGUCAGCCGGAUGUGUACCUCAGACUGGGUGAAGCCGAAAGCUAGCGUUCUUAAGGGAAUAUUCGGUCGGUGAACUAAAGAUGAUCUUUUUUUAUUUAUCUAUACGCCCCCAGAUGUUUUUCCUGCGUCUCUUUUCGCAGAAUGGACAUGCACUUUAGGGCAUGCCUCCCAGGGAAAGGAACCCCUAACGGAACUAUUCUCCCUGGAAGAUGUUUCUUACUAACCAUGUAAUAUAACAUAACUAGUUGGGCACUUGUCUGUUCAAGCACUAAUGACCCCUACGCCUGGUCUCCAUGCAUACCCCGGUUCUUAUAUAACCGCGAGGGUAUUUGGACACACUCCGGACCAUCAGGUCCCGAGGUUGAAGCGAAAAGGUCGGCCAUGAAAAACGAUCUACAAUCCGGCUAGAAGGCAUUACACAUGUCAAUUAUAAUUACAUAGUCAAUCUGACUGAUUGUAUUCCUCUUCAAUACCAUCUAACAGGCUAUCUAGUUUACAUUUCUGUUGGGAAUACUUUGCGGCCAAUUCUACUUGGCCGUAUACUAAGCUCACAGGCAUCUCCUUCCCAUCGGGCCCCACGGGUCCGACCUCGGCCAUGUGGUUUGGGUCAGCCUUCGUGUACCGCGUCUUCACCAUGGCCCAGGCCUCCCUGGCGCCUUGACGGCAGGCCGACAUCUUCCACAAUCGGAAGCGCCGCUGCGCUCCCUUCAGCUUCUCUACAAGCUCUCCAAGGCCUUCGGGCAUGGAGACGGAUGGCCAUAGGGCCUGGGCGACGCUUUGCAUCACCUGCCGAACUCGCUCGUGCAGUUGUGAGAGCUCGGGAAGAAGGUCACCCGUAGAACCGGGCAUUUCCUCUGCAGGAUGACCUGUUAGCAUACCUACAGACAUUACUCUUUUAGUCGACUUCCUUGCCGAACUCUUUUUUCAAAAGUUCGUUUAAGCACUUACUAUAUUGUUGGGUUUCGUAGUAAUUUCAAAAAUUUUCCUACGCGCACACAGGAUCAUGUGAUGCAUAGCAACGAGAGGAGAGUGUUGUCUACGUACCCAACGCAGACCGACUGCGGAAGCAAUGACACGACGUAGAGGAAGUAGCCGUACGUCUUCACGAUCCAACCGAUCAAGCACCGAAACUACGGCACCUCCGAGUUCGAGCACACGUUCAGCUCAAUGACGAUCCCCGGACUCCGAUCCAGCAAAGUGUCGGGGAAGAGUUUCGUCAGCACGACGGCGUGGUGACGAUCUUGAUGAACUACAGCAGCAGGGCUUCGCCUAAACUCCGCUACAGUAUUAUCGAGGAAUAUGGUGGCAGGGGGCACCGCACACGGCUAAGGAAUCGAUCACGUGGAUCAACUUGUGUCAACUUGUGUGUCUAUGGGGUGCCCCCUGCCCCUGUAUAUAAAGGAUGGAGGAGGAGGAGGCCGGCCAAGGCAAAGGUGCGGCCAGGAUAGGGAGUCCUACUAGGACUCCAAGUCCUAGUAGGAGUCCACCAAGAGGGGAGGAAGGGAGAAGGAAUAGGAGGAGAAGGAGAGGUGGCCGGCCCCCUUUUCCCUAGUCCAAUUCGGACCAAAGGGGAGGGGGGGCGCAGCAGCCUUUUUCCUCUUCCCACUAAAGCCCAUUAAGGCCCAUUACUUCUCCCGUAACUACCCGGUACUCCGAAAAAUANNNNNNNNNNNNNNNNNNNNNNNNNNNNNNNNNNNNNNNNNNNNNNNNNNNNNNNNNNNNNNNNNNNNNNNNNNNNNNNNNNNNNNNNNNNNNNNNNNNNNNNNNNNNNNNNNNNNNNNNNNNNNNNNNNNNNNNNNNNNNNNNNNNNNNNNNNNNNNNNNNNNNNNNNNNNNNNNNNNNNNNNNNNNNNNNNNNNNNNNNNNNNNNNNNNNNNNNNNNNNNNNNNNNNNNNNNNNNNNNNNNNNNNNNNNNNNNNNNNNNNNNNNNNNNNNNNNNNNNNNNNNNNNNNNNNNNNNNNNNNNNNNNNNNNNNNNNNNNNNNNNNNNNNNNNNNNNNNNNNNNNNNNNNNNNNNNNNNNNNNNNNNNNNNNNNNNNNNNNNNNNNNNNNNNNNNNNNNNNNNNNNNNNNNNNNNNNNNNNNNNNNNNNNNNNNNNNNNNNNNNNNNNNNNNNNNNNNNNNNNNNNNNNNNNNNNNNNNNNNNNNNNNNNNNNNNNNNNNNNNNNNNNNNNNNNNNNNNNNNNNNNNNNNNNNNNNNNNNNNNNNNNNNNNNNNNNNNNNNNNNNNNNNNNNNNNNNNNNNAAUAUAGUCGUCCAAUAUAUCGAUCUUUACGUCUCGACCAUUUCGAGACUCCUCGUCAUGUCCCCGAUCUCAUCCGGGACUCCGAACUCCUUCGGUACAUCAAAACUCAUAAACUCAUAAUAUAACUGUCAUCAAAACCUUAAGCGUGCGGACCCUACGGGUUCGAGAACAAUGUAGACAUGACCGAGACAUGUCUCCGGUCAAUAACCAAUAGCGGGACCUGGAUGCCCAUAUUGGCUCCUACAUAUUCUACGAAGAUCUUUAUCGGUCAGACCGCAUAACAACAUACGUUGUUCCCUUUGUCAUCGGUAUGUUACUUGCCCGAGAUUCGAUCGUCGGUAUCCAAUACCUAGUUCAAUCUCGUUAACGGCAAGUCUCUUUACUCGUUCCGUAAUACAUCAUCUCACAACUAACAUAUUAGUUGUAAUGCUUGCAAGGCUUAUGUGAUGUGUAUUACCGAGAGGGCCCAGAGAUACCUCUCCGACAAUCGGAGUGACAAAUCCUAAUCUCGAAAUACGCCAACCCAACAUCAACCAUUGGAGACACCUGUAGUACUCCUUUAUAAUCACCCAUUUACGUUGUGACGUUUGGUAGUACCCAAAGUGUUCCUCCGGUAAACGGGAGUUGCAUAAUCUCAUAGUCGUAGGAACAUGUAUAAGUCAUGAAGAAAGCAAUAGCAACAUACUAAACGAUCAGGUGCUAAGCUAAUGGAAUGGGUCAUGUCAAUCAGAUCAUUCUACUAAUGAUGUGACCUCGUUAAUCAAAUAACAACUCAUUGUUCAUGGUUAGGAAACAUAACCAUCUUUGAUUAACGAGCUAGUCAAGUAGAGGCAUACUAGUGACACUCUGUUUGUCUAUGUAUUCACACAUGUAUUAUGUUUCCGGAAAAUACAAUUCUAGCAUGAAUAAUAAACAUUUAUCAUGAUUAUAAGGAAAUAAAUAAUAACUUUAUUAUUGCCUCUAGGGCAUAUUUCCUUCAUAUAUAUGCCGCGUCGAAGCCGCUGAUUCUCCUUCACGGAGUCCAACAGCUGGGCACGAACAUCCUUCAGUUCAACGCCUAGCUUGGUGUUGGCAUCUUGGAGAUUGUUCUUCUCCCGCCUCACCUUUGUCGGCACGCUCUCACCAGCCUUCAGCUGGCGUCGGAGUUGUUGCUCUUCUGGAUUUAAUCCGGCGCCAUCUACAAUUUCAUUUGUCAGAUUUGCACCCACGCCGCACUUCGCAAAAUACUUAUCUUUCGAAGCGUAUAUUACCAGAGGGGGUCUCCUUGGGCUCCCCUGCCGCGACUAGUGCGGCCUCAAGUUGGGCUUUGCACUCUUCCAGCUCCUGGGACAGUAGGGUAUUCUUUUCUGUAAGAACCUGCAUAACAAAUGAUCCUUAAAUCAGUUAUUCUAACUAUUUCAAGUCUCGGGGGCUACUGGUAUAUAUAUAAUUACCAAAAUUUUCUUACCCGUAUGUCUUUUACAUACUGCUCCGUGGCUUUGGCUAGACCAUUUUGAGCGGCACGGAGGUACGCAUCUCCCGAAUUGAAGGCAUCCAAUGCCUCUUGGGAGAAACAAGCGUCGCGAAGAACUGUCCGGCGACGCCUGUGGUUCAUGGCGCUCUCCACCUUGGAAUUGGUGGCAGACAACCUGUCCACAUCCUCUGUCGGAGGAGCAUCCGGUGCGCGCCUUGUGUUCGCCUCCACUUCCGGACCAGGCUUUGGAGCCUAGCUGGUGGAGGCGCGAUUGGCAGCCCCUCCGGAUAUAGUCCGGCGAGGUCUCUUCGUCCUGAAGAGAGCACAAGCGUUAAUAUGCCUUGAAGGAAUAACACCUGGGAAUAAGAUGGCGCGCUAUACCUUUGCGCCGGCGUCUCAGUCUGGAACGCACUUCUUUUCAGCCUGCGGGGCCUUGCCGCCCCUCAUUGGCUAGUCGCCACAGGCUCGGCCUCCCGUCUCAAGGACCUCCCCUGCAAAACACGGUUGUCAUACGGCAAUCGGAAACACGUGAGGAUAGAUCCCUUUUCAAAGUGCUGGGACUUCGGUCUCAAUUACCUGUGAGGCUGGGAGUAGCCCUGGGUAGUCGGCCGUAAUGGCCACCAAGGCGUUGUCCUUGCUCAAUUGAUGAAACACCCCAUCAAUCAGCUCCAUAGAUAAGUCCGGAUCCUCUUGAGAGGCCGGGUCGAGGGACCAUCCCGGAUCCUCGGGUUGUGGAGGAGGGUUGUUUAUUUCUUUAACAGCAUGGCGCAGUUCCUGCGUUGAAGUCGUUAGACUGAAUAUUUAACGAUGGGAAUAUAAAAUGGAUGGGCAAGUAAAAGUGUCCACUUACCCAACUUGGGGGAUUGUACAUAGAAAAUCCACCCUGUGGGUUGACGUGGAGAAAUUCCUCGUCUUCUCCCUUGUACAAAGCGGACAAGGUCUUUAUUAGAGCGGCAGCCGAAUCCGGCCCCUUACAGCCGUAGCGGGUGGCAUCGUCCUCCCCGUUGAAGUCCCACAUGGGGCGGCCUCUAUACUGAAGCGGCUGCACCCCUCGCAGGAUGCAUGCGGCCAUGACCCCGAUCAUGGUCAGUCCGGAAUGAGCUAACAAUCUUAUCCGGCCCAUCAGGUAAAGAACGUCCCUGUCACUUUCCCUCUGAGGGCUCCAUGGACGCCAGCUUAGGCGCUUCUUUAGGGGAGCACUGUCGAACUCAGGGAGGCCGAUCCGGACAGGAUCCGGCAGCGGGACGUCCUCUAUAUAAAACCAUUCCGAGGGCUAGUCCUCGGACGCCUUCUUUGGGGUUCCGGAUAGAUAUCCGGUCCCGGCGAUGCGCCACACUUCGGCUCCGCCCACUUGAUACAUUGACCCCUUCUUAGAGCGGGGCACGAGGCAGAAUAGCCUUUUCCAUAGCACGAAAUGAGCCUCACAGCCCAAAAAUAGCUCGCAAAGGGCCACGAAGCCCGUGAUAUGCAAUAUGGAGGCAGGCGUGAGGUUGUGCAGCUGGAGGCCGUAGAACUCCAGGAGCCCCCGGAGAAACAAAUGAAUUGGAAAUCCGAGCCCUCUUAUUAAGUAAGGGACAAGGCAUACCCGCUCUCCUUUGGAGGGAUUGGGGGCGCUCUCCGCUUGCUCUCCGCCAUUAUAGGUGGCAAGUCCGGCUCGAACCAGGACCAUAUAGGCCGGGGGGAGAAAUCCCUUGGUCUGGAGCGUCACUAGCUCGCUGUGCGGGAUGGAGCACCUCUUCCAAUCUCUAGGCUGAGGACUGGAAGGGCGAGAGGAGGAACUGCGGCGGUCGGCCAUGAUAGAAUGGACCUCUGUCGGAUACGCUCUGAUGAAUACUCGCGGAGGGGAGAAGGUGUGGUUUGGAUCUAAAUCCUCGUCCCCUUAAAUAGGUGGCUCAUUCACGCGGCUAGGGGUGUAAAUAUAAAAAACACCCUGACUUUUCGUAUUCGUUUGACACAUGGAAGACGGCCAUUAUUGGGCGUAGAAGCCAAGGAGCGCUACAAGAAACCGGACAUUAUUUAACAGGUACACGGAAUUUGGAGAACCCGCCUUGCAAUGCCGAAGACAAUUUGCACGCCGGACUCAUCGUCAUUGAAGCCUGGUUCGGGGGCUACUGAGGGAGUCCUGGAUUAGGGGGUGUCCGGAUAGCCGGACUAUACCUUCGGCCGGACUCCUGGACUAUGAAGAUACAAGAUUGAAGACUUCGUCCCGUGUCCGGAAGGGACUUUCCUUGGCGUGGAAGGCAAGCUUGGCGAUACGUAUAUGUAGAUCUCCUACCAUUGUAACCGACUCUGUGUAACCCUAGCCCUCUCCGGUGUCUAUAUAAACCGGAGGGUUUUAGUCCGUAGGACGAACAACAAUCAUACCAUAGGCUAGCUUCUAGGGUUUAGCCUCCUUAAUCUCGUGGUAGAUCUACUCUUGUACUACCCAUAUCAUCAAUAUUAAUCAAGCAGGACGUAGGGUUUUACCUCCAUCAAGAGGGCCCAAACCUGGGUAAAACAUUGUGUCCCUUGUCUCCUGUUACCAUCCGCCUAGACGCACAGUUCGGGACCCCCUACCUGAGAUUNNNNNNNNNNNNNNNNNNNNNNNNNNNNNNNNNNNNNNNNNNNNNNNNNNNNNNNNNNNNNNNNNNNNNNNNNNNNNNNNNNNNNNNNNNNNNNNNNNNNNNNNNNNNNNNNNNNNNNNNNNNNNNNNNNNNNNNNNNNNNNNNNNNNNNNNNNNNNNNNNNNNNNNNNNNNNNNNNNNNNNNNNNNNNNNNNNNNNNNNNNNNNNNNNNNNNNNNNNNNNNNNNNNNNNNNNNNNNNNNNNNNNNNNNNNNNNNNCCCUCCACCCUCAUGGGACCCCUGUUGCUCCACCGACGUACUUCUUCCUCCUAUAUAUACCCACGUACCCCCAAAAGAUCAGACACGGAGCCAAAACCCUAAUUCCACCACCGCAACUUUUUGUAUCCAUGAGAUCCCAUCUUGAGGCUUGUUUCGGAGCUCCGUCGAAGGGGGCACCGAUCACGGAGGGCUUCUACAUCAACACCAUAGCCUCUCCGAUGAAGUGUGAGUAGUUUACUUCAGACCUACGGGUCCAUAGUUAGUAGCUAGAUGGCUUCUUCUCUCUUUUUGGAUCUCAAUACAAUGUUCUCCCCCUCUCUUGUGGAGAUCUAUUCGAUGUAAUCUUAUUUUUGUGGUGUGUUUGUUGAGACUGAUGAAUUGUGGGUUUAUGAUCAAGUCUAUCUAUGAAUAAUAUUUGAAUCUUCUCUGAAUUCUUUUAUGUAUGAUUGGUUAUCUUUGCAAGUCUCUUUGAAUUAUCAGUUUGGUUUGGCCUACUAGAUUGAUCUUUCUUGCAAUGGGAGAAGUGCUUAGCUUUGGGUUCAAUCUUGUGGUGUCCUUUCCCGGUGACAGUAAGGGCAGCAAGGCACGUAUUGUAUUGUUGCCAUCGAGGAUAACAAGAUGGGGUUUUCUUCAUAUUGCAUGAGUCUAUCCCUCUACAUCAUGUCAUCUUGCUUAAGGCGUUACUCCGUUUUUAACUUAAUACUCUAGAUGCAUGCUGGAUAGCAGUCGAUAAGUGGAGUAAUAGUAGUAGAUGCAGGCAGGAGUCGGUCUACUUGUCUCGGACGUGAUGCCUAUAUACAUGAUCAUACCUAGAUAUUCUCAUAAAUAUGCUCAAUUCUGUCAAUUGCUCAACAGUAAUUUGUUCACCCACCAUAGAAUACUUAUGCUCUCGAGAGAAGCCACUAGUGAAACCUAUGGCCCCGGGGUCUAUCUUUAUCAUAUCAAUCUCCUGCUACUUAGUUAUUUACUUUGCUAUUAACUUUGCCUUUAUUUGGCUUUGCAUCUUUAUCAUAAAAAUACCAAAAAUAUUAUCUUUAUCAUAUCUAUCAGAUCUCACUCUCGUAAGUGGACCUAUAGGGAUUGACAACCCCUAUUUGCGUUGGUUGCGAGGAUUUAUUUGUUUGUGCAGGCAUGAGGGACUUGCGUGUAGCCUCCUACUGGAUUGAUACCUUGGUUCUCAAAAACUAAGGGAAAUACUUAUGCUACUUUGCUGUAUCAUCCCUUCCUCUUCGGGGAAAACCAACGCAGUGCUAAAAGAGGUAGCAAGAAGGAUUUCUAGCGCCGUUGCCGGGGAGGUCUAUGCAAAAGUCAACAUACCAAGUACCCAUCACAUACCCUCAUCUCCCGCAUUACAUUAUUUUCCAUUUGCCUCUUGUUUUCCUCUCCCCCCAAUUCACCCUUGCCAUUUUAUUCGCCCUCUCUCUCUAUCCUCCCUCUCUAUUUGCACUUUUUGUCCGCUUGCUUUUUGUUUGCUUGUGUGUUAGUUUGCUUGUUUGUCGCAAUGGCUCAAGAUAAUACUAAAUUGUGUGACUUCACCAAUACCAACAACAAUGAUUUUAUUACCACUCCAAUUGCUCCUCUUACCGAUGCUGAAUCUUGUGAAAUUAAUACUGCUUUACUGAAUCUUGUCAUGAAAGAUCCGUUCUCCGGCCUUCCUAGUGAAGACGCCGCUACCCAUCUAAAUAGCUUCGUUGAUUUGUGUGACAUGCAAAAGAAGAAAAAUGUGGAUAAUGAUAUUGUUAAAUUGAAGCUAUUUCCUUUUUCGCUUAGAGAUCCUGCUAAAGCUUGGUUUUCGUCUUUGCCUAAAAAUAGUAUUGAUUCAUGGAACAAGUGCAAAGAUGCUUUUAUCUCUAAGUAUUUUCCUCUCGCUAAAAUCAUAUCUCUUAGAAACGAUAUUAUGAACUUUAAGCAACUUGAUCAUGAACAUGUUGCACAAGCUUGGGAGAGAAUGAAAUUAAUGAUACGUAAUUGCCCUACUCAUGGUUUAAAUGUGUGGAUGAUUAUACAAAUUUUUUAUGCCUGAUUGAAUUUUUCUUCUAGAGAUCUUUUGGAUUCGGCCACGGGAGGCACUUUUAUGGAAAUCACUUUAGGAGAAGCUACUAAACUCCUAGAUAAUAUUAUGGUUAAUUAUUCUCAAUGGCACACUGAAAGAUCUACUAAUAAAAAGGUGCAUGCGAUAGAAGAAAAUAAUGUUUUGAGUGGAAAGAUGGAUGAACUUAUGAAAUUAUUUGCUAAUAAGAGUGUUUCUUCAGAUCCUAAUGAUAUGCCCUUGUCUACUUUGAUUGAGAAUAAUAAUGAAUCUAUGGAUGUGAAUUUUGUUGGUAGGAACAAUUUUGGUAACACUGCAUAUAGAGGAAAUUUCAAUCCUAGGCCUUAUCCUAGUAAUCCCUCUAAUAAUUAUGGUAAUUCCUACAACAAUUCUUAUGGAAAUUAUAAUAAUAUGCCCUCUGAUUUUGAUUCUAAUAUUAAAGAAUUUAUUACUUCAUAAAAGAAUUUUAAUGCUAUCAUUGAAGAAAAAUUGCUUAAGAUUGAUGAUUUGGCUAGGAACGUUGAUAGAAUUGCUCUUGAUGUUGAUUCUUUGAAACUUAGAUCUAUUCCACCUAAGCAUGAUAUCAAUGAGUCUCUCAAAGCCAUGAGAAUUUCCAUUGACGAGUGCAAAUAAAGAACCGCUAGGAUGCGUGCUAAGAAAGAUGCCUUUAUAAAAGCGUGUUCUUCUAGUUCCUAUGAAAAUAAUGAUGAAGAUCUAAAAGUUAUUGAUGUGUCCCCUGUUAAAUCUGUGUUUUGCAAUAUGAAUCUUGAUAAUGAUGGGACUGAAUAUGAUCCACCUUUACCUAGAAGGCAUUCUAAGAAUUCGGAAUUUGUUGAUCUUGAUGCUAAAUUUGAUUAAAGUGGGAUUGAAGAAAUUAAAACCCUAGAUGGUGCUAAACCCACCAUUAUGGAUUUCAAGGAAUUUAACUAUGAAAAUUGCUCUUUAAUUGAUUGAAUUUCCUUAUUGCAAUUUGUGCUAAAUUCUCCUCAUGCUUAUAGUCAAAAUAAAGCGUUUACUAAACAUAUCGUUGAUGCCUUGAUGCAAUCUUAUGAAGAAAAACUUGAAUUGGAAGUUUCUAUCCCUAGAAAACUUUAUGAUGAGUGGGAACCAAUUAUUAAAAUUAAAAUUAAAGAUCAUGAAUGCUAUGCUUUAUGUGAUCUGGGUGCUAGUGUUUCCAUGAUUCCAAAGACUUUGUGUGAUUUGUUAGGUUUCCGUGAUUUUGAUGAUUGCUCUCUAAACUUGCACCUUGCGGAUUCCCUAUUAAGAAACCUAUGGGAAGAAUUAAUGAUGUUAUUAUUGUUGCAAAUAGGAAUUAUGUGCCCGUAGAUUUUAUUGUUCUUGACAUAGAUUACAAUCCUUCAUGUCCUAUUAUUCUUGGUAGACCUUUCCUUAGAACGAUUGGUGCAAUUAUUGAUAUGAAGGAAGGAAAUAUUAGAUUCCAAUUUCCGUUAAGGAAAGGCAUGUAACACUUUCCUAGGAACAAAAUUAAAUUACCUUAUGAAUCUAUUAUGAGAGCCACUUAUGGAUUGCCUACCAAAGAUGGCAAUACCUAGAUCUAUUCUUGCUUGUUAUGCCUAGCUAGUGGCGUUAAACGAUAGCGCUUGUUGGGAGCAACCCAAUUUUAUUUUUAUUCCUUGAUUUUUGCUCCUUCUUAGUAAUAAAUAAAUUAUUUAGCCUCUUUUUUGGUUGUGUUUUUUGUGUUUAACUAGUGUUUGUUCCAAGUAGAACCGUUGGGAAGACUUGGGGAAAGUCUUGUUGAACUUGCUGUAAAAAACAGAAACUUUAGCGCUCACGAGAACUACUGUCAUUUUUAUUUGGGAAGUGCUAUUUAGUUAAUUCUUUUUGAAGAUGAUUAAUAGAUAAAUUCCUCACGUCCAGAAAUUUAUUUUAGAAUUUUUGGGGUUCCAGAUCUUGCGCUAGCUACAGAUUACUACAGACUGUUCUGUUUUUGACAGAUUCUGUUUUUCGUGUGUUGUUUGCUUAUUUUGAUGAAUCUAUGGCUAGUAAAUUAGUUUAUAAACCAUCGAGAAGUUGGAAUACAGUAGGUAUAACACCCAUACAAAUAAUUAAUGAGUUAAUUACAUUACCUUGAAGUGGUCUUUUGUUUUCUUUCGCUAACGGAGCUCACGAGAUUUUCUACUUUAAGUUUUGUGUUGUGAAGUUUUCAAGUUUUGGGUAAAGAUUUGAUGGAUUAUGGAACAAGGAGUGGCAAGAUACUAAGCUUGGGGAUGCCCAUGGAACCCCCAAGAUAAUCUAAGGACACCUAAAAGCCAAAGCUUGGGGAUGCCCCGGAAGGCAUCCCCUCUUUCGUCUACUUCUAUCGGUAACUUUACUUGGAGCUAUAUUUUUAUUUACCACAUGAUAUGUGUUUUGCUUGGAGCGUCUUGUAUUAUUUGAGUCUUUGCUUAUUAUUUUACCACAAUCAUCCUUGCUGUACACACCUUUUGAGAGAGCCAUAUAUGAUUUGGAAUUUGUUAGAAUACUCUAUGUGCUUCGCUUAUAUCUUUUGAGUUAUAUAAUUUUACUCUGGUGCUUCACUUAUAUCUUUUAGAGCACGGUGGUGGAUUUGUUUUAUAGAAACUAUUGAUCUCUCAUGCUUCACUUAGAUUAUUUUGAGAGUCUUAAAUAGCAUGGUAAUUUGCUUAAAAUCCUAAUAUGCUUGGUAUGCAAGAUUAAUAAUAAAAAUUCUCUUAUGAGUGUGUUGAAUACUAUGAUAAGUUUGAUACUUGAUAAUUGUUUUGAGACAUGGAGAUGGUGAUAUUAAAGUCAUGCUAGUUGAGUAGUUGUGAAUUUGAGAAAUACUUGUGUUGAAGCUUGUGAUUCCCGUAGCAUGCACGUAUGGUGAACCGUUAUGUGAUGAAGUCGGAGCAUUAUGAGUGGCGGUCGGGGACGAGCGAUGGUCUUUUCCUACCAAUCUAUCCCCCUAGGAGCAUGCGCGUAAUACUUUGCUUUGAUAACCUGUAGAUUUUUGCAAUAAGUAUAUGAGUUCUUUAUGACUAAUGUUGAGUCCAUGGAUUAUACGCACUCUCACCCUUCCACCUUUGCUAGCCUCUCUAAUACCGUGCACCUUUCGCCGGUAUCAUACACCUACCAUAUACCUUCCUCAAAACAGCCACCAUACCUACCUAUUAUGGCAUUUCCAUAGCCAUUCCGAGAUAUAUUGCCAUGCAACUUUCCACUGUUCCGUUUAUGACACAUUCCAUCAUUGUCAUAUUGCUUAGCAUGAUCAUGUAGUUGACAUAGUAUUCAUGGCAAAGCCACCGUUCAUAAUUCUUUCUUGUCACUCAUGCAUCAUUGCAUAUCCCGGUACACCGCCGGAGGCAUUCAUAUAGAGUCAUAUCUUGUUCUAAGUAUCGAGUUGUAAUUAUUGAGUUGUAAGAAAAAUAAAAGUGCGAUGAUCCUAAUUAUUAGAGCAUUGUCCCAAGUGAGGAAAGGAUGAUGUAGACUAUGAUUCCCCCACAAGUCGGGAUGAGACUCCGGACGAAAAAAAAGAGAAAGAAAAGAGGCCAUAAAAAAAGAGAAAAGGCCCAAAUCAAAAAAAAUGAGAGAAAAAGAGAGAAGGGACAUUGUUACUAUCCUUUUACCACACUUGUGCUUCAAAGUAGCACCAUGAUCUUCAUAGUAGAGAGUCUCUCAUGUUAUCACUUUCAUAUACUAGUGGGAAUUUUUCAUUAUAGAACUUGGCUUGUAUAUUCCAAUGAUGGGCUUCCUCAAAAUUGCCCUAGGUCUUCAUGAGCAAGCAAGUUGGAUGCACACCCACUUAGUUUCUUUUUGAGCUUUCAUAUACUUAUAGGUCUAGGGCAUCCGUUGCAUGGCAAUCCCUACUCACUCACAUUAAUAUCUAUUGAUCGACAUCUCCAUAGCCCGUUGAUACGCCUAGUUGAUGUGGGACUACCCCUUUUUGUCUUCUCCACAACCACCACUCUAUUCCACCUAUAGUGAUAUAUCCAUGGCUCACGCUCAUGUAUUGCGUGAAGAUUGAAAAAGUUUUGAGAAUGUCAAAAGUAUGAAACAAUUGCUUGGCUUGUCAUCGGAGUUGUGCAUGAUUUAAAUAUUUUGUGUGGUGAAGAUAGAGCAUAGCCAGACUAUAUGAUUUUGUAGAACUUUCUUUAGCCAUGUUAUUUUGAGAAGACAUAAUUGCUUUGUUAGUAUGCUUGAAGUAUUAUUAUUUUCUAUGUCAAUACGAACUUUUGUCUUGAAUCUUUUGGAUCUAAAUAUUCAUACCACAAUUAAGAAGAAUUACAUUAAAAUUAUGCCAAGUAGCAGUCCGCAUCAAAAAUUCUGUUUUUAUCAUUUACCUACUCGAGGACGAGCAGGAAUUAAGCUUGGGGAUGCUUGAUACGUCUCCAACGUAUCUAUAAUUUUUGAUUGCUCCAUGCUAUAUUAUCUACUAUUUUGGACAUUAUUGGGCUUUAUUAUCCACUUUUAUAUUAUUUUUGGGACUAACCUAUUAACCGGAGGCCCAACCCAGAAUUGAUGUUUUUUGCCUAUUUUAGGGUUUCGAAGAAAAGGAAUAUCAAACAGAGUCCAAAUGGAAUGAAACCUUCGGGAACAUGAUUUUCUCGCCGAAUACAACUCAGGAGACUUGGACCCUACAUCAAGCCAACUAACAGGAGGCCACGAGGUAGGGGUGUUGGAAAUAUGCCCUAGAGGCAAUAAUAAAUUGAUUAUUAUUAUAUUUCCUUGUUCAUGAUAAUCGUUUAUUAUCCAUUCUAGAAUUGUAUUGAUAGGAAACUCAGAUACAUGUGUGGAUACAUAGACAACACCAUGUCCCUAGUAAGCCUCUAGUUGACUAGCUCGUUGAUCAAUAGAUGGUUACGGUUUCCUGACCAUGGACAUUGGAUGUCGUUGAUAACGGGAUCACAUCAUUAGGAGAAUUAUGUGAUGGACAAGACCCAAUCCUAAGCCUAGCACAAAGAUCGUGUAGUUCGUAUGCUAAAGCUUUUCUAAAUGUCAAGUAUCAUUUCCUUAGACCAUGAGAUUGUGCAAAUCCCGGAUACCGUAGGAAUACUUUGGGUGUGCCAAACGUCACAACGUAACUGGGUGGCUAUAAAGGUACACUACGGGUAUCUCCGAAAGUGUCUGUUGGGUUGGCACGAAUCGAGACUGGGAUUUGUCACUCCGUGUGACGGAGAGGUAUCUCUGGGCCCACUCGGUAGGACAUCAUCAUAAUGUGCACAAUGUGAUCAAGGAGUUGAUCACGGGAUGAUGUGUUACGGAACGAGUAAAGAGACUUGCCGGUAACGAGAUUGAACAAGGUAUCGGGAUACCGACGAUCGAAUCUCGGGCAAGUAUCGUACCGAUAGACAAAGUAAUUGCAUACGGGAUUGAUUAAAGUCCUUGACAUCGUGGUUCAUUCAAUGAGAUCAUCGUGGAGCAUGUGGGAGCCAACAUGGGUAUCCAGAUCCCGCUGUUGGUUAUUGACCGGAGAACGUCUCGGUCAUGUCUGCAUGGUUCCCGAACCCGUAGGGUCUACACGCUUAAGGUUCGGUGAUGCUAGGGUUAUAGAGAUAUUAGUAUGCGGUAACCCGAAAGUUGUUCGGAGUCCCGGAUGAGAUCCCGGAUGUCACGAGGAGUUCCGGAAUGGUCCGGAGGUAAAGAAUUAUAUAUAGGAAGUGCUAUUUCGGCCAUCGGGACAAGUUUCGGGGUCACCGGUAUUGUACCGGGACCACCGGAAGGGUCCCGGGGGUCCACCGGGUGGGGCCACCUGCCCCGGGGGCCACAUGGGCUGUAGGGGUGUGCGCCUUGGCCUAUAUGGGCCAAGGGCACAAGCCCCAAGAGGCCCAUGCGCCAAGAGAUAAGGAAAGGAAGAGUCCUAAAGGGGGAAGUCACCUCCUAGGUGCUUUGGGGAGGAGGGACUCCUCCCUAGCCGCACCCUUCCUUGGAGGAAGGGACAAGGCUGCGCCCCCCUCUCCCUUGGCCCUAUAUAUAGUGGGGGGAAGGGAGGGUAGCCCCAUCUAAGCCCUGGCGCCUCCCUCUCCCUCCCGUGACACAUCUCCCUCCUCCCGCAGCGCUUGGCGAAGCCCUGUUGGAAUCCUGCUACUUCCACCACCACGCUGUCGUGCUGCUGGAUCUCCAUCAACCUCUCCUUCCCCCUUGCUGGAUCAAGAAGGAGGAGACGUCGCUGCUCCGUAUGUGUGUUGAACGCGGAGGUGCCGUUCGUUCGGCGCUAGGAUCAUCGGUGACUUGGAUCACGACGAGUACGACUCCUUCAACCCCGUUCUCUUGAACGCUUCCGCAUAGCGAUCUACAAGGGUAUGUAGAUGCACUCUCCUUCCCCUCGUUGCUAGUCUCUCCAUAGAUAGAUCUUGGUGACACGUAGGAAAUUUUUUGAAUUUCUGCUACGUUCCCCAACAGUGGCAUCAUGAGCUAGGUCUAUUGCGUAGAUUCUAUGCACGAGUAGAACACAAAGUAGUUGUGGGCGUUGAUUUUGUUUAAUAUGCUUACCGUUACUAGUCCAAUCUUGAUUCGGCGGCAUUGUGGUAUGAAGCGGCCCGGACCAACCUUACACGUACGCUUACGUGAGACCGGUUCCACCAACUAACAUGCACUAGUUGCAUAAGGUGGCUGGCGGGUGUCUGUCUCUCCCACUUUAGUCGGAUCGGAUUCGAUCAAAAGGGUCCUUAUGAUGGGUAAAUAGCAAUUGGCAUAUCACGUUGUGGUCUUUGCGUAGGUAAGAAACGUUCUUGCUAGAAACCCAUAGCAUCCACGUAAAACAUGCAAACAACAAUUAGAGGAUGUCUAACUUGUUUUUUCAGGGUAUGCUAUGUGAUGUGAUAUGGCCAAAGGAUGUGAUGAAUGAUAUAUGUGAUGUAUGAGAUGAUCAUGUUCUUGUAAUAGGAAUCACGACUUGCAUGUCGAUGAGUAUGACAACCGGCAGGAGCCAUAGGAGUUGUCUUUAUUUAUUUAUGACCUGCGUGUCAACAUAAACGUCAUGUAAUUACUUUACUUUAUUGCUAACCGUUAGCCAUAGUAGUAGAAGUAAUAGUUGGCGAGACAACUUCAUGAAGACACGAUGAUGGAGAUCAUGAUGAUGGAGAUCAUGGUGUCAUGCCGGUGACGAUGAUGAUCAUGAAGGAAAUAUGCCCUAGAGGCAAUAAUAAAGUUAUUAUUUAUUUCCUUAUAUCAUGAUAAAUGUUUAUUAUUCAUGCUAGAAUUGUAUUAACCAGAAACAUAAUACAUGUGUGAAUACAUAGACAAACAGAGUGUCACUAGUAUGCCUCUACUAGACUAGCUCGUUAAUCAAAGAUGGUUAUGUUUCCUAACCAUAGACAAAGGAGUUGUUAUUUGAUUAACGAGGUCACAUCAUUAGUUGAAUGAUCUGAUUGACAUGACCCAUUCCAUUAGCUUAGCACCUGAUCGUUUAGUAUGUUGCUAUUGCUUUCUUCAUGACUUAUACAUGUUCCUAUGACUAUGAGAUUAUGCAACUCCCGUUUGCCGGAGGAACACUUUGGGUGCUACCAAACGUCACAACGUAACUGGGUGAUUAUAAAGGAGCAUUACAGGUGUCUCCAAAGAUAGAUGUUGGGUUGGCGUAUUUCGAGAUUAGGAUUUGUCACUCCGAUUGUCGGAGAGGUAUCUCUGGGUCCUCUCGGUAAUACACAUCACAUAAGCCUUGCAAGCAUUACAACUAAUAUGUUAGUUGCGAGAUGAUGUAUUACGGAACGAGUAAAGAGACUUGCCGGUAACGAGAUUGAACUAGGUAUUGGAUACCGACGAUCGAAUCUCGGGCAAGUAACAUACCGAUGACAAAGGGAACAACGUAUGUUGUUAUGCGGUCUGACCGAUAAAGAUCUUCGUAGAAUAUGUAGGAGCCAAUAUGGGCAUCCAGGUCCCGCUACUGGUUAUUGACCGGAGACGUGUCUCGGUCAUGUCUACAUUGUUCUCGAACCCGUAGGGUCCGCACGCUUAAGGUUACGAUGACAGUUACAUUAUGAGUUUAUGCAUUUUGAUGUACCGAAGGUUGUUCGGAGUCCCGGAUGUGAUCACGGACAUGACGAGGAGUCUCGAAAUGGUCUAGACGUAAAUAUUGAUAUAUUGGAAGCCUAUGUUUGGACAUCGGAAGUGUUCCGGGUGAAAUCGGGAUUUUACUGGGUUACCGGGAGGUUACCGGAACCCCCCGGGAGCCAUAUGGGCCUUCAUGGGCCUUAGUGGAAAGGAGAAAGGGGCAGCCCAAGGUGGCUGCGCCACUUCCCCCUCCCGUAGUCCUAUUAGGACUAGGAGAAGGUGGCCGACCCCCCUCUCCCUCUUUCCCCCUUUGGGGAAUCCUAGUUGGAAUAGGAUUGGGGGGGAGUCCUACUCCCGGAAGGAGUAGGACUCCUCCUGCGCCCUCCUCCUUGGUCGGCGCCCCCUCCCCCCUUGGCUCCUUUAUAUACUGAGGUAGAGGCACCCCAAAGUGACACAAGUUGAUCCACGUGAUCUAUUCCUUAGCCGUGUGCGAUUCCCCCUGCCACCAUAUUCCUCGAUAAUACUGUAGCGGAGUUUAGGCGAAGCCCUGCUGCUGUAGUACAUCAAGAUCGUCACCAUGCCGUCAUGCUGACGGAACUCUUCCCCGACACUUUGCUGGAUCGGAGUCCGGGGAUCGUCAUCGAGCUGAACGUGUGCUUGAACUCGGAGGUGCCGUAGUUUCGGUGCUUGAUCGGUUGGAUCGUGAAGACGUACGACUACUUCCUCUACGUCGUGUCAGCGCUUCCGCAGUCGGUCUGCGUUGGGUUCGUAGACAACACUCUCCCAUAUCAUUGCUAUGCAUCACAUGAUCUUGCGUGUGCGUAGGAAUUUUUUUGAAAUUACUACGAAACCCAACAGUGGCAUCCGAGCCUAGGUUAUUUAUGUUGAUGUUAUUUGCACGAGUAGAACACAAGUGAGUUGUGGACGAUACAAGUCAUACUGCCUACCAGCAUGUCAUACUUUGGUUCGGCGGUAUUGUUGGACGAGACGACCCGGACCAACCUUACGCGUACGCUUACGCGAGACCGGUUCCCUCGACGUGCUUUGCACAUAGAUGGCUUGCGGGCGACUAUCUCUCCAACUUUAGUUGAACCGAGUAUGGCUACGCCCGGUCCUUACGAAGGUUAAAACGGAGUCUAUUUGACAAACUAUCGUUGUGGUUUUGAUGCGUAGGUGAGAUUGGUUCUUACUUAAGCCCGUAGCAGCCACGUAAAACAUGCAACAACAAAGUAGAGGACGUCUAACUUGUUUUUGCAGGGCAUGUUGUGAUGUGAUAUGGUCAAGGCAUGAUGCUGAAUUUUAUUGUAUGAGAUGAUCAUGUUUUGUAAUCGAGUUAUCGGCAACUGGCAGGAGCCAUAUGGUUGUCGCUUUAUUGUAUGCAAUGCAAUCGCGAUGUAAUGCUUUACUUUAUUACUAAACGGUAGUGAUAGUCGUGGAAGCAUAAGAUUGGCGAGACGACAACGAUGCUACGAUGGAGAUCAAGGUGUCGCGCCGAUGACGAUGGUGAUCAUGACGGUGCUUCGGAGAUGGAGAUCACAAGCACAAGAUGAUGAUGGCCAUAUCAUAUCACUUAAAUUGAUUGCAUGUGAUGUUUAUCCUUUUAUGCAUCUUAUCUUGCUUUGAUUGACGGUAGCAUUAUAAGAUGAUCUCUCACUAAAUUAUCAAGAAGUGUUCUCCCUGAGUAUGCACCGUUGCCAAAGUUCGUCGUGCCCAGACACCACGUGAUGAUCGGGUGUGAUAAGCUCUACGUCCAUCUACAAUGGGUGCAAGCCAGUUUUUGCACACGCAGAAUACUCAGGUUAAACUUGACGAGCCUAGCAUAUGCAGAUAUGGCCUCGGAACACGGAGACCGAAAGGUCGAGCGUGAAUCAUAUAGUAGAUAUGAUCAACAUAACGAUGUUCACCAUUGAAAACUACUCCAUCUCAUGUGAUGAUCGGUCAUGGUUUAGUUGAUUUGGAUCACGUAAUCACUUAGAAGAUUAGAGGGAUGUCUAUCUAAGUGGGAGUUCUUAAGUAAUAUGAUUAAUUGAACUUAAAUUUAUCAUGAACUUAGUACCUGAUAGUAUCUUGCUUGUUUAUGUUGAUUGUAGAUAGAUGGCUUGUGCUGUUGUUCCGUUGAAUUUUAAUGCGUUCCUUGAGAAAGCAAAGUUGAAAGAUGAUGGUAGCAAUUACACGGACUGGGUCCGUAACUUGAGGAUUAUCCUCAUUGCUGCUCAGAAGAAUUACGUCCUGGAAGCACCGCUGGGUGCCAGGCCUGCUGCUGGAGCAACACCAGAUGUUAUGAACGUCUGGCAGAGCAAAGCUGAUGACUACUCGAUAGUUCAGUGUGCCAUGCUUUACGGCUUAGAAUCGGGACUUCAACGACGUUUUGAACGUCAUGGAGCAUAUGAGAUGUUCCAGGAGUUGAAGUUAAUAUUUCAAGCAAAUGCCCGAAUUGAGAGAUAUGAAGUCUCCAAUAAGUUCUAUAGCUGCAAGAUGGAGGAGAACAGUUCUGUUAGUGAGCAUAUACUCAAAUGUCUGGGUAUAAUAAUCACUUGAUUCAAUUGGGAGUUAAUCUUCCGGAUGAUUGCGUCAUUGACAGAAUUCUCCAAUCACUGCCACCAAGCUACAAAAGCUUCGUGAUGAACUAUAAUAUGCAAGGGAUGAACAAGACUAUUCUCGAGCUCUUCGCAAUGCUGAAAGCUGCGGAGGUAGAAAUCAAGAAGGAGCAUCAAGUGUUGAUGGUUAACAAGACCACUAGUUUCAAGAAAAAGGGCAAAGGGAAGAAGAAGGGGAACUUCAAGAAGAAUGGCAAGCAAGUUGCUGCUCAAGAGAAGAAACCCAAGUCUGGACCUAAGCCUGAAACUGAGUGCUUCUACUGCAAGCAGACUGGUCACUGGAAGCGGAUCUGCCCCAAGUAUUUGGCGGAUAAGAAGGAUGGCAAGGUGAACAAAGGUAUAUGUGAUAUACAUGUUAUUGAUGUGUACCUUACUAGAGCUCGCAGUAGUACCUGGGUAUUUGAUACUGGUUCUGUUGCUAAUAUUUGCAACUCGAAACAGGGACUACGGGUUAAGCGGGCACUGGCAAAGGACGAGGUGACGAUGCGCGUGGGAAACGGUUUCAAAGUCGAUGUGAUCGCAGUCGGCACGCUACCUCUACAUCUACCUUCGGGAUUAAUAUUAGACCUAAAUAAUUGUUAUUUGGUGCCAGCGUUGAGCAUGAACAUUAUAUCUGGAUCUUGUUUAAUGCGAGAAGGUUAUUCAUUUAAAUCAGAGAAUAAUGGUUGUUCUAUUUAUAUGAGUAAUAUCUUUUAUGGUCAUGCACCCUUGAAGAGUGGUCUAUUCUUAUUGAAUCUCGAUAGUAGUAAUACACAUAUUCAUAAUGUUGAAGCCAAAAGAUGCAGAGUUGAUAAUGAAAGUGCAACUUAUUUGUGGCACUGUCGUUUAGGUCAUAUCAGUAUAAAGCGCAUGAAGAAACUCCAUACUGAUGGACUUUUGGAACCACUUGAUUAUGAAUCACUUGGUACUUGCGAACCGUGCCUCAUGGGCAAGAUGACUAAAACACCGUUCUCCGGUACUAUGGAGAGAGCAACAGAUUUGUUGGAAAUCAUACAUACCGAUGUAUGUGGUCCGAUGAAUAUUGAGGCUCGUGGCGGAUAUCGUUAUUUUCUCACCUUCACAGAUGAUUUAAGCAGAUAUGGAUAUAUCUACUUAAUGAAACAUAAGUCUGAAACAUUUGAAAAGUUCAAAGAAUUUCAGAGUGAAGUUGAAAAUCAUCGUAACAAGAAAAUAAAGUUUCUAUGAUCUGAUCGUGGAGGAGAAUAUUUGAGUUACGAGUUUGGUGUACAUUUGAAAAACUGUGGAAUAGUUUAGCAACUCACGCCACCCGGAACACCACAGCGUAAUGGUGUGUCCGAAUGUCGUAAUCGUACUUUACUAGAUAUGGUGCGAUCUAUGAUGUCUCUUACUGAUUUACCGCUAUCGUUUUGGGGUUAUGCUCUAGAGACGGCCGCAUUCACGUUAAACAGGGCACCAUCAAAAUCCGUUGAGACGACGCCUUAUGAACUGUGGUUUGGCAAGAAACCAAAGUUGUCGUUUCUUAAAAUUUGGGGCUGCGAUGCUUAUGUGAAAAAGCUUCAACCUGAUAAGCUCGAACCCAAAUCGGAGAAAUGUGUCUUCAUAGGAUACCCAAAGGAAACUGUUGGGUACACCUUCUAUCACAGAUCCGAAGGCAAGACAUUCGUUGCUAAGAAUGGAUCCUUUCUAGAGAAGGAGUUUCUCUCGAAAGAAGUGAGUGGGAGGAAAGUAGAACUUGACGAGGUAACUGUACCUGCUCCCUUACUGGAAAGUAGUUCAUCACAGAAAACUGUUUCAGUGACACCUACACCAGUUAGUGAGGAAGCCAAUGAUAAUGAUCAUGAAACUUCAGAUCAAGAUACUACUGAACCUCGUAGAUCAACCAGAGUAAGAUCCGCACCAGAGUGGUACGGUAAUCCUGUUCUGGAAGUCAUGCUACUAGAUCAUGAUGAACCUACGAACUAUGAAGAAGCGAUGGUGAGCCCAGAUUCCGCAAAGUGGCUUGAAGCCAUGAAAUCUGAGAUGGGAUCCAUGUAUGAGAACAAAGUAUGGACUUUGGUUGACUUGCCCGAUGAUCGGCAAGCAAUUGAGAAUAAAUGGAUCUUUAAGAAGAAGACUGACGCUGAUGGUAAUGUUACUGUCUACAAAGCUCGACUUGUCGCAAAAGGUUUUCGGCAAGUUCAAGGGAUUGACUACGAUGAGACCUUCUCACCCGUAGCGAUGCUUAAGUCCGUCCGAAUCAUGUUAGCGAUUGCCGCAUUUUAUGAUUAUGAAAUUUGGCAGAUGGAUGUCAAAACUGCAUUCCUGAAUGGAUUUCUGGAAGAGGAGUUGUAUAUGAUGCAACUGGAAGGUUUUGUCGAUCCAAAGGGAGCUAACAAAGUGUGCAAGCUCCAGCGAUCCAUUUAUGGACUGGUGCAAGCCUCUCGGAGUUGGAAUAAACGUUUUGAUAGUGUGAUCAAAGCAUUUGGUUUUAUACAGACUUUCGGAGAAGCCUGUAUUUACAAGAAAGUGAGUGGGAGCUCUGUAGCAUUUCUAAUAUUAUAUGUGGAUGACAUAUUGAUGAUUGGAAAUGAUAUAGAAUUUCUGGAUAGCAUAAAGGGAUACUUGAAUAAUAGUUUUUCAAUGAAAGACCUCGGUGAAGCUGCUUACAUAUUAGGCAUUAAGAUCUAUAGAGAUAGAUCAAGACGCUUAAUUGGACUUUCACAAAGCACAUACCUUGACAAAAUUUUGAAGAAGUUCAAAAUGGAUCAAGCAAAGAAAGGGUUCUUGCCUGUGUUACAAGGUGUGAAGUUGAGUAAGACUCAAUGCCCGACCACUGCAGAAGGUAGAGAGAAUAUGAAAGAUGUUCCCUAUGCAUCAGCCAUAGGAUCUAUCAUGUAUGCAAUGCUGUGUACCAGACCUGAUGUGUGCCUUGCUAUAAGUUUAGCAGGGAGGUACCAAAGUAAUCCAGGAGUGGAUCACUGGACAGCGGUCAAGAACAUUCUGAAAUACCUGAAAAGGACUAAGGAUAUGUUUCUCGUAUAUGGAGGUGACAAAGAGCUCACCGUAAAAGGUUACGUUGAUGCAAGCUUUGACACUAAUCCGGACGAUUCUAAAUCGCAAACCGGAUACGUGUUUACAUUAAACGGUGGAGCUCUCAGUUGGUGCAGUUCUAAACAAAGCGUCGUAGCAGGAUCUACAUGUGAAGCGGAGUACAUAGCUGCUUCGGAAGCAGCGAACGAAGGAGUCUGGAUGAAGGAGUUCAUAUCCGAUCUAGGUGUUAUACCUAAUGCAUCGGGUCCAAUGAAAAUCUUUUGUGACAAUACUGGUGCAAUUGCCUUGGCAAAGGAAUCCAGAUUUCACAAAAGGACCAAACACAUCAAGAGACGCUUCAACUCCAUCCGGGAUCUAGUCCAGGUGGGAGACAUAGAGAUUUGCAAGAUACAUACGGAUCUGAAUGUUGCAGACCCGUUGACUAAGCCUCUUCCACGAGCAAAACAUGAUCAGCACCAAAGCUCCAUGGGUGUUAGAAUCAUUAUAGUGUAAUCUAGAUUAUUGACUCUAGUGCAAGUGGGAGACUGAAGGAAAUAUGCCCUAGAGGCAAUAAUAAAGUUAUUAUUUAUUUCCUUAUAUCAUGAUAAAUGUUUAUUAUUCAUGCUAGAAUUGUAUUAACCAGAAACAUAAUACAUGUGUGAAUACAUAGACAAACAGAGUGUCACUAGUAUGCCUCUACUAGACUAGCUCGUUAAUCAAAGAUGGUUAUGUUUCCUAACCAUAGACAAAGGAGUUGUUAUUUGAUUAACGAGGUCACAUCAUUAGUUGAAUGAUCUGAUUGACAUGACCCAUUCCAUUAGCUUAGCACCUGAUCGUUUAGUAUGUUGCUAUUGCUUUCUUCAUGACUUAUACAUGUUCCUAUGACUAUGAGAUUAUGCAACUCCCGUUUGCCGGAGGAACACUUUGGGUGCUACCAAAUGUCACAACAUAACUGGGUGAUUAUAAAGGAGCAUUACAGGUGUCUCCAAAGAUAGAUGUUGGGUUGGCGUAUUUCGAGAUUAGGAUUUGUCACUCCGAUUGUCGGAGAGGUAUCUCUGGGCCCUCUCGGUAAUACACAUCACAUAAGCCUUGCAAGCAUUACAACUAAUAUGUUAGUUGCGAGAUGAUGUAUUACGGAACGAGUAAAGAGACUUUCCGGUAACGAGAUUGAACUAGGUAUUGGAUACCGACGAUCGAAUCUCGGGCAAGUAACAUACCGAUGACAAAGGGAACAACGUAUGUUGUUAUGCGGUCUGACCGAUAAAGAUCUUCGUAGAAUAUGUAGGAGCCAAUAUGGGCAUCCAGGUCCCGCUAUUGGUUAUUGACCGGAGACGUGUCUCAGUCAUGUCUACAUUGUUCUCGAACCCGUAGGGUCCGCACGCUUAAGGUUACGAUGACAGUUACAUUAUGAGUUUAUGCAUUUUGAUCUACCGAAGGUUUAUCAGAGUCCCGGAUGUGAUCACGGACAUGACGAGGAGUCUCUAAAUGGUCGAGACGUAAAUAUUGAUAUAUUGGAAGCCUAUGUUUGGACAUCGAAAGUGUUCCGGGUGAAAUCGGGAUUUUACCGGGUUACCGGGAGGUUACCGGAACCCCCCGGGAGCCAUAUGGGCCUUCAUGGGCCUUAGUGGCUGCGCCACUUCCCCCUCCCCUAGUCCUAUUAGGACUAGGAGAAGGUGGCCGGCCCCCCUCUCCCUCUUUCCCCCUUUGGGGAAUCCUAGUUGGAAUAGGAUUGGGGGGGAGUCCUACUCCCGGAAGGAGUAGGACUCCUCCUGCGCCCUCCUCCUUGGCCGGCGCCCCCUCCCCCCUUGGCUCCUUUAUAUACUGAGGUAGAGGCACCCCAAAGAGACACAAGUUGAUCCACGUGAUCUAUUCCUUAGCCGUGUGCGGUGCCCCUGCCACCAUAUUCCUCGAUAAUACUGUAGCGGAGUUUAGGCGAAGCCCUGCUGCUGUAGUACAUCAAGAUCGUCACCAUGCCAUCGUGCUGACGGAACUCUUCCCCGACACUUUGCUGGAUCGGAGUCCGGGGAUCGUCAUCGAGCUGAACGUGUGCUCGAACUCGGAGGUGCCGUAGUUUCGGUGCUUGAUCGGUUGGAUCGUGAAGACGUACGACUACUUCCUCUAUGUCGUGUCAGCGCUUCCGCAGUCGGUCUGCGUUGGGUACGUAGACAACACUCUCCCAUCUCGUUGCUAUGCAUCACAUGAUCUUGCGUGUGCGUAGGAAAUUUUUUGAAAUUACUACGAAACCCAACAGAUCAUGGAGCCCCGAAGAUGGAGAUCAAGAGGAGCAAAGUGAUGAUGGCCAUAUCAUGUCACUAUUUGAUUGCAUGUGAUGUUUAUCAUGCUUUUGCAUCUUGUUUACUUAGAAGACGGUAGUAAAUAAGAUGAUCCCUCAUAAUAAUUUCAAGAAAGUGUUCCCCCUAACUGUGCACCGUUGUGACAGUUCGUUGUUUCGAAGCACCACGUGAUGAUCGGGUGUGAUAGAUUCUAACGUUCACAUACAACGGGUGUAAGACAGAUUUACACACGCGAAACACUUAGGUUGACUUGAUGAGCCUAGCAUGUGUAUAGACAUGGCCUCGGAACACAGAAGACCGAAAGGUCGAGCAUGAGUCGUAUGGUAGAUACGAUCAUCAUGAAGAUGUUCACCGAUGUUGACUAGUCCAUCUCACGUGAUGAUCGGACAUGGCCUAGUUGACUCGGAUCAUGUAAUCACUUAGAUGACUGGAUGGAUGUCUAUCUGAGUGGGAGUUCAUAAGAUGAACUUGUUUAUCCUGAACUUAGUCAAAAAGGAUUUUGUAAAUUAUGUCGUAGCUCGCGCUUUAGUUCUACUAUUUAGAUAUGUUCCUAGAGAAAAAAUAGUUAAAAGUUGAUAGUAGCAAUUAUGCGGACUAGGUCCGUAAACUGAGGAUUGUCCUCAUUGCUUCUUAGAAGGCUUAUGUCCUUAAUGCACCGCUCAGUGUGCUGAACCUCGAAAGUUGUCUGUGGAUGUUGCGAACAUCUGACAUACACGUUCUGAUAACUACAUGAUAGUUCAGUUAAACGGUUUAGAGUUGAGGCACCGAAGACGGUUUUUGAAACGUCACGAAACAUAUGAGAUGUUUCGAGGGCUGAAAUUGGAAUUUCAGGCUCGUGCCCACGUCAAGAGGUAUAAGGCCUCCGACGAUUUUCUUAGCCUGCAAACUAAGGGAGAAAAGCUCAAUUGUUGAGCUUGUGCUCAGAUUGUCUGAGUAUAACAAUCAUUUGAAUCGAGUGGGAGUUGAUCUUCCAGAUAAGAUAGUGAUGUUUCUCCGAAGUCAUUACCACCAAGCUGCUAGAGCUUCGUGAUGAACUAUAAUAUAUCAGGGACAUAUAUGAUGAUCCUUGAGAUAUUCGUGAUGUUUGACACCAAAGUAGAAAUCAAGAAGGAGCAUCAAUUGUUGAUGGUUGGUGAAACAUCUAGUUUCAAGAAGGGCAAGGGCAAGAAGGGAUACUUCAUGAAACGGCAAUUCAGCUGCUGCUCUAGUGAAGAGACCCAAGGUUGAACCCAAACCCGAGACUAAGUGCUUCUGUAAUAAGGGGAACAACCACUGGAGCAGAAUUACCCUAGAUACUUGGUAGAUUAGAAGGCUGGCAAGGUCAAUAGAAGUAUAUUGGAUAUACAUUGUGUUGAUGUGUACUUUACUAGUACUCCUAGUAGCACUAGGGCAUUGGAUACCGGUUCGGUUGCUAAGUGUUAGUAACUCGAAAUAAAAGCUAUGGAAUAAACGGAGACUAGCUAAAGGUGAGAUGACGAUAUGUGUUGGAAGUAUUUCCAAGGUUGAUCAAAUAUCGUACGCUCCCUCUACCAUCGAGAUUGGUGUUUGCGUUGAGCAUAGACAUGAUUGGAUUAUGUCUAUCGCAAUACGGUUAUUCAUUUAAGGAGAAUAAUGGUUACUCUGUUUAUUUGAAUAAUACCUUCAAUGGCCUUACACCUAAAAUGAAUGGUUUAUUGAAUCUCGAUCGUAGUGAUACACAUGUUCAUGCCAAAAGAUAGUAAUGAUAGUACCACCUACUUGUGGCACUGCCACGUAAGUCAUAUCGGUAUAAAACGCAUGAAGAAGCUCCAUGUUGAUGGAUCUUUGGGCUCACUCGUUUUUGAAAGGUUUGAGACAUGCGAACCAUGUCUAUUGGUGUAUAUGCAUGAAGAAACUCCAUGCAAAUGGACCGUUUGGACUCACUUGAUUUUGAAUCACUUGAGACAUGCAAAUCAUACCACAUGGGCAAGAUGACUGAAAGCCUCGGUUUCAGUAAAAUGGAACUAGAAAGCAACCUGUUGGAAGUAAUACAUUUUGAUGUGUGCAGUCCAAUGAGUGCUGAGGCGUGUAGUGGAUAUCGUUAUGUUCUUACUUCAUAGAUGAUUUGAGUAGAUGUUGAGUAUAUUUACUUGAUGAAUCACGAGUCUGAAUUAUUGAAAGGUUCAAGUAAUUUCAGGGUGAAGUUGAAAGAUCGUCGUGACAAGAGGAUAAAAUAUCUAUGAUAUGAUCAUAGAGAUGAAUAUCUGAAUUACGAGUUUGGCACAGAAUUAAGACAUUGUGGAAAUUGUUUCACAACUGAUACAGCCUGGAACACCAUAGUGUGAUGGUGUGUCCGAACAUCAUAACUGCACCCUAUUGGAUAUGAUGCAUACCAUGAUGUCUCUUAUCGAAUUACCACGAUAGUUUAUGGGUUAGGCAUUAGAGACAACCGCAUUCACUUUUAAUAGGGCACCACGUAAUUCCGAUGAGAUGACACCGUAUGAACUAUGGUUUAGAGAAACCUAAGCUGUCAUUUCUUAAAAGUUUGGGGCUGUGACGCUUAUGCGAAAAAGUUUCAGGCUGAUAAGCUCGAACCCAAAGCGGAUAAAUGCAUCUUCAUAGGACACCCAAAAUAGUUGGGUAUACCUCCUGUCUCAGAACCGAAAGCAAUAAGGGAUUGUUUCUAGAAUCGGGUCCUUUCUCGAGGAAAAGUUUCUCUCGAAAGAAUUGAGUGGGAGGAUGGUGGAGACUUGAUGAGGUUAUUGAACCGUCACUACAACUAGUGUAUAGCAGGGCACAAAGAGUUGUUCCUGUGGCACCUACACCAAUUGAAGUGGAAGCUUAUGAUAGUGAUCAUGAGACUUCAGAUCAAGCCACUCCCAAACCUCAUAGGAUGACAAGGAUGCGUACUACUUUAGAGUGGUACGUAAUCCUGUCUUGGAAGUCAUGUUGCUAGACAACAAUGAACCUACAAGCUAUGGAGAAUCGAUGGUGGGCCUGGAUUCCAAUAAAUGGCUCAAGGCCAUAAAAUCCGAGAGAGGAUCCAUGUAUGAAAACAAAGUGUAGACUUUGGAAGAACUACUUGAUGGUCGUAAGGCUGUUGGGUACAUAUGGAUUUUAAAAGGAAGACGGACAAUGAUGGUAAGUAUCACCAUUAAGAAAGCUCAACUUGUCGUUAAGAUGGUUUCCGACAAGUUCAAGGAGUUGACUACGAUGAGACUUUUCAACCGUAGCGAUGCUAAGAGUCUGUUGGAAUUAUGUUAGCGAUUACUGCAUUAUUUAUGAAAUCUUGCAGAUAGGAUGUCAAAACAUUGUUUCCUCGACGAUUUUCUUGAGAAAAGGUUGUAUGUGAUACAAUUGGAAGGUUUUGUCAAUCCUGAAAGAUGCUAAUAAGUAUGCAAAGCUCCAGCGAUCCUUCUAAGGACUGGAGUAAGCAUCUCGGAGUUGGAAUGUAUGCUUUGAUGAAAUGAUCAAAGAUUUUGGGUGUAUACAAAGUUUAUGAGAAACUUGUAUUUCCAAAGAAGUGAGUGGGAGCACUAUAGAAUUUCUGACGAAUAUAUGUUGUUGACAUAUUGUUGAUCAGAAAUGAUGUAGAAUUUCUGGAAAGCAUAUAGGGUUAUUUGGAAAGCGUUUUUUCAAUGGAAAGCCUGGAUUAAGCUACUUGAACAUUGAGCAUCAAGAUCUAUAAGGAUAGAUCAAAACGCUUAAUGGUACUUUCAAAUGAGCACAUACCUUGACGUGAUCUUGAAGGUGUUCAAGAUGGAUCAGUCAAAGAAGGAGUUCUUGCCUGAGUUGUAAGGUAUGAAGUUAAGACUUAAAGCUCGACCACGGCAGAAUAGAGAGAAAGGACGAAGGUCGUCCCCUAUGCUUAAGACAUAGGCUCUACAGUAUGCUAUGCUGUGUACCGCACCUGAAGUGUGCCUUGCCAUGAGUCAGUCAAGGGGUACAAGAGUGAUCCAAGAAUGGAUCACAGGACAACGGUCAAAGUUAUCCUUAGUAACUAGUGGACUAAGGGAUUUUCUCGAUUAUGGAGGUGGUAAAAGAGUUCGUCGUAAAGGGUUACGCCGAUGCAAACUUUGACACUAAUCCAGAUUAUUCUGAGUAGUAAACUGGAUUCGUAUAGUAGAACAGUUAUUUGGAAUAGCUCCAAAUAGAGCGUGGUAGAUGCAUCUAGGAGAUGACAUAGAGAUUUCUAAAGCACACACGGAUCUGAAAGGUUCAGACCCGUUGACUAUAGCCUCUCUCACAAGCAUAACAUGAUCAAACCCAGAUCUCAUCGAGUGUUAAUCACAUGGUAAAUGUGAACUAGAUUAUUGACUCUAGUAAACUCUUUGGGUGUUAGUCAGAUGGGGAUGUGACCUUGAGUGUUAAUCACGUAUCGAUGUGAACUAGAUUAUUGACUCUAGUGCAAGUGGGAGACUGUUGGAAAUAUGCCCUAGAGGCAAUAAUAAAUUGAUUAUUAUUAUAUUUCCUUGUUCAUGAUAAUCGUUUAUUAUCCAUGCUAAUUGUAUUGAUAGGAAACUUAGAUACAUGUGUGGAUACAUAGACAACACCAUGUCCCUAGUAAGCCUCUAGUUGACUAGCUCGUUGAUCAAUAGAUGGUUACGGUUUCCUGACCAUGGACAUUGGAUGUCGUUGAUAACGGGAUCACAUCAUUAGGAGAAUGAUGUGAUGAACAAGACCCAAUCCUAAGCCUAGCACAAAGAUCGUGUAGUUCGUAUGCUAAAGCUUUUCUAAAUGUCAAGUAUCAUUUCCUUAGACCAUGAGAUUGUGCAACUCCCGGAUACCAUAGGAAUACUUUGGGUGUGCCAAAUGUCACAACGUAACUGGGUGGCUAUAAAGGUACACUACGGGUAUCUCCGAAAGUGUCUGUUGGGUUGGCAUGAAUCAAGACUGGGAUUUGUCACUCCGUGUGACGGAGAGGUAUCUCUGGGCCCACUCGGUAGGACAUCAUCAUAAUGUGCACAAUGUGAUCAAGGAGUUGAUCACGGGAUGAUGUGUUACGGAACGAGUAAAGAGACUUGCCGGUAAAGAGAUUGAACAAGGUAUAGGGAUACCGACGAUCGAAUCUCGGGCAAGUAUUGUACCGAUAGACAAAGGAAUUGCAUACGGGAUUGAUUAAAGUCCUUGACAUCGUGGUUCAUCCGAUGAGAUCAUCGUGGAGCAUGUGGGAGCCAACAUGGGUGUAACGCCCUCGAUGCGGCUAUAGCUCCCACGUGUCGAGGCACGACUUAGAGACAUAACCGCAUUGAAAGCAAUGUCGCAAGUUAGGCAAUCAUUACAACAUCCCAUGUAAUACAUAAUAAAAGGGGGAGAUACCAUAGUUGGCUUACACUCGCCACGUCACAUCAGAGUGCAUAAAUAACAUCCAUCAAACAAACACUCAUGGCCCGACUACGGCGCCAAAAUAGAAAAGAACCCAACAUGCGACAAGGUCCUGAAUCGAUCCCCAACUAGGCACCACUACUGAUCAUCGGGAAAGGAAACAUAAUAACGCUGAGAGUCCUCGUCGAACUCCCACUUGAGCUCGUACUCGUCACCUGGAGCGGAAUCACCUGGACCUGCAUCUGGAGUUGUAGUAUCUGUGAGCCACAGGGACUCAGCAAUCUCGCACCCUCGCGAUCAAAACUAUUUAAGCUCAUAGGAAUGGAUAAGGCAAAUAUAUGUGGAGCUGCAGCAAGCGACUAGCAUAUGCGGUGGCUAACUUAUACGCAAAAGAGAGCGAGAAGAGAAGGCGAAGCACGAGAGAGAAGCUAAAGGAACAUCCUGCGCACGCAUAACUCCAACACCGUGUCCACUUCCCGGACUCCGCCGAGAAGGGGCCAUCACGGUAACACACACGGUUGAUUCAUUUUAAUUAAGUUUAGUUCAAGUAAUCUACAACCGGACAUUAACAAAUUCCCAUCUGCCCAUAACCGCGGGCACGGCUUUCGAAAGUUCAAUCCCUGCAGGGGAGUCCCAACUUAGCCCAUGACAAGCUCUCACGGUCAACGAAGGAAUAGACCUCCACCCGAGACAUUCCGAUCAGACUCGGUAUCCCGGUACAACAAGACAUUUCGAUAGGGUAAAACUAAACCAGCAACACCGCCCGAAUGUGCCGACAAAUCCCGAUAGGAGCUGCACAUAUCUCUUUCUCAGGGCACACUCAGAUUGUCCUAGGUACGGGUAGGCCAGCCCAGAGUUGCCCCUGGUAGCCACCGGUAGCUGACAGGUGGACCAACACUCAGAGGAGCACUGGCCCGGGGGGGGGGGUAAAAUAACGAUGACCCUUGAGUCUGCAGAACCCAAGGGAAAGAAAAGGCUAGGUGGCAAAUGGUAAAACCAAUGUUGGGCAUUGCUGGAAGAGCUUUACUUAAGACGAACUGUCAAGGGGUUCCCAUAAUAGCCCAACCGUGUAAGGAACGCAAAAUCCGGGAACAUAACACCGAUAUGACGGAAACUAGGGCGGCAAGAGUGGAACAAAACACCAGGCAUAAGGCCGAGCCUUCCACCCUUUACCAAGUAUAUAGAUGCAUUAAUUAAGUAAGGUAUAUUGUGAUAUCCCAACAAGUAAAUAAAAGUUCCAACAAGGAACGGCUCCAAUCUUCCACCUGCAACUAACAACACUAUAAGAAGGGCUGAGCAAAGCGGUAACAUAGCCAAUCAACGGUUUGCUAGGACAAUGGUGGGUUAGGGGAUCACAUGGCAAUUGGGAGGCUGACAAGCAAAAGGUAGGCAUCGUAGCAGUGGCAAAGCAAAAGAGCGAGCAAACUAGCAUAGCAAAGAUAGUAGUGAUUUCGAGGGUAUGAUCAUCUUGCCUGCACAUUUGUCAGAGUUGACUGGAUCCUCGCAAGCAAACUCAACGGGCUCCUCGGUAGCGAACUCGUCUCCCGGCUCUACCCAACAAGACAAACAAGCAACAAGGAUACAAUCAACCACGGCAAGACCAAGCAAUAUGAUGAAAUGACGAUAUGCUAUGCGGGAUGCGAUGCGGGAUGCAAAAUGCAAGAUAUGACAGGAAAUGCAUGAACCUGGCAUCAACUUGGAAAACCAAGUGUGCCACUGGAUAGAGGGGAUGAAAUCGCUUGAAAACGAUAUAAAGAUCAUUGGAAUCGGAGCUACGGUUUGGAAAUGGCGAGCGUUUUAAGAUAUGACACCGGUAUGCGAUUUACAGCAAGUAGGCAUCUAAAUGCAACAAAAUGAACAUGCUACAACCACCAAACAUGAAAACAAAUACAUGGCAGUGAUGUACACAAGAUGGUUGACAAAACACUAGCACUGAGCCAUAGGCAAAUUCAUCCAUUAAGAGGUUCAAACAAGCAUGGCUAAAACGCAAAUGCAAAACAGAUUUCAGACUUAGUGAAAUUAACACUAGUCUGAAAUUUCAGAUCACGAUGCUCUCUUCGGAGCAGCAAAACAACAUGAUAGAAAACCUGAACAUGACAAGUAAUAACAUGGCAUGGAGCUACUCAACAAGCUUAAAAAAACACCCAAAGUGACCUGGGGCCAAAAGGGUUCACAAAAUACUCUACCGAGCUCACGAACAUAGCUCGAACACAAUCAGUUUUCAGACUUAGUGAAAACUGAGACACGCUGAAAUAUAACUCACGAAGGCAUGUAAACGAGCUCGAUGCACUCACUACGGUGCAAGUCAUGGCAAGGAAAGCAUAUAACCAGCAAGAAGGCACAAAGUGCUAGCUACACAUGGCAAGAACGAAGGCAUAGCAUGCAUGGAACACUAACGGUAGCAUCGGCAAAAUCGCAAACAAGUUGACGAUCUGCCCGGAUUAACAACGAAGCAAAAGUUGAGCUUGAUUGAGUCAACCUAGAGCACUCCGCAUAUGCAAACAAAGACAUGGAUGGAUAGAUCAUAACAUAAUUAUAAAAACUCCCUUACUGAUCAUCCUCAAAAGAGGCACGGAUCACUAGGAAACAAGCUGGACAUAUAGCAUCACGAACUAAAAUAUCCCAGACUUAGUGAAAAUCACUAAGUCUCUGAAAUCAGCAAUCUCAGGUACCUCUCUUUGCAAGCUUGCACAAGACAACACACACAUCCUAAAAAUGCAUGGGUGGCACCACUGGAAAGAAGACAAAAUGCUUAACAAUUCAUCCCAAAGGGGCACAGGCAUAUCAUGCACGAAUUAAACAUGGCAAAAAUGACAAAAGUGCAUGAUGAACUAACGGAUCUGCAAUUUAACUCACGAAGCCUCCUUCUAACAGCAUUUUGGGCAUCAAGAUGACCUCAAAUGCAAAUGAUGCAAUGGAAUGAAAUGAUGUACAUGUCGAGACGAAGAUUUUGAUAUAUCAUAUGCCCAAAACGGAGCUACGGUUACGGAGAUACGAGCAGUCAAAGUAGGCACAAAAAUCUAGGGUUAGAGGUAAAAAGUCAACCCGAGAUCCAGAUCUGGAUCCGGGGUACUGUUCACCUGCGCGUCUCCCGAGGAUGACCAGCGCCGGAGCUCAUCGGUGCCGGCCGGAGUGGGGGAAGAGGAGGCCGGGGUGAGGGAGAGGAGGUCGGGCGGCGCCGGAGGAGGAGGCGGCGACCGCGGGCGGCGGCGUCCGNNNNNNNNNNNNNNNNNNNNNNNNNNNNNNNNNNNNNNNNNNNNNNNNNNNNNNNNNNNNNNNNNNNNNNNNNNNNNNNNNNNNNNNNNNNNNNNNNNNNNNNNNNNNNNNNNNNNNNNNNNNNNNNNNNNNNNNNNNNNNNNNNNNNNNNNNNNNNNNNNNNNNNNNNNNNNNNNNNNNNNNNNNNNNNNNNNNNNNNNNNNNNNNNNNNNNNNNNNNNNNNNNNNNNNNNNNNNNNNNNNNNNNNNNNNNNNNNNNNNNNNNNNNNNNNNNNNNNNNNNNNNNNNNNNNNNNNNNNNNNNNNNNNNNNNNNNNNNNNNNNNNNNNNNNNNNNNNNNNNNNNNNNNNNNNNNNNNNNNNNNNNNNNNNNNNNNNNNNNNNNNNNNNNNNNNNNNNNNNNNNNNNNNNNNNNNNNNNNNNNNNNNNNNNNNNNNNNNNNNNNNNNNNNNNNNNNNNNNNNNNNNNNNNNNNNNNNNNNNNNNNNNNNNNNNNNNNNNNNNNNNNNNNNNNNNNNNNNNNNNNNNNNNNNNNNNNNNNNNNNNNNNNNNNNNNNNNNNNNNNNNNNNNNNNNNNNNNNNNNNNNNNNNNNNNNNNNNNNNNNNNNNNNNNNNNNNNNNNNNNNNNNNNNNNNNNNNNNNNNNNNNNNNNNNNNNNNNNNNNNNNNNNNNNNNNNNNNNNNNNNNNNNNNNNNNNNNNNNNNNNNNNNNNNNNNNNNNNNNNNNNNNNNNNNNNNNNNNNNNNNNNNNNNNNNNNNNNNNNNNNNNNNNNNNNNNNNNNNNNNNNNNNNNNNNNNNNNNNNNNNNNNNNNNNNNNNNNNNNNNNNNNNNNNNNNNNNNNNNNNNNNNNNNNNNNNNNNNNNNNNNNNNNNNNNNNNNNNNNNNNNNNNNNNNNNNNNNNNNNNNNNNNNNNNNNNNNNNNNNNNNNNNNNNNNNNNNNNNNNNNNNNNNNNNNNNNNNNNNNNNNNNNNNNNNNNNNNNNNNNNNNNNNNNNNNNNNNNNNNNNNNNNNNNNNNNNNNNNNNNNNNNNNNAGAUCUAGGACUGAAAGAACUCCGGGUACUCAGAACGGAGGUGAUCCUCGCGUUCCCAGGUGGCUUCACGGUCGGAAUGGUGAGACCACUUAACUUUGAGAAAUUUGAUUGACUUGUUGCGAGUCUUGCGUUCAGUCUCUUCAAGAAUAGCAACUGGGUGCUCACGAUAAGAGAGAUCUUCUUGGAGCUCAAUGUCCUCGAAGUUGACGGUGCGGUCAGGAGUCUUGAAGCACUUUCGAAGCUGAGAGACAUGGAACACAUCAUGAACAUUUGCAAAGUUUGAAGGAAGCUCGAGUUGAUAGGCGAGGUCGCCUCUCUUGCUGACAAUCUUGAAAGGUCCCACGUAUCUAGGGGCAAGCUUCCCUUUGAUACCGAAGUGACGAGUACCUUUCAUGGGAGAGACGCGGAGGUAAACAUGAUCUCCGAUCUCGAAAACCAGAUCACGGUGCUUACUAUCAUAGUAGCACUUCUGGCGGGAUUGAGCUGCUUUGAGGUUAUCACGAAUGACUUUGCACAUUUCUUCUGCUUCUGUGAUUAAGUCAUUACCCAGCAGCUGACGUUCACCGGUUUCAGACCAGUUGAGAGGGGUACGGCACUUCCUGCCAUAUAGAAUUUCAAAGGGGGCCUUGCCCGAACUUGCUUGAAAGCUGUUGUUGUAAGAGAAUUCAGCAUAAGGAAGACAAUCCUCCCACUUCAUGCCGAAAGAAAUCACACAAGCCCUGAGCAUGUCUUCAAGAAUCUGAUUGACACGCUCAACUUGACCGCUCGUUUGAGGAUGGAAAGCUGUGCUGAAGCGGAUGUUUGUGCCCAUGGCCUUCUGAAAAGAAUCCCAAAACUUGGAGGUAAAGAUGCUGCCACGGUCUGAAGAUAUCACUUGAGGAAUACCGUGCAGAGAGACAAUGCGAGAGGUAUAGAGUUCCGCCAAUUGAGCUGCAGUGAUCGACUCUUUGAUAGCAGAAAGUGAGCCACUUUGGUGAGCUUGUCGAUGACAACAAAUAUAGCAUCAUUGCCACGCUUGGACUUUGGAAACCCAGUCACGAAGUCCAUUUCAAUGUGGUCAAACUUCCAUUCUGGAAUGGCAAGAGGUUGGAGGAGACCUGCUGGCCUUUGGUGUUCUGCCUUCACUCUUCUGCAGACAUCACACUCGUUCACGAAUUGAGCGAUCUCGCGCUUCAUUCGAGUCCACCAAUAAGUUUGCUUGAGAUCCUGAUACAUCUUCGUACUACCAGGGUGGAUGGAGAGGAGAGAGUUGUGAGCCUCGUUCAUGAUCACCUUACGAAGUUCACCUUUGGGCACAACAAUUCAAUCCUCGAAGAAGAGAGUGUCCUUGUCAUCAAGUCGGUAGCACUUGUACUUGGACUGACUCUUUGCAAUACCAAUCUUCACCUUUUUCACCAUAGCAUCAAGAAGUUGGGCUUGGCGAAUCUGGUCUUCUAAGGUAGGAGAGACUUGAAGGUUGGCGAGGAAACCUUGAGGAACAACUUGCAGAUUAAGUUUGCGGAAAGCUUCACAAAGCUCGGGUUGAUAAGGCUUGAGAAUCAGACUGUUGCAAUAUGCUUUUCUGCUCAAAGCGUCAGCAAUCACAUUAGCCUUGCCUGGAGUAUACUCGAUACUCGGAUUGUACUCUUGAAUCAUUUCGACCCAUCGAGUCUACCUGAGGUUGAGAUUAGGCUGAGUGAAGAUGUACUUGAGACUCUUGUGAUCAGUGAAAAUAUCCACUUUCCUUCCCAAUAGAAGAUGUCUCCAAGUCAACAAAGCAUGCACAACUGCCGCCAACUCAAGAUCAUGAGUGGGGUAGUUCUUCUCAUUAGGUUUCAACUGGCGAGAGGUGUAAGCGACAACUUUCUUCUCUUGCAUCAGUACAGCACCGAGACCUUGGAGAGAGGCAUCACAAAAGACCUCGUACGGCUUGGUUUCAUCAGGCGGAGUCAGAACUGGAGCAGUGAUCAAUUUCUCUUUCAAAGUGUUGAAAGCCAUAUCACACUCCGGAGACCAAACGUACUUGACGUGCUUCUGAAGAAGAUUUGAGAGAGGCUUGGCGAUCUUAGAAAAGUUUUCAACGAAUCUUCUGCAAUAGCUUGCGAGACCGAGGAAACUGCGGAGUUGCUUCACGUUCUGAGGAGGUUCCCAAUUCACAAUUGCAGACACCUUCUCAGGAUUCACGGAAAUGCCCUUGGCAGAGAUGAUAUGACCAAGAUAAAGAACCUCAUCGAGCCAAAAUUCACACUUGGAGAACUUGGCGUAGAACUGAUGUUCCCUGAGCUUGUCAAGAACCAAACGCAAGUGCUUAGCAUAAUCUUCCUUGUUCUUCGAGAAAACCAGAAUGUCGUCGAGAUAGACCAAAACGAAUUCAUUGGUGUAGGGGUUGAAGAUGAAGUUCAUCAUGCGAGAGAACGUCGGAGGAGCGUUUGCGAGGCCAAAAGACAUGACAGUGUAUUCAUAUGAACCAAAGCUUGUUCUGAACGCCGUCUUGGGAAUAUCUUGCGCACGAAUACGAAUCUGAUGAUAACCCAUACGGAGAUCAAGCUUGGAGAAUACUUGAGCACCCUUGAGUUGUUCGAACAGCUCAUUGAUGUUGGGAAGUGGGUAUUUGUUCUUGAUGGUCUUCUUGUUUACUGGACGGUAAUCAACACAAAGUCGACUCGAUCCAUCCAUCUUCUUCACAAAAAGAACACCACAACCCCACGGAGAAGUACUAGGCCGAAUGAGACCCAAUCUUUCUUGCUCAUCGAGUUGUUUCUUCAGCUCCUUCAACUCUUCGGGGCCGAGCUUGUAAGGACGUUUGCACACAGGUUCCGUGCCAGGCUCAAGUUCAAUAACGAAUUCAACUGGCCGGUGCGGAGGCAUUCCUGGGAGCUCUUCUGGAAAGACGUCUUGAUACUCACAAACAACCGGAAUCUGCAAAAUAGCAUCCAAUUCACCCUUCUCAUUGAGAGAAAACAACCGGAUGGUAUUAUCCCGAGCGGCAAAGACAAUGACAUCCUCAGACGAAUGAGUCAGUUGAAUCUGCCUGGCUGCACAAUCAAGCUGAGCUUUAUGCUUAGAGAGCCAGUCCAUCCCGAGAAUAAGAUCGAUAUCCGAGUUGCCAAGAACCGUAGGAGAAGCCAAGAACUUGUAGUCACCCAGAGUGAUAGAAACAUCCGGAACGAUGGAGUUAGCCUGCAUGCGCUUACCGGGAGAGACAACUUCUAAAGGACUAGGUAAAACUUGUGAGACCAAUUCAUGCCUAUUUGUAAACGGUCUCGAGAUGAAGCAAUGCGAUGCACCAGUGUCAAAAAGAACUUUUGCAGGAAUAUCAUUAACAGGAAGGUUACCCAUGAUCACAUCUGACGAGUCCUCUGCCUGAGCUGCAUUCAUCAAGUUGACCUUGGCGGACUUGGGGUUAUGCUUGACCACAGCUAUACUUGCCGAUCUGACAGGAGGAGGAGGAGGAAGACGCCUCUGGUUGGUACACUUGUUGGCAUAGUGACCCUUCUGUUGGCACUUGUUGCACGUGACCUCUGAAAGCGGACGGUGAUACGGAGCACUCGAUCUUGGCGCUUGAGACGAAGACUUGUUCUGAAAGCCUGGGUUGGGUGGGUGGGAGAAACCACUGCCACCUUUGCUCUUCUGCUGAUACGGCUGACGGAACGGAGGAGGAGGAAGCCAAUACUUCUGCUGCUUGACCACUUGAGUAGAGGAAGACGGAGUAACAUCUCUGGCACGCUUCCUGGAAGCAUCACACCUCAACUGAGCAGCCUCUUGCUUCAGUGCCAUGUUGUAGAACUCAUCGUAUCUCAACGGCUCAAAGAGGACAAGAGCGAGCUGAAUUUCCUCACGAAGACCACCCCUGAACUGAUAGAUCAUGCUCUUCUCAUCAGGAACAUCCUGCUUGGCAAAACGGGCGAGCUUCUGGAACAACUUGUUGUAGUCAUAGACAGACAAAGAGCCUUGCUUCAGAUUGCGGAAUUCCUGACGCUUACUCUCAACCACACUUUGAGGGAUGUGAUGAGCACGGAAAUCUUGACGGAAAUCGUCCCAAGUGAUAACACGUCCACCUCUGGAAUCCUUGUACUGCUGGAACCACUCUGCAGCCUGAUCUUUGAGCUGGAAAGAAGCGAACUUGACGAAAUCUUCAGGCCUGACGUUGCUGCAUUCAAAAUGCUUGCCCAGAUCCACUAGCCAAUCGUCAGCAUCGGUAGCCUCAACACAACCGCUGAACGUCUUUGGGCCAUUAGCAAGGAACUGGUUCAGUGUAGCAAAGUGGUGCUGAUUAUGGCCUUGAUUCCCUUGACUGCCUUGAUUGCGCUCUUGGAGAAUUUGCAUGAUCAACUGUGUGUUUGCAUUAGUAGCGGCCAUCACAGCUUGCCAUGCUUCCGGAGGAGGCGGAGGUGGAGGCGGAUCAGGAUUCGGAGUCGUGCGCGUUGGAGGAGCCAUCCUGAACAGGUUGACCACCAUUAGCACACUGAUAGACAACAAUAUAGAAGCUGAAUCCAACGGAAUGAAAAUUGCAACAUAUAGUCUUCACAUCCGAACAGAAUGAACGAAUGCAUUUCUCUUGAAGUGGUCACAUAUCCAUAAAUUGAGGAGCCACGAAGAAUUAAGGUAGAGAAAUAAAUCAACAAGGUACGGAUCAAGAACGAAUAAUCGGUAAGAAAUCCCAAUCUCAAACCAAUAUCCGUGGAAGAAGAACUAGAGCUACUAGAAUUCCCACCUAUGAAAUUCCCGAACCUUUCUGGUUAUGCAAUCAGGUGUUGGGGAUACAGGGGAAGCACAAUAUCUCACCCAAACUAGCAAAUCCUACAUCCAGCUGUAUCCAUCCUUCAACACAUAACCAAGAAACCUUCGGAAACCAUCUAUCUCAACCUUCGAAAAGCAUCCGUUAUACAAGUUAUGGCGAUACUCCGGAACUCCCGCCCCAGUACUGGGUGGCGUCGAGGUUAUCUCACCAACGAACUGCAUAAAAGAGAUUUCCGAUGCCGCGCACAUAUCUCAAGUAUACCAGAAUUGCAACGAUAAAAUUGUGACGACAACACCUCGGAGCUCAACUCCCCGGGACACUGCCACAACCCCUAAAGACAGGAGGCACCAAGAACAAUGUUCUCGUCACAAAACCAUCGGAACAAAACCAAGAUACUCGCGUGAUCCUAAAAUUUUUUUAGUGAAAUUUGAGAAGAGAAGAGUCAAAACUCUACAUCAGGAUGCCUUACCAGAGCGAUGAGGAGACUGGGAAGUAAAAGAAUUCCUAAGCUCUCCGAUAUAUAAUUCCUAAGGACUCAAAACAUUUUUCUAUACACAACUCGGCUGCUAAAAACGAUCAAGCAAUGGGGGCUCCUAAGGUCGGGGAUGGCUCUGAUACCAACUUGUAACGCCCUCGAUGCGGCUAUAGCUCCCACGUGUCGAGGCACGACUUAGAGACAUAACUGCAUUGAAAGCAAUGUCGCAAGUUAGGCAAUCAUUACAACAUCCCAUGUAAUACAUAAUAAAAGGGGGAGAUACCAUAGUUGGCUUACACUCGCCACGUCACAUCAGAGUGCAUAAAUAACAUCCAUCAAACAAACACUCAUGGCCCGACUAUGGCGCCAAAAUAGAAAAGAACCCAACAUGCGACAAGGUCCUGAAUCGAUCCCCAACUAGGCACCACUACUGAUCAUCGGGAAAGGAAACAUAAUAACGCUGAGAGUCCUCGUCGAACUCCCACUUGAGCUCGUACUCGUCACCUGGAGCGGAAUCACCUGGACCUGCAUCUGGAGUUGUAGUAUCUGUGAGCCACAGGGACUCAGCAAUCUCGCACCCUCGCGAUCAAAACUAUUUAAGCUCAUAGGAAUGGAUAAGGCAAAUAUAUGUGGAGCUGCAGCAAGCGACUAGCAUAUGCGGUGGCUAACUUAUACGCAAAAGAGAGCGAGAAGAGAAGGCGAAGCACGAGCGAGAAGCUAAAGGAACAUCCUGCGCACGCAUAACUCCAACACCGUGUCCACUUCCCGGACUCCGCCGAGAAGGGGCCAUCACGGUAACACACACGGUUGAUUCAUUUUAAUUAAGUUUAGUUCAAGUAAUCUACAACCGGACAUUAACAAAUUCCCAUCUGCCCAUAACCGCGGGCACGGCUUUCGAAAGUUCAAUCCCUGCAGGGGAGUCCCAACUUAGCCCAUGACAAGCUCUCACGGUCAACGAAGGAAUAGAGCUCCACCCGAGACAUUCCGAUCAGACUCGGUAUCCUGGUACAACAAGACAUUUCGACAGGGUAAAACUAAACCAGCAACACCGCCCGAAUGUGCCGACAAAUCCCGAUAGGAGCUGCACAUAUCUCUUUCUCAGGGCACACUCAGAUUGUCCUAGGUACGGGUAGGCCAGCCCAGAGUUGCCCCUGGUAGCCACCGGUNNNNNNNNNNGGCCGGCGAUGCGGGCGCGGGCGCGGUGGCAGGAGGGCCACGUGGCGGUUGGCGGCUGGCUGGGCGCGGCGGCGGAUGUUGUCCGGCUCGCCCGGACACGUCCGUCGGCGGCGGAUCUGGCGAGGAGAUGUUUUUUUUUAAAACUAGGGUUUGAGACGAGGGGAUCCGGGAUUUGGAGGAGGGGGUCUAUAAAUAGACAUAAGUGGAGCUAGGAGAGUCCAAAUGAGGUGCGGUUUUCGCCCACACGAUCGUGAUCGAACGCUCUAGGACAUGGAGCAGAGUUUGGUGGGUUUUGGGCCAAAUUUGGGGGGUUGUUGGGCUGCAACACACACGAGGCCUUUCCGGUCCCUCGGUUAACCGUUGGAGUAUCAAACGAAGUCCAGAUGACCCGAAACUUGACAGGAGGUCUACCGGUAGUAAACCAAGGCCGCUUGGCAAGUCUUGGUCCAAUCCGGAAAUGUUUAAACCCCACACACGAAAGAAGACUAGAAAUGACCACCGGAGGAGAACGAAGCGCCGGAAUGCAAAACGGACAACGGGGAAAAGGCUCGAAUGCAUGAGAUGAACAUGUAUGCAAAUGCAAUGCACGUGAUGACAUGAUAAGAGAUGCACGAAAAAGAAAAACAACAUGCGGAGACAAAAACCCAAACCCGAGAAAUAAAUGUAACUUAGCGCCGGAGACGGCAAGAGUUGGAUACAAAUAUGGAAAGUAUAUCUGGGGCGUUACAAUGGGUAUCUAGAUCCCGCUAUUGGUUAUUGACCGGAGAACGUCUCGGUCAUGUCUGCAUGGUUCCCGAACCCGUAGGGUCUACACACUUAAGGUUCGGUGACGCUAGGGUUAUAGAGAUAUUAGUAUGCGGUAACCCGAAAGUUGUUCGGAGUCCCAGAUGAGAUCCCGGACGUCACGAGGAGUUCUGAAAUGGUCCGGAGGUAAAGAAUUAUAUAUAGGAAGUGCUAUUUCGGCCAUCGGGACAAGUUUCGGGGUCACCGGUAUUGUAUCGGGACCACCGGAAGGGUCCCGUGGGUCCACCGGGUGGGGCCACCUGCCCCGGGGGGCACAUGGGCUGUAGGGGUGUGCACCUUGGCCUAUAUGGGCCAAGGGCACCAGCCCCAAGAGGCCCAUGCGCCAAGAGAUAAGGAAAGGAAGAGUCUUAAAGGGGGAAGGCACCUCCUAGGUGCCUUGGGGAGGAGGGACUCCUCCCUAGCCGCACCCUUCCUUGGAGGAAGGGCCAAGGCUGCGCCCCCCCCCCCCUCUCCCUUGGCCCUAUAUAUAGUGGGGGGAAGGGNNNNNNNNNNNNNNNNNNNNNNNNGCACAUAUCUCUUUCUCAGGGCACACUCAGAUUGUCCUAGGUACGGGUAGGCCAGCCCAGAGUUGCCCCUGGUAGCCACCGGUAGCUGACAGGUGGACCAACACUCAGAGGAGCACUGGCCCGGGGGGGGGGGGUAAAAUAACGAUGACCCUUGAGUCUGCAGAACCCAAGGGAAAGAAAAGGCUAGGUGGAAAAUGGUAAAACAAAUGUUGGGCAUUGCUGGAAGAGCUUUACUUAAGACGAACUGUCAAGGGGUUCCCAUAAUAGCCCAACCGUGUAAGGAACGCAAAAUCCGGGAACAUAACACCGAUAUGACGGAAACUAGGGCGGCAAGAGUGGAACAAAACACCAGGCAUAAGGCCGAGCCUUCCACCCUUUACCAAGUAUAUAGAUGCAUUAAUUAAGUAAGGUAUAUUGUGAUAUCCCAACAAGUAAAUAAAAGUUCCAACAAGGAACGGCUCCAAUCUUCCACCUGCAACUAACAACGCUAUAAGAAGGGCUGAGCAAAGCGGUAACAUAGCCAAUCAACGGUUUGCUAGGACAAUGGUGGGUUAGGGGAUCACAUGGCAAUUGGGAGGCUGACAAGCAAAAGGUAGGCAUCGUAGCAGUGGCAAAGCAAAAGAGCGAGCAAACUAGCAUAGCAAAGAUAGUAGUGAUUUCGAGGGUAUGAUCAUCUUGCCUGCACAGUUGUCAGAGUUGACUGGAUCCUCGCAAGCAAACUCAACGGGCUCCUCGGUAGCGAACUCGUCUCCCGGCUCUACCCAACAAGACAAACAAGCAACAAGGAUACAAUCAACCACGGCAAGACCAAGCAAUAUGAUGAAAUGACAAUAUGCUAUGCGGGAUGCGAUGCGGGAUGCAAAAUGCAAGAUAUGACAGGAAAUGCAUGAACCUGGCAUCAACUUGGAAAACCAAGUGUGCCACUGGAUAGAGGGGAUGAAAUCGCUUGAAAACGAUAUAAAGAUCAUUGGAAUCGGAGCUACGGUUUGGAAAUGGCGAGCGUUUUAAGAUAUGACACCGGUAUGCGAUUUACAGCAAGUAGGCAUCUAAAUGCAACAAAAUGAACAUGCUACAGCCACCAAACAUAAAAACAAAUACAUGGCAGUGAUGUACACAAGAUGGUUGACAAAACACUAGCACUGAGCCAUAGGCAAAUUCAUCCAUUAAGAGGUUCAAACAAGCAUGGCUAAAACGCAAAUGCAAAACAGAUUUCAGACUUAGUGAAAUUAACACUAGUCUGAAAUUUCAGAUCACGAUGCUCUCUUCGGAGCAGCAAAACAACAUGAUAGAAAACCUGAACAUGACAAGUAAUAACAUGGCAUGGAGCUACUCAACAAUCUUAAAAAAACACCCAAAGUGACCUGGGGCCAAAAGGGUUCACAAAAUACUCUACCGAGCUCACGAACAUAGCUCGAACACAAUCAGUUUUCAGACUUAGUGAAAACUGAGACACGCUGAAAUAUAACUCACGAAGGCAUGUAAACGAGCUCGAUGCACUCACUACGGUGCAAGUCAUGGCAAGGAAAGCAUAUAACCAGCAAGAAGGCACAAAGUGCUAGCUACACAUGGCAAGAACGAAGGCAUAGCAUGCAUGGAACACUAACGGUAGCAUCGGCAAAAUCGCAAACAAGUUGACGAUCUGCCCGGAUUAACAACGAAGCAAAAGUUGAGCUUGAUUGACUCAACCUAGAGCACUCCACAUAUGCAAACAAAGACAUGGAUGGAUAGAGCAUAACAUAAUUAUCAAAACUCCCUUACUGAUCAUCCUCAAAAGAGGCACGGAUCACUAGGAAACAAGCUGGACAUAUAGCAUCACGAACUAAAAUAUCCCAGACUUAGUGAAAAUCACUAAGUCUCUGAAAUCAGCAAUCUCAGGUACCUCUCUUCGCAAUCUUGCACAAGACAACACACACAUCCUAAAAAUGCAUGGGUGGCACCACUAGAAAGAAGACAAAAUGCUUAACAAUUCAUCCCAAAGGGGCACAGGCAUAUCAUGCACGAAUUAAACAUGGCAAAAAUGACAAAAGUGCAUGAUGAACUAACGGAUCUGCAAUUUAACUCACGAAGCCUCCUUCUAACAGCAUUUUGGGCAUCAAGAUGACCUCAAAUGCAAAUGAUGCAAUGGAAUGAAAUGAUGUACAUGUCGAGACGAAGAUUUUGAUAUAUCAUAUGCCCAAAACGGAGCUACGGUUACAGAGAUACGAGCAGUCAAAGUAGGCACAAAAAUCUAGGGUUAGAGGUAAAAAGUCAACCCGAGAUCCAGAUCUGGAUCCGGGGUACUGUUCACCUGCGCGUCUCCCGAGGAUGACCAGCGCCGGAGCUCGCCGGAGCCGGCCGGAGUGGGGGAAGAGGAGGCCGGGGUGAGGGAGAGGAGGUCGGGCGGCGCCGGAGGAGGAGGCGGCGACCGCGGGCGGCGGCGUCCGGGGCGGCNNNNNNNNNNNNNNNNNNNNNNNNNNNNNNNNNNNNNNNNNNNNNNNNNNNNNNNNNNNNNNNNNNNNNNNNNNNNNNNNNNNNNNNNNNNNNNNNNNNNNNNNNNNNNNNNNNNNNNNNNNNNNNNNNNNNNNNNNNNNNNNNNNNNNNNNNNNNNNNNNNNNNNNNNNNNNNNNNNNNNNNNNNNNNNNNNNNNNNNNNNNNNNNNNNNNNNNNNNNNNNNNNNNNNNNNNNNNNNNNNNNNNNNNNNNNNNNNNNNNNNNNNNNNNNNNNNNNNNNNNNNNNNNNNNNNNNNNNNNNNNNNNNNNNNNNNNNNNNNNNNNNNNNNNNNNNNNNNNNNNNNNNNNNNNNNNNNNNNNNNNNNNNNNNNNNNNNNNNNNNNNNNNNNNNNNNNNNNNNNNNNNNNNNNNNNNNNNNNNNNNNNNNNNNNNNNNNNNNNNNNNNNNNNNNNNNNNNNNNNNNNNNNNNNNNNNNNNNNNNNNNNNNNNNNNNNNNNNNNNNNNNNNNNNNNNNNNNNNNNNNNNNNNNNNNNNNNNNNNNNNNNNNNNNNNNNNNNNNNNNNNNNNNNNNNNNNNNNNNNNNNNNNNNNNNNNNNNNNNNNNNNNNNNNNNNNNNNNNNNNNNNNNNNNNNNNNNNNNNNNNNNNNNNNNNNNNNNNNNNNNNNNNNNNNNNNNNNNNNNNNNNNNNNNNNNNNNNNNNNNNNNNNNNNNNNNNNNNNNNNNNNNNNNNNNNNNNNNNNNNNNNNNNNNNNNNNNNNNNNNNNNNNNNNNNNNNNNNNNNNNNNNNNNNNNNNNNNNNNNNNNNNNNNNNNNNNNNNNNNNNNNNNNNNNNNNNNNNNNNNNNNNNNNNNNNNNNNNNNNNNNNNNNNNNNNNNNNNNNNNNNNNNNNNNNNNNNNNNNNNNNNNNNNNNNNNNNNNNNNNNNNNNNNNNNNNNNNNNNNNNNNNNNNNNNNNNNNNNNNNNNNNNNNNNNNNNNNNNNNNNNNNNNNNNNNNNNNNNNNNNNNNNNNNNNNNNNNNNNNNNNNNNNNNNNNNNNNNNNNNNNNNNNNNNNNNNNNNNNNNNNNNNNNNNNNNNNNNNNNNNNNNNNNNNNNNNNNNNNNNNNNNNNNNNNNNNNNNNNNNNNNNNNNNNNNNNNNNNNNNNNNNNNNNNNNNNNNNNNNNNNNNNNNNNNNNNNNNNNNNNNNNNNNNNNNNNNNNNNNNNNNNNNNNNNNNNNNNNNNNNNNNNNNNNNNNNNNNNNNNNNNNNNNNNNNNNNNNNNNNNNNNNNNNNNNNNNNNNNNNNNNNNNNNNNNNNNNNNNNNNNNNNNNNNNNNNNNNNNNNNNNNNNNNNNNNNNNNNNNNNNNNNNNNNNNNNNNNNNNNNNNNNNNNNNNNNNNNNNNNNNNNNNNNNNNNNNNNNNNNNNNNNNNNNNNNNNNNNNNNNNNNNNNNNNNNNNNNNNNNNNNNNNNNNNNNNNNNNNNNNNNNNNNNNNNNNNNNNNNNNNNNNNNNNNNNNNNNNNNNNNNNNNNNNNNNNNNNNNNNNNNNNNNNNNNNNNNNNNNNNNNNNNNNNNNNNNNNNNNNNNNNNNNNNNNNNNNNNNNNNNNNNNNNNNNNNNNNNNNNNNNNNNNNNNNNNNNNNNNNNNNNNNNNNNNNNNNNNNNNNNNNNNNNNNNNNNNNNNNNNNNNNNNNNNNNNNNNNNNNNNNNNNNNNNNNNNNNNNNNNNNNNNNNNNNNNNNNGUGGGGGGAAGGGAGGGCAGCCCCAUCUAAGCCCUGGCGCCUCCCUCUCCCUCCCGUGACACAUCUCCCUCCUCCCGCGGCGCUUGGCGAAGCCCUAUUGGAAUCCCGCUACUUCCACCACCACGCCAUCGUGCUGCUGGAUCUCCAUCAACCUCUCCUUCCCCCUUGCUGGAUCAAGAAGGAGGAGACAUCGCUGCUCCGUAUGUGUGUUGAACGCGGAGGUGCCGUCCGUUCGGCGCUAGGAUUAUCGGUGACUUGGAUCACGACGAGUACGACUCCUUCAACCCCGUUCUCUUGAACGCUUCCGCAUAGCGAUCUACAAGGGUAUGUAGAUGCACUCUCCUUCCCCUUGUUGCUAGUCUCUCCAUAGAUAGAUCUUGGUGACACGUAGGAAAUUUUUUGAAUUUCUGCUACGUUCCCCAAUAAGGGGGCGCGCCCUCCACCCUCGUGGGCCCCCUGUUGCUCCACCGCCGUACUUCUUCCUCCUAUAUAUACCCACGUACCCCCAAACGAUCAGACACGGAGCCAAAACCCUAAUUCCACCGCCGCAACUUUCUGUAUCCAUGAGAUCCCAUCUUGGGGCAUGUUCCGGAGCUCCGCCGGAGGGGGCAUCGAUCACGGAGGGCUUCUACAUCAACACCAUAGCCUCUCCGAUGAAGUGUGAGUAGUUUACUUCAGACCUACGGGUCCAUAGUUAGUAGCUAGAUGGCUUCUUCUCUUUUUUUGGAUCUCAAUACAAUGUUCUCCCCCUCUCUUGUGGAGAUCUAUUCGAUGUAAUCUUCUUUUUGCGGUGUGUUUGUUGAUACCAAUGAAUUGUGGGUUUAUGAUCAAGUCUAUCUAUGAAUAAUAUUUGAAUCUUCUCUGAAUUCUUUUAUGUAUGAUUGGUUAUCUUUGCAAGUCUCUUCGAAUUAUCAGUUUGGUUUGGCCUACUUGAUUGAUCUUUCUUGCAAUGGGAGAAGUGCUUAGCUUUGGGUUCAAUCUUGCGGUGUCCUUUCCCGGUGAUAGUAAGGGCAGCAAGGCACGUAUUGUAUUGUUGCCAUCGAGGAUAACAAUAUGGGGUUUUCUUCAUAUUGCAUGAGUCUAUCCCUCUACAUCAUGUCAUCUUGCUUAAGGCGUUACUCUGUUUUUAACUUAAUACUCUAGAUGCAUGCUGGAUAGCGGUCGAUGAGUGGAGUAAUAGUAGUAGAUGCAGGCAGGAGUCGGUCUACUUGUCUCGGACGUGAUGCCUAUAUACAUGAUCAUACCUAGAUAUUCUCAUAACUAUGCUCAAUUCUGUCAAUUGCUCAACAGUAAUUUGUUCACCCACCGUAGAAUACUUAUGCUCUCGAGAGAAGCCACUAGUGAAACCUAUGGCCCCCGGGUCUAUCUUUAUCAUAUCAAUCUCCUGCUACUUAGUUAUUUACUUUGCUAUUUGCUUUGCCUUUAUUUUACUUUGCAUCUUUAUCAUAAAAAUACCAAAAAUAUUAUCUUUAUCAUAUCUAUCAGAUCUCACUCUCGUAAGUGGCCCUAUAGGGAUUGACAACCCCUAUUUGCGUUGGUUGCGAGGAUUUAUUUGUUUGUGCAGGUACGAGGGACCUGCGUGUAGCCUCCUACUGGAUUGAUACCUUGGUUCUCAAAAACUGAGGGAAAUACUUACGCUACUUUGCUGCAUCAUCCCUUCCUCUUCGGGGAAAACCAACGCAGUGCUAAAAGAGGUAGCAUUAUCAGAGUAACACGAAACAGCUGAAUAGCGGGCAAUACCACGUCUUCACCACAAGCUUGUGUAAGCGGGAUCAGAAGCUUCAUAAAAGGGCAUUAAACUCCGUUGAACCGGCAGUACCCCGUUACUUGCGUUGGUCUGAGCAGCCCAUUGUGUGGAGUCGAGAGGAUCAUCCGCCCCGGGUUGAUAAUCCGGGUCAUCUGGCAUUGGUGGUUGCACCUCAGGUUGGAGGGUAUAAGUUCACCAAGGUGCUCAUGGACGGAGGGAGCAUCAUCAAUAUCCUCUAUUAUGAAACCUUCCGUCGUAUGGGGUUGACGGAUAAAAAUCUUAAACCAUCAAACACUGUUUUCCAUGGUGUGGUGCCUGGUAAGUCAGCAUAUCCAGUUGGUAAAAUAGCUCUGGAAGUUGUGUUUGGGGAUGAGUAUGACUCUCGAUCAGAGACAUUGACCUUUGAGGUGGUGAAGAUCAAAAGCCCUUAUCAUGCUCUGUCUGGACGGCCGACUUAUGCUAAGUUUAUGGCAAGACCCUGUUAUGUUUAUCUACAGCUCAAGAUGCCAGGUCAUAAGGGGACCAUCACGGUACAUGGGAGCCGAAAGAUAGCCUUGGAAUGUGAGGAAGGUGAUGCGGCUUAUGCUAAGUCGGUUUGUGCAACAGAGGAGUUGAAAUUUUAUAAGGACAAUGUUGAUCCGGCGGAUAUGACUUCUUUGAAAAAGCCAACUACAAAGCAUGAUCCAACAUUGAAGUUUAAAUCGGCUGAGGAAACCAAGUUAGUUGAUAUUGUUCCUGGUGAUUCAUCCAAGCAGUUUAGCAUCAGUGCUAAUCUGGAUCCGAAAUAGGAAAGCGCGCUCAUCGAGUUCAUAUGUGAGAACCGAAACAUCUUUGCAUGGAAACAUACUGACAUGCCAGGUGUACCGAGGGAACUCGCUGAGCACACUCUUAAUAUUGAUCCUAAGUUUAGAUCGGCCAGGCAGUUUCUCCGCCGCUUCAAUGAAGAAAGGCGUAAGGCUAUUGGUGAGGAGGUAGCCUGGCUCUUGGCAGUAGGGUUUAUUGUGGAGGUUGUUCACCCUGAGUGGUUAGCUAACCCGGUGCUAGUACUUAAGAAGAACGGCACUUGGCGUAUGUGUGUGGAUUACACAGAUUUGAACAAGGCUUGUCCAGCUGAUCCCUUUGCUCUCCCUCGUAUUGAUCAAAUCAUUGAUGCUACGGUGGGUUGUGAGCGUCCAAGCUUUCUGGAUGCUUAUUCUGGUUAUCAUCAGAUCAAAAUGGCAGUUAAGGACCAGGAGAAGACAGCUUUUAUAACUCCCUUUGGAGCCUUCUGCUAUGUAUCUAUGCCUUUUGGGAUCAAGAGUGCCCAGGCGACUUAUCAGCGUUGUGUGCAAAAUUGUCUUCAUAAUCAGAUUGGGCGGAAUGUUCAUUCUUGCGUGGAUGAUAUUUUGGUGAAGUCCAUAAAGGAGGAGUCAUUAAUAGAUGACUUAAAGGAAACUUUUGAUAAUCUCUGGGUCUAUAAGAUGAUGCUUAAUCCGGCCAAGUGUGUUUUUGGUGUACCGGCAAGCAAGCUCUUGGGUUUUCUGGUGUCUAACAGGGGUAUUGAGGCUAACCCGAAAAAAAUCAAGGCAAUUACUUCUCUGGCUAAACCGGUGUGCAUCAAUGAUGUUCAACGUCUGGCAGGUCGUAUUGCAGCAUUGAGCCGGUUUAUCAGCCGGUUGGGGGAGAAAGCUAUCCCUCUGUAUCAGAUGAUGAAAAAGACAGAUAAUUUUGUCUGGAGUGAUGCGGCUAAUGCGGCGAUUGAGGACUUGAAGAAACAAUUAGCCGAGCCUCCCGUCCUUGCCGCUCCCAUUGAUAAAGAGCCAUUGCUGUUAUAUGUGGCUGCUAAUGCCCGGGCUGUCAGUGUGGCUAUUGUGGUAGAGUGGAAGGAGGCAAGCAAAGAAUAUCCGGUUUAACGGUCGGUUUAUUAUAUCAGUGGGGUACUCAUUGAGUCCAAGCAAAGAUACCCACAUUGGCAGAAGCUGGUGUAUGGAGUUUUUAUGGCAAGCCAGAAGCUUAAACAGUAUUUUCAGGGUCACCCCAUCACUGUGGUCAGCUCUGCCCCUUUGGGGGAUAUAAUUCAAAACAGGGAGGCAACUGGCUGGGUUGCCAAGUGGGCCAUUGAGCUUGGACCUCAUGGGUUAAAGUAUAUGCCUCGGACGGCAAUCAAGUCCCAGACACUUGUGGAUUUCAUCAAUGAUUGGACAGAAUUGCAGACACCAGAGGAAAAGCCGGAUAACACAUAUUGGACUCUUCACUUUGAUGGGUCCAGGAAAUUGGAGGGCUCGGGGGCUGGAGUUGUGCUAGCUUCCCCUCGAGGUGAUAAAUUUUGUUAUGUCCUCCGUUUAUUGUUUCCUUGCACUAACAAUGCAGCUGAAUAUGAGGCUUUACUCCAUGGUCGUCGAGUGGCUAAGGAGAUGAACUUGAGCCGGGUUAGGUGUUUUGGUGACUCAGAUUUGGUAGCUCAACAAGUAUUAGGUACUUGGGACUCUAAGGAUCCACUCAUGGCGGCUUAUCGAUAGGAGGUGGAUAUUAUUGCUGGUCAUUUCAAGGGUUACCAGGUUGAGCAUGUGGACCGGAGGAAGAAUGAAGCGGUAGACGCUUUAAGCUGGCUGGGUUCUCAACGUAAACCGGUGCUACCCAACGUUGUUCUUGAUGUCCUUCAUAACCCGUCGGUCAAGUUACCCACAGAGGAGGAUUUGGCUAUUCCUGACCCAGAGGCUCAAUUGGUGGCAGCUCUUCAUGUUAUCCCGGAUUGGACGGUUCCCUAUUUGGCGUAUAUGACCCGGGGCAAGUUACCUGAGGAUGAGGUUUUGGCCAGACAGAUAAUCCAGCAGUCCAAGUCAAUGACUAUUGUCAAUGGAGAGUUGCAUCAUUGUAGUGUUACAGGGGCGUUUUAGCGUUGUGUGUCUCCGGAAGAAGGCUGUGAGAUCCUCCGUGAGAUCCAUGAAGGGGACUGUGGACAUCAUGCCGGUUCAAAAUCUCUGGUAGCCAAAGCUUUUCGUCACAGUUUUUAUUGCCUGACGGCUCAUGCUGAUGCUGAGGACUUGGUCAGAAGGUGUGAUGGUUGUCAGAAAUUUGCACGUCGAGCUCAUGUUUCGGCUCAGGAGUUAAGGAUGAUUCCAAUUACUUGUCCAUUUGCAGUCUGGGGGCUUGAUAUGGUGGGGCCCUUUAAAAUAUCCAAGGAUAAGAAGACCCACCUCUUGGUGGCAGUUGACAAGUUUACUAAAUGGGUAGAGGCCGAGCCAGUGAGCAAAUGUGAUGCAACGACGGCGGUUCAAUUCAUGAAGAAGGUGAUCUUCCGCUUUGGCUUUCCACAUAGCAUUAUAACUGACAUUGGUACUAACCUUUCAAAGGGAGCUAUUGAAGAUUUUUGUCAACGUGAGCAUAUCCGGCUUGACAUAUCGUCAGUAGCUCACCCCCAGUCUAAUGGUCAAGCUGAGAGAGCCAAUCAAGAGAUCUUAAGAGGUAUCAAACCCCGGCUUAUGGUUCCUUUGCAGAGGAUGCAGGGUUGUUGGGUCGAGGAGUUACCUUCCAUGUUAUGGAGCAUUAAUACCACCCUAACAGGUCUACGGGUUAUACGCCCUUUUUCAUGGCUUAUGGAGCAGAGGGAGUUCUCCCUAGUGACAUCCGUCAUGACUCGCCCCGUGUGGCAGCUUAUGUUGAAGCUGACAAUGAAAAAACAUGUCAGGAAGCACUUGACUUGUUGGAUGAAGAGCGUGACAUUGCAGCGGCCCGUUCGGUGAUUUACCAGCAAGACCUGCGCCGUUACCACAGCCGCCAGGUUAAAACCAGAACUUUUCAAGAAGGUGAUCUGGUGCUCCGGCUCAUCCAGGAUCAGACUGAUAUGCACAAGUUAUCCCCACCUUGGGAAGGACCCUUUGUGGUCAGCAAGAAUCUAAACAAUGGGUCAUAUUACCUUAUCGAUGUUCGAGACCACAAGGACUCACGCACAUCAGAGGAGGAGACCCACCGACCCUGGAAUAUUGCUCAACUUAGGCCAUAUUACACCUGAGCCACAGGCUCUCCGUAUGUACAUAUUUAAACAAUCUAUAUAUUAUGAUUGAUAUAAUAAACCGACAUCCUUGCUGAAGCGGGGCUUCUGUCGUUCCCAUACAUGAGUCUCUGUUACCUUGGUAAUCCGGCUAUCAAGCCCAUAUUAUAAGAGCACAGCUCUGUUACCUUGGUAAUCCGGCUAUCAAGCCCAUAUUAUAAGAGCACAGCUCUGUUACCUUGGUAAUUCGGCUAUCAAGCCCAUAUUAUAAGAGCACAACUCUGUUACCUUGGUAAUCCGGCUAUCAAGCCCAUAUUAUAAGAGCACAGCUCUGUUACCUUGGUAAUCCGGCUAUCAAGCCAAUAUCACAACUUCAUAUGAGCAGGGCUCUGAUCUACUUAAGGCUUAAUGCCCGGAUUAAAGGGACCAAAGAGAGUCUGAUGCAUAACUCAGCUCAAACAUAGGUAUCCCUUGGGCACAACCCACAUAAUCACUUGGGGGCUUGGUCGUAUUCGAACCAUAGCUACACCUCUUGAUAGACAUAAGGCCACCAGGGAAAUCACUUGGGGGCUUUGGUCGUAUUCGAACCAUCACUUCAACCCUCUUGAUCAUUGAAACACCACAAUUAUAACUAUUUCCAACUUUUUUUUUGAUUUUUUUGGUUUAUAAUGCUUUAUGAGUGUAAUUUAUCUAUGCUAUUUAAACCUGGUCUGGGCCUGUUCAUAAACGAGCAACAGCUGAGGAAUAUCAAUACUCAAGGUUUGGGUUAUCACCCUUACUACAAAAAGUUGGUAAACCAACGAUGUGAUUCAAUGUCAUAGGUAUGAUAUAUUUCAUAUUUGGUUAUUCUUAAGUACAACCUUGGUUAUAAACCCGAGUUAUAUGUUGGGCGUUAUGACCCGUCCGGUGGUAAACCGCCAGGACACUUUUUAUAUGCAGAAACAGGUUGAAUAAAGGUUCUACGGAUCAUAAGCAGACAUAGCAUAAUCAUGACGGAUUAACCGUGUCAUGCAAAGCGAACAUGCACGAUGGCAUAGUAGACCAAGUAUUUAAACUAGCCUAUUACAAGGCACUUUGAUGCCCAAAAGGAUAAUUGUUUUCAACAAGUGUUGCAGUAUGCAGAAGGCUAAACCGGCCUCCGGAUCAUGAUUCUUCACCGGGCUGACUUGACGGCUGUGGAUCAUCUUCCGCCGCUUCAUCAUCCUUCUCUCCACCCAGCGGCUGGAAGUCAAUGGUUGCCCAGUCGAUUCCAGUUAGGGCCUUGAAUACAACUUCGUCACUUAUAAGUGUGGAGGGUUCAACAUCAGGGGAGUAGAUAUGCUUACGGAUUGGCGGGAUAAGAUUUUCCACAUCAUGAGUUGGCGCAUUAACCCGUUUGUUGUCGGCGUCAUAAAUUGACUGGUAAUGAGAAAGAUCUGUCUCUUCAGCCAAUUUGCUCACUAAUGGGCGCAUUUCCUUCGUCAAAGCUCGGAGAUCAUCAUUGUCAAAAUCUGACCCGUCCUCCUUUAUGCUUGGAUAGCCGCUUCCUAUAUCAGCCGGGUCAAGAUCUGGUAUCCAUGCUUUAGCCCGGAUUAGCGUAGUUAGAGCACCUGCCCUUGCAGCUGAUCUUUUUAACUCCUCAAACCGGGCAGGAAUCAUUGAUAGCUUCUCUAAUGUUUCCUUGAUCAAGGUUGGGGGUGGUUUGUUAUGAGAGGUAGUACAAAUGAUCCGUUGUGCGCCGGUAUAUAAUUGCUCUAUAAGAGUAUAGGCAGCCUUCAAUUUUUUCUGCAUAUCAGAGCCCAGAUGGGUGAUGCGAGAUCCUGCAUCAUUACGCACAUCGAUAAACCAGCAGUUCAUAGGAUAAUACAUGUUAAACUCUUAUAAUAAGGGUGCUUACCAAACACAGCAGUGGUCAUGGCAUUUAUUUGCCACUUCAGACCAGUCAGCUCUUCUACCACCGGAUUAAGGGCUGCUUCUGCAUCCUCAGCCCUCUUUUGUAGUUUGGUUUUCUCUAUGUCCCAGUCUGCCCGCUCCUUCUGGAAGUUUUCCUUCAAUUUCUCCAUGGCUACUAAGGCACUGGUUAGCUCCUCUUUGGCUUUGGAAGUUUCUGCUUGUUGGGACUUGAUAUUUUCUUGAAGAUCGGCGGUUUGAGAUUCCUUUUUGCUCAGCUCAGCCUGUAAGAGACAUAUAUGUUAUGAGUUGGAAGCAUUUUGAAGUACCAAGCACAUAACAAGUUAUACACUUGGCACUUGGGGGCUAAUGCCUAUUGCUUCUUAUCAACUUUCUCUUAUAAGUCCCAAGAUCAAUUCAAGUAUUAUUCUUGGCACUUGGGGGCUACACAAACAAAAGUGACAAGAUUAAUAUUCUAAAAGUCCUGGUUCAUCCUGAAAUGAUAAACCGGCCCUUGGGGGCUACGCAGGCAAAGUUGAAGUAUUACAAAGUCCCGGUUUACAUUGAUAUCAUAAACCAGCCCUUGGGGGCUAUUGGAGUUGAUAUUAGAAAUCAGAUACAAGAGAGAAAAAAUUAUGUGGAGUUAACAGUAUUUACCUCAUAUUGCUCUUUCAUCUGGUUCACUAAACCGGCUUUAUAGUCGCGGCUUCUGUACAAGCGGUUUAAAAACCCAGAGUGGAUAUCUUGGGCAUUAAGGUGGGCAUAGAUUUCCAAGUUUGUUUUCCACUUGCCUUUAUCCAUAGCAGCAAAUUCUUCCUUGGCACUAUGUUUUGAUAAAGCAAUGGGAUUACCAGGAGUUGUGUAGCCUAAACCAGUAACAAUGACAUCAUCUGAUUGGUCAUCAGCCGCUUUGACUGGGCUCGGCGGUUUAUCUGCAGUUUUAGCCGGGCUUGGCGGGUCAGUAGCAUGGCCUGUAGGAUCAUCUUCCAUCUGUUCAGCAAAGGUUUCAUGAUGUUGCGUUGGCGGAUCAUCAAGAAUAGCGUCAGCAUUUGGCUCAAACUGUUCUGGGAUCUUUUCCAGUUCAGUGUUCGGGUUAUCAUCAGCCAAUUUAUUCAAUUUGGCCUUUUGCGGGGCCUAGCUUUAGCUCUGAAAUAAAUGUAAAUAAAGGUUAGUAUAUUAAACAGGUGCAAGGGAUAAAGAGUUAAGUGUAGUAUGCUUACGCAGGAACAGUCUUAAGGGGUGGAAGCUGUGUCCAUGUUGAUUCGCCAGAGGAUGAAUGGGAAGUUCCCUGGUAGUUUGAGUCAGAUGGAUUAAGAGGUUGCCGAAAAUAACCAUCCUUGGGAUAAGAUGUGUCAGGAAUAUGGAUGAAACCUCUGGUCGGCGUUUACGAACCGGUGUGUUCGGUAAACCAGAUGAAGCAACCACCUGGCCACUAUGCCGGGUUGUGCGGCGAGCUUCAUACUGUUGUUUCUUCAAAAGAAAGUUUGGAUCUAGAUAAGCUAGAGGGUGUGAAAUUUUUACUUUCCGGUUUGCUUGACAGGUUUUCUGUGCUGGCUGAGGAUCUGAACCGGAGGAAAGAAUAAUUACCUCUACAUCAUCAGCCCGGCUAGCUUCGGCGUCAUCCUGAUAAUGGUCAUUGUCAAUGAGGUGUAUGAAAAAUGAACCAAGAGAAUCAAGUUCUACCUUUGAUUCCGGGUUGUCAAGAUCCUCGUCGAGGUUCAGCUCGGUGGACUCACCUGUUUUCUUCUUGGCAGGCUUUUUGACGACCUUUGUCUUGGGUCGAGGGGUCUUGGCCGGUUUAUCCCAAGCGUUCUUCUUCCAAAAUGGGUCGUCACCCUGUUAAAAGAUUGAUAAAGGUUAUAAGGAAGAGUUAAGAAUAUCAGGUUCAAACAGGGGUUAGGCAAUUCUUACAGCUGGUGGUUUAUUUGAAACGUAGAAGGGACUUAGCCCUAUUUUGCUGCAGACAACCACCGAUUCAUCCAGUAUCUUUUUGACAGCUUCAGUGAUUUCAGCAUCAGUUAACUGAAUGUUAGUGUGCCAUUGAGGGUCUUUCAAGUCCCCUGUGUACUCGGACAUUAAACCUGGGCGACAGCUUAAAGGCAAAAUACCCCAAGAUAUCCAGCAACGAACAAAGUCAAUUCCUGUUAACCCAUUAGCCACAAAGGCUCUGAGCUUUGCAAGUUGUGGUGCAUAUUUGGCCCGUUCUUUUGCGGUCAACCUUUGGGGAAAAUGGAUGUGUAUUGGUAAGUCGGUGAGCACGGUAACCCGACAGAGGGUUCUCGUCAUCUGGGGAAGUAUCUUUGCAAUAGAACCAAGUCUGGUUCCAAUCCUUAGGGUGACUAUGAUGCUUGGCGUGAGGGAAGCUCACGUCUUUCCUUUUCUGAAUUGAAACGCCGCCAAUUUCAGUAUUGGGCCCGUCUGUAAAUUCAGUACGGCGGUUUAAAUAGAAAAAGUCCCUGAACAGUUCAACAGUCCGUUCUUCUUGCAGAUAAGCCUCGCAAAACACUUGAAAAUUACAAAUAUUGGACACAGAAUUAGGUCCAAUAUCUUGAGGGUGGAUCUGGAAGCUAGCAAGCACAUCACGGAUUUUUUUUGAUCCGGGAGGUUUAAAACCACGGCUCAGAUGAUCAACAAACACAACUAUCUCGCCAUCCUUGGGCUCAGGAGGAUUUUGUGGACCGGCAGCUCACCAGUGGAUUUCACUCUGUUUCGGUAAAGCGCCAGUUAUAACGCAUUCGUUCAGAUCUUCUUCCGUAAUCCGGGAUGGAACCCAGUUACAAGCGUAAAAAAGACUUGGCCAUUUCUUUGACAACUUGAAGGAAGAUUUGUGCCGGUUUAAGAUUCAUGGUGGAUAAGCAUGAAGCGUUGCAGGUUAAGGGACGAAAGGUAUUCAAGCAUGCAAAAUUAUUAAACCGAAGGAUGAUGAUAUCAGGACUACAAUGAUAAAGCGAUUGGCGGUUUACGAGGGACUAAUGGUACCUGACGGGUUAUCAUUUUCUAAAGUUAAACCGCCUACAUUGGUAUGGAAGGUACAGAUCUGAUGUUGGAAAUAUGCCCUAGAGGCAAUAAUAAAAGCAUUAUUAUUAUAUUUCCUUAUUCAUGAUAAUUGUCUUUAUUCAUGCUAUAAUUGUGUUAUCCGGAAAUCGUAAUACAUGUGUGAAUAACAGACACCAACAUGUCCCUAGUAAGCCUCUAGUUGACUAGCUCGUUGAUCAACAGAUAGUCAUGGUUUCCUGACUAUGGACAUUGGAUGUCAUUGAUAACGAGAUCACAUCAUUAGGAGAAUGAUGUGAUGGACAAGACCCAAUCCUAAACAUAGCACAAGAUCGUAUAGUUCGUUUGCUAGAGUUUUUCCAAUGUCAAGUAUCUUUUCCUUAGACCAUGAGAUCGUGUAACUCCCGGAUACCGUAGGAGUGCUUUGGGUAUACCAAACGUCACAACGUAACUGGGUGACUAUAAAGGUAGACUACGGGUAUCUCCGAAAGUGUCUCUUGGGUUGACAUGGAUCAAGACUGGGAUUUGUCACUCCGUAUGACGGAGAGGUAUCACUGGGCCCACUCGGUAAUGCAUCAUCAUAAUGAGCUCAAAGUGACCAAGUGUCUGGUCACGGGAUCAUGCAUUACGGUACGAGUAAAGUGACUUGCCGGUAACGAGAUUGAAUGAGGUAUUGGGAUACCGACGAUCGAAUCUCGGGCAAGUAACAUAUCGAUUGACAAAGGGAAUUGCAUACGGGGUUGAUUGAAUCCUCGACAUCGUGGUUCAUCCGAUGAGAUCAUCGUGGAGCAUGUGGGAGCCAACAUGGGUAUCCAGAUCCCACUGUUGGUUAUUGACCGGAGAGUCGUCUCGGUCAUGUCUGCUUGUCUCCCGAACCCGUAGGGUCUACACACUUAAGGUUCGGUGAUGCUAGGGUUGUGAAGAUAUGUAUAUGCAGUAACCCGAAUGUUGUUCGGAGUCCCGGAUGAGAUCCCGGACGUCACGAGGAGUUCCGGAAUGGUCCGGAGGUAAAGAAUUAUAUAUAGGAAGUGCUGUUUCGGCCAUCGGGACAAGUUUCGGGGUCACCGGUAUUGUACCAGGACCACCGGAAGGGUCCCGGGGGUCCACCGGGUGGGGCCACCUAUCCCGGGGGGCCCCAUGGGCUGAAGUGGGAGGGAACCCAGCCCAAAGUGGGCUGGGGCGCCACUCCCCUAGGGCCCAUGCAGCUAGGGUUGAGGGGAAACCCUAAAGGGGGCGCCCCCUUGCUUGGGGGGCAAGCCCCCCACCCUUGGCCGCCGCCUCCCAUAGGAGAUUCCAUCUCCUAGGGCCGGCGCCCCCCCUAGCACCCCUAUAUAUAGUGGGGGAGAGGAGGGACUUCAUACACCAGCCCCUGGCGCCUCCCUCUCUCCCCGUUACGUCUCUCUCUCGUAGUAUAGGCGAAGCCCUGCUAUUGUGACGCCCUGCAUCCACCACCACGCCGUCGUGCUGCUGGAUCUUCAUCAACCUCUCCUUCCCCCUUGCUGGAUCAAGAAGGAGGAGACGUCUCCUGUCCCGUACGUGUGUUGAACGCGGAGGUGCCGUCCGUUCGGCGCUUGGUCAUCAGUGAUUUGGAUCACGUCGUGUUCGACUACAUCAUCACCGUUCUUUGAACGCUUCCGCACGCGAUCUACAAAGGUAUGUAGAUGCAUCCGAUGAAUUGUUGCUAGAUGAACUCCUAGAUGGAUCUUGGUGAAACGAGUAGGAAAAUUUUUGUUUUCUGCAACGUUCCCCAACAGUGGCAUCAUGAGCUAGGUCUAUGCGUAGUUCUUCUUGCGCGAGUAGAACACAAUUUGUUGUGGGCGUAGAUUUGUCAACUUUCUUGCUGCUACUAGUCUUUUCUUGUUGGAAAUAUGCCCUAGAGGCAAUAAUAAAUUAGUUAUUAUUAUAUUUCCUUGUUCAUGAUAAUCGUUUAUUAUCCAUGCUAGAAUUGUAUUGAUAGGAAACUCAGAUACAUGUGUGGAUACAUAGACAACACCAUGUCCCUAGUAAGCCUCUAGUUGACUAGCUCGUUGAUCAAUAGAUGGUUAUGGUUUCCUGACCAUGGACAUUGGAUGUCAUUGAUAACGGGAUCACAUCAUUAGGAGAAUGAUGUGAUGGACAAGACCCAAUCCUAAGCCUAGCACAAGAUCAUGUAGUUUGUAUGCUAAAGCUUUUCUAAUGUCAAGUAUCAUUUCCUUAGACCAUGAGAUUGUGCAACUCCCGGAUACCGUAGGAGUGCUUUGGGUGUACCAAACGUCACAACGUAACUGGGUGACUAUAAAGGUGCACUACGGGUAUCUCCGAAAGUGUCUGUUGGGUUGACACGAAUCGAGACUGGGAUUUGUCACUCCGUGUAAACGGAGAGGUAUCUCUGGGCCCACUCGGUAGGAUAUCAUCAUAAUGUGCACAAUGUGAUCAAGGAGUUGAUCACGGGAUGAUGUGUUACAGAACGAGUAAAGAGACUUGCCGGUAACGAGAUUGAACAAGGUAUCGGGAUACCGACGAUCGAAUCUCGGGCAAGUAUCGUACCGAUAGACAAAGGGAAUUGUAUACGGGAUUGAUUAAGUCCUUGACAUCGUGGUUCAUCCGAUGAGAUCAUCGUGGAACAUGUGGGAGCCAACAUGGGUAUCCAGAUCCCGCUGUUGGUUAUUGACCGGAGAAUGUCUCGGUCAUGUCUGCAUGUCUCCCAAACCCGUAGGGUCUACACACUUAAGGUUCGAUGACGCUAGGGUUGUAAAGGAAGUUUGUAUGUGGUUACCGAAUGUUGUUCGGAGUCCCAGAUGAGAUCCCGGACGUCACGAGGAGUUCCGGAAUGGUCCGGAGGUAAAGAUUUAUAUAUGGGAAGUCCUGGUUUGGUCACCGGAAGAGUUUCGGGGUUUAUCGGUAACAUACCGGGACCACCGGGAGGGUCCCGGGGGUCCACCAAGUGGGGCCACCAACCCCGGAGGCUUGCAUGGGCCAAGAGUGGUGAGGGACCAGCCCCUUAGUGGGCUGGUGCGCCUCCCACAAGGGCCCAUGGCGCCUAAGAGGUGGGAAGGGGGCAAACCCUAAUGGGAUAUGGGCCUUAGGGCCCAUAUUGGUGCGCCUCCCUCUCCCAUCCCCUCUUGGCCGCCACCCCUUGGCCAUCUAGGGCUGCCGCCCCCCUAGGGGUGGGAACCCUAGAGGGGGCGCAGCCCAUCCCCUUCCCCUAUAUAUAUGAGGCCAAGGGCUGCCCCAUAACACACGCGUGAUUCGAUCUCUCGUUGGUGCAGCCCUGCAUCUCUUCUUCCUCCUCUUCUGUGGUGCUUGGCGAAGCCCUGCAGGAUAGCCACGCUCCUCCACCACCACCACGCCGUUGUGCUGCUGCUGGAUAGAGUCUUCCUCAACCUCUCCCUCUCUCCUUGCUGGUUCAGGCGUGGGAGUCGUCACCGGGCUGUACGUGUGUUGAACGCGGAGGUGCCGUGCGUUCGGCACUUGGUCAUCGGUGAUUUGAAUCACGACGAGUACGACUCCAUCAACCCCGUUCACUUGAACGCUUCUGCUUAGCGAUCUACAAGGGUAUGUAGAUGCACUCUCCUUCCCCUCGUUGCUGGUCUCUCCAUAGAUAGAUCUUGGUGACACGUAUGAAAAUUUUGAAUUUCUGCUACGUUCCCCAACAGUGGCAUCAUGAGCUAGGUCUAUUCCGUAGAUUCUAUGCACGAGUAGAACACAAAGUAGUUGUGGGCGUUGAUUUUGUUCAAUAUGCUUGCCGUUACUAGUCUUAUCUUGAUUCGGCGGCAUCGUGGGAUGAAGCGGCCCGGACCAACCUUACACGUACUCUUACGUGAGACCGGUUCCACCGACAAACAUGCACUAGUUGCAUAAGGUGGCUGGCGGGUGUCUGUCUCUCCCACUUUAGUCGGAUCGGAUUCGAUGAAAAGGGUCCUUAUGAAGGGUAAAUAGCAAUUGGCAUAUCACGUUGUGGUCUUUGUGUAGGUAAGAAACAUUCUUGCUAGAAACCCAUAGCAGCCAUGUAAAACAUGCAAACAACAAUUAGAGGACGUCUAACUUGUUUUUGCAGGGUAUGCUAUGUGAUGUGAUAUGGCCAAAGGAUGUGAUGAAUGAUAUAUGUGAUGUAUGAGAUUGAUCAUGUUCUUGUAAUAGGAAUCACGACUUGCAUGUCGAUGAGUAUGACAACCGGCAGGAGCCAUAGGAGUUGUCUUUAUUUAUUUAUGACCUGCGUGUCAACAUAAACGUCAUGUAAUUACUUUACUUUAUUGCUAACCGUUAGUUGUAGUAGUAGAAGUAAUAGAUGACGAGACAACUUCAUGAAGACACGAUGAUGGAGAUCAUGAUGAUGGAGAUCAUGGUGUCAUGCCGGUGACAAGAUGAUCAUGGAGCCCCAAGAUGGAGAUCAAAGGAGCUAUAUGAUAUUGGCCAUAUCAUGUCACUAUUAUUUGAUUGCAUGUGAUGUUUAUCAUGUGUAUACAUCUUAUUUGCUUAGAACGACGGUAGUAAAUAAGAUGAUCCCUUACAACAAUUUCAAGAAGUGUUCUCUCCUAACUGUGCACCGUUGCGACAGUUCGUGUUUCGAAGCACCACGUGAUGAUCGGGUGUUAGAUUCUAACGUUCACAUACAACGGGUGUAAGACAGAUUUACACACGCGAAACACUUAGGGUUAACUUGACGAGCCUAGCAUGUACAGACAUGGCCUCGGAACACAGAAGACCGAAAGGUCGAGCAUGAGUCGUAUGGCAGAUACGAUCAACAUGAAGAUGUUCACCGAUGUUGACUAGUCCGUCUCACGUGAUGAUCGGACACGGCCUAGUUGACUCGGACCAUGUAAUCACAUAGAUGACUAAAGGGAUGUCUAUCUGAGUGGGAGUUCAUAAGAUGAACUUAAUUAUCCUGAACAUAGUCAAAAGGAUUUUGCGAAUUAUGUCGUAGCUCGCGCUUUAGUUCUACUGUUUAGAUAUGUUCCUAGAGAAAAAAUUAGUUGAAAGUUGAUAGUAGCAAUUGUGCGGACUAAGUUCGCAAACUGAGGAUUGUCCUCAUUGCUUCAUAGAAGGCUUAUGUCCUUAAUGCACCGCUUAGUGUGCUGAACCUCGAACGUCGUCUAUGGAUGUUGCGAACAUCUGACAUACACAUUUUGAUAAUUACAUUAUAGUUCAGUGCGUAAUGUUAAAUGGUUUAGAAUUGAGGCACCGAAGAUGUUUUGAAACGUCGCAAAACAUAUGAGAUGUUUUGAGGGCUGAAAUUGGGAUUUCAGGCUCGUGCCCACGUCAAGAGGUGUAAGACCUCCGACGAUUUUCUUAGCCUGCAAACUAAGGGAGAAAAGCUCAAUUGUUGAGCUUGUGCUCAGAUUGUCUGAGUACAACAAUCAUUUGAAUCAAGUGGGAGUUGAUCUUCCAGAUAAGAUAGUGAUGUUUCUCCGAAGUCAUUACCACCAAGCUGCUAGAGCUUCGUGAUGAACUAUAAUGUAUCAGGGACAUAUAUGAUGAUCCUUGAGAUAUUCGCGAUGUUUGACACCGCGAAAGUAGAAAUCAAGAAGGAGCAUCAAUUGUUGAUGGUUGGUGAAACCACUAGUUUCAACAAGGGUAAGGGCAAGAAGGGAUACUUCAUGAAACGGCAAUUCAGCUGCUGCUCUAGUGAAGAAACCCAAGGUUGAACCCAAACCCGAGACUAAGUGCUUCUGUAAUAAGGGGAACAGCCACUAGAGCAGUAUUACCCUAGAUACUUGGUAGAUGAGAAGGCUGUCGAUAGAAGUAUAUUGGAUAUACAUUAUGUUAAUGUGUACUUUACUAGUACUCCUAGUAGCACCAGGGUAUUAGAUACCGGUUCAGUUGCUAAGUGUUAGUAACUCGAAAUAAAAGCUACGGAAUAAACGGAGACUAGCUAAAGGUGAGCUGACGAUAUGUGUUGGAAGUGUUUCCAAGGUUGACAUGAUCAAGCAUCGCACGCUCCCUCUACCAUCGAGAUUGGUAUUAAAACCUAAAUAAUUGUUAUUUGGUGUUUGCGUUGAGCAUAGACAUGAUUGGAUUAUGUCUAUCGCAAUACGGUUAUUCAUUUAAGGAGAAUAACGGUUACUCUGUUUAUUUGAAUAAUACCUUCAAUGGUCUUAUGCCUAAAUUGAAUCUCGAUCGUAGUGAUACACAUGUUCAUGCCAAAAGAAAGUAAUGAUAGUACCACCUACUUGUGGCACUGCCACGUAAGUCAUAUCGGUAUAAAACGCAUGAAGAAGCUCCAUGUUGAUGGAUCUUUGGGCUCACUCGUUUUUUUAAAGGUUUGAGGCAUGCGAAUCAUGUCUAUUGGUGUAUAUGCAUGAAACUCCAUGCAAAUGGACCGUUUGGACUCACUUGAUUUUUGAAUCACUUGAGACAUGCAAAUCAUACCACAUGGGCAAGAUGACUGAAAGCCUCGGUUUCAGUAAAAUGGAACUAGAAAGCAACUUGUUGGAAGUAAUACAUUUUGAUGUGUGCAAUCCAAUGAGUGCUGAGGCAUGUAGUGGAUAUCGUUAUGUUCUUACUUCACAGAUGAUUUGAGUAGAUGUUGAGUAUAUUUACUUGAUGAAUCACGAGUCUGAAUUAUUGAAAGGUUCAAAUAAUUUCAGGGUGAAGUUGAAAGAUCGUCCUGACAAGAGGAUAAAAUAUCUAUGAUAUGAUCAUAGAGAUGAAUAUCUGAAUUAUGAGUUUGGCACAGAAUUAAGACAUUGUGGAAAUUGUUUCACAACCAAUACAACCUGGAACACCAUAGUGUGAUGGUGUGUCCGAACAUCAUAACUGCACCCUAUUGGAUAUGAUGCAUACCAUGAUGUCUCUUAUCGAAUUACCACAAUAGUUUAUGGGUUAGGCAUUAGAGACAACCACAUUCACUUUAAUAGGGCAUCACGUAAUUCCGAUGAGAUGACACCAUAUGAACUAUGGUUUAGACAAACCUAAGCUGUCAUUUCUUAAAAGUUUGGGGCUGCGACGCUUAUGUGAAAAAGUUUUAGGCAGAUAAGCUCGAACCCAAAGCGGAUAAAUGCAUCUUCAUAGGACACCCAAAACAGUUGGGUAUACCUCCUGUCUCAGAUCCGAAAGCAAUAAGGGAUUGUUUCUAGAAUCGGGUCCUUUCUCGAGGAAAAGUUUCUCUCGAAAGAAUUGAGUGGGAGGAUGGUGGAGGCUUGAUGAGGUUAUUGAACCGUCACUUCAACUCGUGUAUAGCAGGGCACAAAGAGUUGUUCCUGUGGCACCUACAUCAAUUGAAGUGGAAGCUUAUGAUAGUGAUCAUGAAACUUCAGAUCAAGUCACUACCAAACCUCGUGGGAUGACAAGGAUGCGUACUACUUCAGAGUGGUACGUAAUCCUAUCUUGGAAGUCAUGUUGCUAGACAACAAUGAACCUACGAGCUAUGGAGAAGCGACGGUGGGCCUGGAUUCUGAUAAAUGGCUCGAAGCCAUGAAAUCCGAGAGAGGAUCCAUGUAUGAAAACAAAGUGUAGACUUUGGAAGAACUACUUGAUGGUCGUGAGGCUGUUGAGUACAGAUGGAUUUUAAAAGGAAGACGGACAAUAAUGGUAAAUGUCACCAUUAAGAGAGCUCGACUUGUCGUUAAGAUGUUUUCUGACAAGUUCAAGGAGUUGACUACGGUGAGAUUUUCUCACUCGUAGCGAUGCUAAGAGUCUGUUGGAAUUAUAUUAGCAGUCACUGCAUUAUUUAUGAAAUCUUGCAGAUAGGAUGUCAAAACAUUGUUUCCUCGACUAUUUUCUUGAGGAAAGGUUGUAUGUGAUACAACCGAAAGGUUUUGUCAAUCCUGAAAGAUGCUAAUAAGUAUGCAAAGCUCCAGCUAUCCUUCUGAGGACUGGAGUGAGCAUCUCGGAGUUGGAAUGUACACUUUGAUGAGAUGAUCAAAGAUUUUGGGUUUAUACAAAGUUUAUGAGAAACUUGUAUUUCCAAAAAAGUGAGUGGGAGCACUAUAGAAUUUCUGAUGAGUAUAUGUUUUGUUGAUCGGAAAUGACGUAGAAUUUCUAGAAAGCAUGUAGGGUUAUUUGGAAAGUGUUUUUCAAUGGAAAUCCAGGAUUAAGCUACUUGAACAUUGAGCAUCAAGAUCUAUAAGGAUAGAUCAAAACGCUUAAUGGUACUUUCAAAUGAGCACAUACCUUGACAUGAUCUUGAAGGUGUUCAAGAUGGAUCAGUCAAAGAAGGAGUUCUUGCCUGAGUUGUAAGGUAUGAAGUUAAGACUUAAAGCUCGACCAUGGCAGAAUAGAGAGAAAGGACGAAAGUCGUCCCCUAUGCUUAAGACGUAGGCUCUAUAGUAUGCUAUGCUGUGUACCGCACCUGAAGUGUGCCUUGCCAUGAGUCAGUCAAGGGGUACAAGAGUGAUCCAAGAAUGGAUCACAGGACAGCUGUCAAAGUUAUCCUUAGUAACUAGUGGACUAAGGAAUUUUCUCGAUUAUGGAGGUGGAAAAAGAGUUCGUCGUAAAGGGUUGCGUCGAUGCAAGCUUAACACCUAUCCGGAUAGCUCUGAGUAGAGAUACCGGAUACGUAUAAUGGAGCAACAAUUUAGAAUAGCUCCAAGUAGAACAGUUAUUUGGAAUAGUUCCAAAUAGAACGUGGUAGCUACAUCUAGGAGAUGACAUAGAGAUUUGUAAAGCACACACGGAUCUGAAAGGUUCAGGCCCGUUGACUAAAACCUCUCUCACAAGCAACAUGAUCAAACCCAAAAAUCAUUGAGUGUUAAUCACAUGGUAAAAGUGAACUAGAUUAUUGACUCUAGUAAACUCUUUGGGUAUUAGUCACAUGGGGAUGUGACCUUGAGUGUUAAUCACACAUCAAUGUGAACUGGAUUAUUGACUCUAGUGCAAGUGGGAGACUGUUGGAAAUAUGCCCUAGAGGCAAUAAUAAAUUAGUUAUUAUUAUAUUCCUUGUUCAUGAUAAUCGUUUAUUAUCCAUGCUAGAAUUGUAUUGAUAGGGAACUCAGAUACAUGUGUGGAUACAUAGACAACACCAUGUCCCUAGUAAGCCUCUAGUUGACUAGCUCGUUGAUCAAUAGAUGGUUACGGUUUCCUGACCAUGGACAUUGGAUGUCAUUGAUAACGGGAUCACAUCAUUAGGAGAAUGAUGUGAUGAACAAGACCCAAUCCUAAGCCUAGCACAAGAUCAUGUAGUUCGUAUGCUAAAGCUUUUCUAAUGUCAAGUAUCAUUUCCUUAGACCAUGAGAUUGUGCAACUCCCGGAUACCGUAGGAGUGCUUUGGGUGUACCAAACGUCACAACGUAACUGGGUGACUCUAAAGGUGCACUACGGGUAUCUCCGAAAGUGUCUGUUGGGUUGACACGAAUCGAGACUGGGAUUUGCCACUCCGUGUAAACGGAGAGGUAUCUCUGGGCCCACUCGGUAGGAUAUCAUCAUAAUGUGCACAAUGUGAUCAAGGAGUUGAUCACGGGAUGAUGUGUUAUGGAACGAGUAAAGAGACUUGCCGGUAACGAGAUUGAACAAGGUAUCGGGAUACCGACGAUCGAAUCUCGGGCAAGUAUCGUACCGAUAGACAAAGGGAAUUGUAUACGGGAUUGAUUAAGUCCUUGACAUCGUGGUUCAUCCGAUGAGAUCAUCGUGGAACAUGUGGGAGCCAACAUGGGUAUCCAGAUCCUGCUGUUGGUUAUUGACCGGAGAACGUCUCGGUCAUGUCUGCAUGUCUCCCGAACCCGUAGGGUCUACACACUUAAGGUUCGAUGACGCUAGGGUUGUAAAGGAAGUUUGUAUGUGGUUACCGAAUGUUGUUCGGAGUCCCGGAUGAGAUCCCGGACGUCACGAGGAGUUCCGGAAUGGUCCGGAGGUAAAGAUUUAUAUAUGGGAAGUCCUGUUUUGGUCACCGGGAGAGUUUCGGGGUUUAUCGGUAACAUACCGGGACCACCGGGAGGGUCCCGGGGGUCCACCAAGUGGGGCCACCAACCCCGGAGGCUUGCAUGGGCCAAGAGUGGUGAGGGACCAGCCCCUUAGUGGGCUGGUGCGCCUCCCACAAGGGCCCAUGGCGCCUAAGAGGUGGGAAGGGGGCAAACCCUAAUGGGAUAUGGGCCUUAGGGCCCAUAUUGGUGCGCCUCCCUCUCCCAUCCCCUCUUGGCCGCCACCCCUUGGCCAUCUAGGGCUGCCGCCCCCCUAGGGGUGGGAACCCUAGAGGGGGCGCAGCCCAUCCCCUUCCCCUAUAUAUAUGAGGCCAAGGGUUGCCCCAUAACACACGCGUGAUUCGAUCUCUCGUUGGUGCAGCCUUGCAUCUCUUCUUCCUCCUCUUCUGUGGUGCUUGGCGAAGCCCUGCAGGAUAGCCACGCUCCUCCACCACCACCACGUUGUUGUGCUUCUGCUGGAUAGAGUCUUCCUCAACCUCUUCCUCUCUCCUUGCUGGAUCAAGGCAUGGGAGACGUCACCGGGCUGUACGUGUGUUGAACGCGGAGGUGCCGUGCGUUCGGCACUUGGUCAUCGGUGAUUUGAAUCACGACGAGUAUGACUCCAUCAACCCCGUAAACUUGAACGCUUCCGCUUAGCGAUCUACAAGGGUAUGUAGAUGCACUCUCCUUCCCCUCAUUGCUGGUCUCUCCAUAGAUAGAUCUUGGUGACACGUAGGAAAAUUUUGAAUUUCUGCUACGUUCCCCAACAUUUCUUGCUUCAGCGGCAUUGUGGGAAGAAGCGGCCCGGACCAACCUUACACGUACGCUUACGUGAGACCGGUUCCACCGACAAACAUGCACAAGUUGCAUAAAGUGGCUGGCGGGUGUCUGUCUCUCCUACUUUAGUUGGAGCGGAUUCGAUGAACAGGGUCCUUAUGAAGGGUAAAUAGAAGUUGACAAAUCACGUUGUGGCUUUAACGUAGGUAAGAAGUCGUUCUUGCUAGAACCCUAAAUUCAGCCACGUAAAACUUGCAACAUCAAUUAGAGGACGUCUAACUUGUUUUUUGCAGCAAGUGGUUUGUGAUAUGAUAUGGCCAAAGUUGUGGUGAAUGAUGAAUGAUCUAUAUGUGAUGUAUGAUAUGUUCAUGCUAUUGUAAUAGAAAUCACGACUUGCAUGUCGAUGAGUAUGACAACCGGCAGGAGCCAUAGGAGUUGUCUUUAUUCUUUUAUAUGACCUGCGUGUCAUUGAGAAACGCCAUGUAAAUUACUUUACUUUAUUGCUAAACGCGUUAGCCAUAGUAGUAGAAGUAAUAUUUGGCGAGCAACUUCAUGGAGACACGAUGAUGGAGAUCAUGAUGAUGGAGAUCAUGGUGUCAAGCCGGUGACAAGAUGAUCAUGGAGCCCCAAGAUGGAGAUAAAAGGAGCUAUGUGAUAUUGGCCAUAUCAUGUCACGUUUAUUAUUUGAUUUCAUGUGAUGUUUAUCAUGUUUUGCAUCUUGUUUACUUAGAACGACGGUAGUAAAUAAGAUGAUCCCUCAUAAUAAUUUCAAGAAGUGUUCCCCCUAACUGUGCACCGUUGCGACAGUUCGUUGUUUCAAAACACCACGUGAUGAUCGGGUGUUUUAUUCAGACGUUCACAUACAACGGGUGUAAGACAGAUUUACACAUGCAAACACUUAGGUUGACUUGACGAGCCUAGCAUGUACAGACAUGGCCUCGGAACACAGAAGACCGAAAGGUCGAGCAUGAGUCAUAUAGAAGAUACGAUCAACAUGAAGAUGUUCACCGAUGUUGACUAGUCCGUCUCACGUGAUGAUCGGACAUGGCCUAGUUAACUCAGAUCAUGUAAUACUUAGAUGACUAGAGGGAUGUCUAAUCUAAGUGGGAGUUCAUUAAUAAUUUGAUUGGAUGAACUUAAUUAUCAUGAACUUAGUCUAAAAUAUUUUACAAUAUGUCUUGUAGAUCAAAUGGCCCACGUAGUCCUCAACUUCAACGCGUUCCUAGAGAAAACCAAGCUGAAAGACGAUGGCAGCAACUAUACGGACUGGGUCCGGAACCUGAGGAUCAUCCUCAUAGCUGCCAAGAAAGAUUAUGUCCUACAAGCACCGCUAGGUGAAGCUCCCGUCCCACAGAACCAAGACGUUAUGAACGCUUGGCAGACACGUGUUGACGACUACUCCCUCGUUCAGUGCGGCAUGCUUUACAGCUUAGAGCCGGGGCUCCAAAAGCGUUUUGAGAGACAUGGAGCAUAUGAGAUGUUCGAAGAGCUGAAAAUGGUUUUUCAAGCUCAUGCCCGGAUCGAGAGAUAUGAAGUCUCCGAUAAGUUCUUCAGCUGUAAGAUGGAGGAAAAUAGUUCUGUCAGUGAGCACAUACUCACUAUGUCUGGGUUACAUAACCGCUUGUCUCAGCUGGGAGUUAAUCUCCCGGAUGAUGCGGUCAUUGACAGAAUCCUCCAGUCGCUUCCACCAAGCUACAAGAGCUUUGUGAUGAACUUCAACAUGCAGGGGAUGCAAAAGACCAUUCCUGAGUUGUUCUCAAUGCUGAAAUCAGCGGAGGUAGAAGUCAAGAAGGAACAUCAAGUGUUGAUGGUCAAUAAAGCCACUAAGUUCAAGAAAGGCAAGGGUAAAAAGAACUUCAAGAAGGACGGCAAGGAGGUUGCCGCGCCCGGCAAGCAAGCUGCCGGGAAGAAGCCAAAGAAUGGACCCAAGCCCGAGACUGAGUGCUUUUAUUGCAAGGGAAGCGGUCAUUGGAAGUGGAACUGCCCUAAAUACUUAGCAGACAAGAAGGCCGGCAAAACAAAAGGUAUAUGUGAUAUACAUGUAAUUGAUGUGUACCUUACUAGUGUCCGUAGUAGCUCCUGGGUAUUUGAUACCGGUGCAGUUGCUCACAUUUGUAACUCAAAACAGGGGCUGCGGAAUAAGCGGAAACUGGCAAAGGACGAGGUGACGAUGCACGUCGGGAAUGGUUCCAAGGUCAAUGUGAUCGCCGUCGGCACGCUACCUCUAUAUCUACCUUCGGGAUUAGUUUUAAACCUUAAUAAUUGUUAUUUAGUGCCAGCUUUGAGCAUGAACAUUGUAUCGGGAUCUCGUUUAAUUCGAGAUGGCUACUCAUUUAAAUCCGAGAAUAAUGGUUGUUCUAUUUAUAUGAGAGAUAUGUUUUAUGGUCAUGCUCCUAUGGUGAACGGUUUAUUCUUUAUGAAUCUCGAACGUAAUACUACACAUGUUCAUAAUGUGAGUACCAAAAGAUGUAAGGUUGAUAAUGAUAGUCCCACAUACUUGUGGCACUGCCGCCUUGAUCACAUAGGUGUCAAACGCAUGAAGAAGCUCCAUGCAGAUGGACUUUUAGAGUCUCUUGAUUAUGAAUCAUUUGACACGUGCGAACCAUGCCUCAUGGGUAAGAUGACCAAGACUCCGUUCUCAGGAACAAUGGAGCGAGCAACCAACUUAUUGGAAAUCAUACAUACUGAUGUAUGCGGUCCAAUGAGUGUUGACGCUUGCGGUGGCUAUCGUUAUGUUCUCACGCUCACUGAUGAUUUAAGUAGAUAUGGGUAUAUCUACUUAAUGAAACACAAGUCUGAAACCUUUGAAAAGUUCAAGGAAUUUCAGAGUGAGGUUGAAAAUCAACGUGACAGGAAAAUCAAGUUUCUACGAUCAGAUCGUGGAGGAGAAUACUUGAGUCACGAAUUUGGCACACACUUAAGAAAAUGUGGAAUAGUUUCACAACUCACGCCGCCUGGAACACCUCAGCGUAAUGGUGUGUCCGAACGUCGUAAUCACACUCUAUUAGAUAUGGUGCGAUCUAUGAUGUCUCUUACCGAUUUACCGCUAUCUUUUUGGGGCUAUGCUUUAGAGACUGCCGCAUUCACUUUAAAUAGGGCUCCGUCGAAAUCCGUUGAGACGACACCGUAUGAAUUAUGGUUUGGGAAGAAACCUAAGCUGUCGUUUCUAAAAGUUUGGGGAUGCGAUGCUUAUGUCAAGAAACUUCAACCUGAAAAGCUCGAACCCAAGUCGGAAAAAUGCGUCUUCAUAGGAUACCCAAAAGAAACUAUUGGGUAUACCUUCUACCUCAGAUCCGAAGGCAAGAUCUUUGUUGCCAAGAAUGGGUCCUUUCUAGAGAAAGAGUUUCUCUCGAAAGAAGUAAGUGGGAGGAAAGUAGAGCUUGAUGAAGUAUUACCUCUUGAACCGGAAAAUGGCGCAACUCAAGAAAAUGUUCCUGAGGUGCCUGCACCGACUAGAGAGGAAGUUAAUGAUAAUGAUCAAGAUACUUCUGAUCAAGCUCCUACUGAAAUUCGAAGGUCCACAAGGACACGUUCCGCACCAGAGUGGUACGGCAACCCUGUCUUGGAAAUCAUGUUGUUAGACAACGGUGAAUCUUCGAACUAUGAAGAAGCGAUGGCGGGCCCGGAUUCCGACAAAUGGCUAGAAGCCAUGAAAUCCGAGAUAGGAUCCAUGUAUGAAAAUGAAGUAUGGACUUUGACUGACUUGCCCGUUGAACGGCGAGCCAUAGAAAAUAAAUGGAUCUUUAAGAAGAAGACAGACGCGGAUGGUAAUGUGACCAUCUAUAAAGCUCGACUUGGCGCUAAGGGUUAUCGACAAGUUCAAGGGGUUGACUACGAUGAGACUUUCUCACCGGUAGCGAAGCUAAAGUCCGUCCGAAUCAUGUUAGAAAUUGCCGCAUUCUACGAUUAUGAGAUAUGGAAAAUGCACGUCAAAACGGCAUUCCUUAAUGGUUUCCUUAAGGAAGAAUUGUAUAUGAUGCAGCCGGAAGGUUUUGUCGAUCCUAAGAAUGCUGACAAGGUGUGCAAGCUCCAACGCUCAAUUUAUGGGCUGGUGCAAGCAUCUCGGAGUUGGAACAUUCGCUUUGAUGAGAUGAUCAAAGCGUUUGGGUUUACGCAGACUUAUGGAGAAGUCUGCGUUUACAAGAAAGUGAGUGGGAGCUCUGUAGCAUUUCUCAUAUUAUAUGUAGAUGACAUACUAUUGAUGGGAAAUGAUAUAGAACUCUUGGACAGCAUCAAGGCCUACUUGAAUAAGAGUUUUUCAAUGAAGGACCUUGGAGAAGUUGCUUAUAUAUUAGGCAUCAAAAUCUAUAGAGAUAGAUCGAGACGCCUCAUAGGUCUUUCACAAAGCACAUACCUUGAUAAGAUAUUGAAGAAUUCAAUAUGGAUCAAUCUAAGAAGGGGUUCUUGCCUGUGUUACAAGGUAUGAAAUUGAGCUCAGCUCAAUGUCCGACCACGGCAGAAGAUAUAGAAGAGAUGAGCGUCAUCCCCUAUGCAUCAGCCAUAGGUUCUAUUAUGUAUGCCAUGCUGUGUACCAGACCUAAUGUAAACCUUGCCGUAAGUUUGGUAGGAAGGUACCAAAGUAAUCCCGGCAAGGAACACUGGACAGCGGUCAAGAAUAUCCUGAAGUACCUGAAAAGGACUAAGGAAAUGUUUCUCGUUUAUGGAGGUGAUGAAGAGCUCGUCGUAAAGGGUUACGUCGACGCUAGCUUUGACACAGAUCUGGAUGACUCUAAGUCACAAACCGGAUAUGUGUAUAUUUUGAAUGGUGGGGCAGUAAGCUAGUGCAGUUGCAAGCAAAGCGUCGUGGCGGGAUCUACAUGUGAAGCGGAGUACAUGGCAGCCUCGGAGGCAGCACAUGAAGCAAUAUGGGUGAAGGAGUUCAUCACCGACCUAGGAGUCAUACCCAAUGCAUCGGGGCCAAUCAAACUUUUCUGUGACAACACUGGAGCUAUUGCACUUGCCAAGGAGCCCAGGUUUCACAAGAAGACAAGGCACAUCAAGCGUCGCUUCAACUCCAUUCGUGAAAAUGUUCAAGAUGGAGACAUAGAUAUUUGUAAAGUACAUACGGACCUGAAUGUAGCAGAUCCAUUGACUAAACCUCUCCCUAGAGCAAAACAUGAUCAACACCAGAAUUCCAUGGGUGUUCGAUUCAUCACAAUGUAACUAGAUUAUUGACUCUAGUGCAAGUGGGAGACUGUUGGAAAUAUGCCCUAGAGGCAAUAAUAAAAGCAUUAUUAUUAUAUUUCCUUAUUCAUGAUAAUUGUCUUUAUUCAUGCUAUAAUUGUGUUAUCCGGAAAUCGUAAUACAUGUGUGAAUAACAGACACCAACAUGUCCCUAGUAAGCCUCUAGUUGACUAGCUCAUUGAUCAACAUAUAGUCAUGGUUUCCUGACUAUGGACAUUGGAUGUCAUUGAUAACGAGAUCACAUCAUUAGGAGAAUGAUGUGAUGGACAAGACCCAAUCCUAAACAUAGCACAAGAUCGUAUAGUUUGUUUGCUAGAGUUUUUCCAAUGUCAAGUAUCUUUUCCUUAGACCAUGAGAUCGUGUAACUCCCGGAUACCGUAGGAGUGCUUUGGGUAUACCAAACGUCACAACGUAACUGGGUGACUAUAAAGGUAGACUACGGGUAUCUCCGAAAGUGUCUGUUGGGUUGACAUGGAUCAAGACUGGGAUUUGUCACUCCGUAUGAUGGAGAGGUAUCACUGGGCCCACUCGGCAAUGCAUCAUCAUAAUGAGCUCAAAGUGACCAAGUGUCUGGUCACCGGAUCAUGCAUUAUGGUACGAGUAAAGUGACUUGCCGGUAACGAGAUUGAACGAGGUAUUGGGAUACCGACGAUCGAAUCUCGGGCAAGUAACAUAUCGAUUGACAAAGAGAAUUGCAUACGGGGUUGAUUGAAUCCUCGACAUCGUGGUUCAUCCGAUGAGAUCAUCAUGGAGCAUGUGGGAGCCAACAUGGGUAUCCAGAUCCCGCUGUUGGUUAUUGACCGGAGAGUCGUCUCGGUCAUGUCUGCUUGUCUCCCGAACCCGUAGGGUCUACACACUUAAGGUUCGGUGAUGCUAGGGUUGUGAAGAUAUGUAUAUGCAGUAACCCGAAUGUUGUUCGGAGUCCCGGAUGAGAUCCCGGACGCCACGAGGAGUUCCGGAAUGGUCUGGAGGUAAAGAAUUAUAUAUAGGAAGUGCUGUUUCGGCCAUCGGGACAAGUUUCGGGGUCACCGGUAUUGUACGGGGACCACCGGAAGGGUCUCGGGGGUCCACCGGGUGGGGCCACCUAUCCCGGGGGGCCCCAUGGGCUGAAGUGGGAGGGAACCCAGCCCAAAGUGGGCUGGGGCGCCACUCCCCUAGGGCCCAUGCGGCUAGGGUUGAGGGGAAACCCUAAAGGGGGCGCCCCCUUGCUUGGGGGGCAAGCCCCCCACCCUUGGCCGCCGCCCCCCUAGGAGAUUCCAUCUCCUAGGGCCGCCGCCCCCCCUAGCACCCCUAUAUAUAGUGGGGGAGAGGAGGGACUUCAUACACCAGCCCCUGGCGCCUCCCUCUCUCCCCUUUACGUCUCUCUCUCGUAGUAUAGGCGAAGCCCUGCUACUGUGGCGCCCUGCAUUCACCACGACACCGUCGUGCUGCUGGAUCUUCAUCAACCUCUCCUUCCCCCUUGCUGGAUCAAGAAGGAGGAGACGUCUCCCGUCCUGUACGUGUGUUGAACGUGAAGGUGUCGUCCGUUCGGCGCUUGGUCAUCAGUGGUUUGGAUCACGUCGUGUUCGACUACAUCAUCACCGUUCUUUGAACGCUUCCGCACGCGAUCUACAAAGGUAUGUAGAUGCAUCCGAUGACUCGUUGCUAGAUGAACUCCUAGAUGGAUCUUGGUGAAACGAGUAGGAAAUUUUUUGUUUUCUGCAACGUUCCCCAACAUCUGAAAUAGCUAAGUAAGGGGAAAACAGGUUUCACAAGUUGGCAUUACAAAUUUGGAUCUAUCACGGGUCGGAAAAUGAAAAUAUAUUAAGACCUAAACAUGGAAACCGAAGCAGUGGAUUAAGGUUCAGAUUGAAGUUUUUGCUUAAACGCGAUGCGCUGAUGAAAAAAGGACUAUGGCCAUUGCUGUGUAGGCUGAAUAUGGAGGUUUCAAUCGAAGGAACUACAUCGCUGAUAUGAGCACCGACGAACAUCGACGAACACCGAGGAAUGUUCAAACCCUAAAACUGAAUCUACGGUGGGGGAAAGAGAAGCUUACUGGUGCAGAAGGAACAGCGGAGAGGCGCCGCGAUUCUUUGGUACGUUCAGGGUGAUGCAGCAGCCAAGGUUGAGGCAGAGGCGAAGUUCGAUGGCGCUAACGGAGCUUGAGGUGCUGGGGCGAUGCGAGGAAGACGAUGAGGCUGAGAGGCAUGAGGGGAAAAGUGAAAAUGAUCCCCGACCCUAUUUAUAAGGUGAAGGGAUAAGCGGCAGACACAUGAAUCGAGGAGGUCGCAAAACGGAUCUAUAGACAUGCAGACGCCUCGAUUUUUGGAAAUUCAUUAAAGAAGAUACAUUUAAAGAUUUGGGAUCUGCACAAAGCUAAUGGCAGAUGACGUCACGAUGGAUUAUUAUGCUCUCGGAGAUGACGUCACAGCGGUUUACAAGGUUUUUCAGCUGGUGUUGAAGAAGGAAUUUUUCUAAGUACUGAAAAUUGACAUGAACCAGUUCAAAUCAAUUUGGGGCCUAAUGUUGGGGAUAUAACUAUUAAGUAUAAACCGCCCAGGAGGGGCCAGAUUAUACUUAUAGUAAGCUAUUCCUAUUUCAAGCCCACGAAGGCAAGGCGCUUUAUGAAGGAUGUUUAACAAGAAGGCCCAAGGCCCAAAGGCGGAUUAGGGACCGUAGAUGUAAACUGCCAUAAGAUGUAUAACUUGUAUUGUAAGAUAAGAAAGGGUAGAAACCGAGCCGGACACGAAUAUGAGCCGGCCGGGAUUCUGUAAACCGCCGGGCGUCAACCUGUGUAUAUAAAGGGACGACCCGGAGGCGGUUUAAGGACAAGAAAACAACAGAUCGAGAGCCAGGCAAAGCGGAUUCGCUCCCUGGUCAUCGAAACCCUAGCAAUUCCAUCACAACUGGAUUAGGCUUUUACCUUCACCGUAAGGGGCCGAACCAGUAUAAACUCCUUGCGUCCUUUGUCCCGCUUUAACCCCUUUAAGCUAACUACGUUGCAAUGGCUCAACGACUAAGCCCUCACACUAGGACAUCUGCCGUGACAAAACCACGACAAUAUGUGUAGGAUAAAAUUUGUUUGUUGCCUUCUCUAGAUCUUCUAACGAGAAAAUCUUUGUAUUCUCAUUAGCAGUUUCAUCAAAUGAUAUCAACAUUUCUAGGAGAAGACCUUAUUUCUUUUGGAAAUAGUUCUUCUAUAGUUGCUUUUGAAUAUUUAUUUUCCAUCUAUGAUGGAUAAAUACUACGCUAAACCUCAGAAGAAGAGUGUCGGAACCACAUGCCAACCCAAUAAUUAUACAUGCAUGCAUUAAUUAAGCUCUUUUAAGUUUUGCUCUAUUUUUUCUAUCAUAAAUGUAACAAGAAUAUGGUCUUACCUAACUUUAGAGGUUCUUGAUUAUCUUGGUAUAGUGCAUUUUUAUUGGAUUAUACUUAGUCUUGUGAGGACAUUCAGUACAACUAAAGCUUCAUAUGGUAUUAUGGCAGAUCCCUUUACAAAGCUCCAUAAAAAACAACCCAGGGAAAAACAAAGUGGUGUUCAUCGGUGGCGGAAGGAGAAAUGAACUUAUACUUUUCUCUUUGUGAAUUCAUGGUGCAAUUUUUGUGUUUGCAUCUUUUCCAAGCAGCCCAACUGGUAUUUUUUAGAAAAGUUUGUUGAGGUAACUUGUCUUGAAGUGUUGGCAUGCUAUCAUGUGAGAAAAUGUAAUUUGGACAGAUGGCCGCCUUUGAGAUAUCACAGGUCCAUCAAAGUGGACAUUAAGGAUGAGAAACAUAGUAGUAAUUUCCCAAAUAUGAUAUUUUAGUCAACACAUACAAAUUAAAUUAAGUUAGAAAAACUACGAAAUGGAUUUUAGAAUUAAUGAUAGUUUGACAAAGAUAAGUUUAAAAUGAAGGAAAAUCAUUGGAAAUCGAUGAAUUUUAUUUUUUUGGUCGUUCUUGAUAGCUUUCGAUUUUUUCCCUUUUCAUAAAAAAAUUCUUGUUUUUUAUUAUAUAUUGAAAUUUUCUAUUAUAAACAAGAUCCAUUUUGGAAUCUAGGGAAAUGAAAAUAAAAUCAUGUUUUAUUUUCUAAUUUAUAUUGUUGUUAUUAAUAUAUAUUCAGGCUUUUAAGUGUCAUUCGUCUUCCACUUUUUAAUGAAUAUAGUGUGGGUGGUUUUGCCAUGAGUUGGAAACCACCACCAUGUUGUCGGUCAAACCACUCAGAGUUGGGUGAGGGGUCAAAGUUAUCUGGUUUUUGGUGUUAAGGAUGCUAAUGGCCACUCCCUCUAUUAUAAAAUAUUUGAAGUCCUAGGUUUAUCUUAAAUAACAUUUCAUUAAGUUUGACCAACUUUAUGAGAAAACUUACUAAUAAACACAACAUCAAAUGUAUAUAGUAUGACCAUAUAUUUUAGGACCCUGAUAACCACAAAAUGUGUGGUGGUUAAGCUUAAACACCUCCAUCCUCCCCAUUUGUUACAUGCAUGCAUGCAUUAGAAUGAUCCUCUGCUCCUCCCACAUGCAUUUCUCUCUCUAAUUAUAAUUUGAAAAUUCAAAAUGUUUUGUAGCACAAACUGUCAAUUCGAUUCAAAAUUGUUUUCACAUAAAGAAUUCAUCAUGAUGAGACCUUUGAUACUAUAUCUCAUGUUGAUAUGUUCCGACAACUUUUUUGGGGGGCUCAAAAGGUAUCAUGCAUGGGCUACAUAAUUUACAACACAUAUGAUAUGUAAUUUUAUCGUGCUAUUUCCAGAUAAGUUGUUGGGGUAUGUUUGUCAACAACUUUUCCCCCUUGGUCAAUGUUAUCGUGGUGUUUGCACGUAAGUCAACUGGUAUGUGGUUCGUAUAUUAACAUAUUAUUUUCACAUAAGUUGUUGGGGUACAUUUUUCAACAAUCCCCCCUUGUCAAUCUUACCACGGUGUUUGUAUGUAAGUUAUCACAUAUUCGGUUCAUAUAUUACCAUGCUAUUUUCACAUAAUUUACCAGCGGUAUGUUUCUCAACAACCUUUUCCCCUUGGUCAAUGUCAUCACGAUGUUUGUACGUAAGUUAUCAGGUAGGCGGUUCCUCAGCGUUAGUUCAAGCCACGGUAACCAACUCGAAAAGUUCUUUUUUGUGCAAACCUGCUUCCCUUUCCACUUCUCGUAAGGUAAACGUAAUGCUAAAAAUAAAAGCAGUGCGUUCCUAGUUUUUUUUUCUCUUUGGUCGAUUUUUCUUCAUUUUUUUCAUUUCUCUUUCUAAUUUCUUUCUUUUCUAUCUUUUAUUAAUUCACAAAUAUUGUCCAAAUCCAUGUUUUGUUUUUACAAUUUGUGAGUUUUUUUUGAUUAUGUGAACUUUUUUCAAAUCCAUUUUUGGUCAAAUUCAUGAACUAUUUUCAAAUUCUUUUUCCUUUUCUUUUACAAACGCGCAAACUAUUUUCAAAUGAAAAACAUUCUUAAAAUUCGUGAACUUUUGUUUCAAAAUCGAUGAAUUUUUUUCCAAAUCUAUGGUUAUUUUCUUUGAAAUCCAUUAAGUUUUUUUCAACUUCGCGAACUUUUUUCAUACUUCCAAAAUCAACGGUUUUCUUUUCAAAAUCAAUGUUUUUUUAAAUCCAUGAACUAUUUUUGAACCCUUGAACUUUUACAAGUUUGCGAACUUUUUGCCAAAUACAUGAUUUUUUGAGUUUGUUAACUUGUUUCAAACCCACGAACAAUUUUCAAAAUCAUGAUUGAAAUUCGUGAACUUUUUUCAAAUUCACAAUUUUUUUGAACCCUUUAACUUUUUGAAGUUUGUGAACUCUUUUUAAAAUCCAUGAACUUUUUCUAAAUCCUGCAUACUUUUUUGAACUUGUGAAGUUUUAAGAGUUCAUGAACUUGUUUUCACAUCCGUGAACUUUUCUCAAGCCCAUGACAUUGUUUUAAAAUUUAUGAUCUUUUUCAAUCUGGUGAACUUUUUUCAAAGUCUCAACUUUUAAAAUUUUAAAAUUCUUGAUUUUCCAAAUUUCAUGAAUAUUUUUAAAAUUCAACAACUUUUUUAAAAUUCAUGACAUUUUUAAGAUCCACAAUCAUGAACAUUUAUUCAAAUCCACAAUCAUGAACUUUUUAAAAUCCACUAAUUGAGGAACAUUUAUUCAAUUCUGUGAACUUUUUUAAAAUUCACAAAAUUUUCUCUAUAUUUUUGAUUUGUUUUCAAAUCUUUCGACAUUUUUCAUCUUACAAUUAUUUUGAAAGUACUACAAAAAAACCGAAAGGAAUUUUUCGACCAACUACCGAAAAAAAAUCAGAAGAAAACUACUUGCUCCAUCCCAUAAUAUAACAUUGUUUGGUAAGCCGUCUUUGGUUGCAAAACGAUCUUAUAUUAUGGGAUGGAGGGAGUAGCUUCUUUUAAAUAGACAAACAAAGAGAAAACCUAGCUGGUGAAAGCAAGCGAGCGGGUGAGCCAGGUGGCUCAAUAUUGGGCCGCCGCCCACUAGCAUCAAGCUUAAGGUACACACAUGUGGGCUAGCCCAUUUAGAGUACUUUUAAAAUUUUAAAAUUCAUGAAUUUUCCAAAUUUCAUGAAUAUUUUUAAAAUUCAAAAACUUUUUUAAAAUUCAUGACAUUUUUAAGAUCCACAAUCAUGAACAUUUAUUCAAAUCCACGAACUUUUUUCAAAUGCUUGAACUUUUUAAAAUCCACUAAUUGAGGAACAUUUAUUCAAUUCUGUGAACUUUUUUUAAAUUCACAAACUUUUCUCUAUAUUUUUGAUUUGUUUUCAAAUCUUUCGACAUUUUUCAUCUUACAAUUAUUUUGAAAGUACUAUAAAAAAACCGAAAGGAAUUUUUCGACCAACUACCGAAAAUAAAUCAGAAGAAAACUACUUGCUCCAUCCCAUAAUAUAACAUUGUUUGGCAAGCCGUCUUUGGUUGCAAAACGAUCUUAUAUUAUGGGAUGGAGGGAGUAGCUUCUUUUAGAUAGACAAACAAAGAGAAAACCUAGCUGGUGAAAGCAAGCGAGCGGGUGAGUCAGGUGGCUCAAUAUUGGGCCGCCGCCCACUAGCAUCAAGCUUAAGGUACACACAUGUGGGCUAGCCCAUUUAGAGGUUAAGUACUCAAGCACGUAAAAAAAUGGCCUAAAAGACCCGAGCCAGCGAGAGAUCGAACUCGUGACGCUCCGCUCGUGAAGUGAAGAACCUGACCAAUCAAGCUGGCAAAAUCUAGUGAUUUGUAUGCAGUGCAAGAGUUUAAAGUAUCGAACAUCUUUCAAGUUUUCACGAAUAAUUCAAUAAAAUAAAUGGAAAAUUCUGCACAAAAAUUGACAGACGUAAAUACAUUUUUAAAACCAUGAACAUUUUUUUCCAAAAAAUGUGAACACAUUUUGAAAUUCGAACAAACUUUUGAAACUUGAGCAAUUAUUGAAAAGAUGAACAAAAUUUUUGAAAUUCCUAAAAAAUAUUUUUUUGAAAAUAUACAUCGAACAUUUUGUAAUACAUGCAAAACAAUUUUUAAAUACAUAUAAUAUACGCACAACGAUUUUGAACUCCACAGUGAAUAUUUUUGUGAUAUACCCAGAACAAAAUUUUAAUAUAUGUUGAAUUUUUUUGUAAUAUACUCUGAACAAUUUUUAACUACACAUUGAACAUUUUUGUGAUAUACGUUGAACAUUAUUUCAAUACACAAUGAACAUUUGUGUGAUAUAGGCCGAAUUUGUUUGAGUUGUGAACAAAAUUUAAAAACCUUGACUUUUUCUAAAAUCACUACCAAAAUUUGGAAUUUUAAACAUUUUUUGAAAACAAAGGAUAUAAAAUAAAAACAAAAUGAUAAAAUAAAAAUAUAAGAAAAAAAAUGAAACUGAAUCAGAAUCAGAAAAGAAACCGAAACAAAAAAAGCAAACAGAAAAAAAUUUGGAAAUUUGGUUAAAAAAUACCGUUUAAAGGAACCUGCUAGAAGGUGAAGUCGGCCGGCCCGUCGCGUGGCAGACGACGUGCAUCAGGAGGCGAGCAGAUAGAGUUUUGAUCAUGCCAUGUCACACUUUCUGGCCCCAAAACCGCCUAAAAUUGAUGCAAAACCACCUAAGGGGGAGAUUUACCCGGUUUUAAGGAAUUGGGGGUUAAGAUCAUACCAAAUUUGAGUUCAGGGGGGUAUUUGUCCCUCAGGCUACAUUUGAAGGUGAAAAAUAGACUUCUUUCAGAAAAAAGGGACAUCAACGAAACGGCCCGCUUCGUUCGCUUGUGCGUGCGACUGAGUUCCUGGCCCAAUGAGCCGCCCCUUCUAGUUUAUUGCCCUUCUAGCGUCUGUGGCCCAAUGAGACGGUAUAAUAUUGAGUCUGUCGCCCUUCCUUCCUCCCCCUCCACUAGUUCCUCCACCAAAAACUAGGGUUAGGGUUAGGGCGGCGGCGGCGGCUUUAUUUCCGAUCGCGAUCGCCAUGGCCACCGGAGGCGCCCCAAAGCCGGAGGAGGAGACCGUCGUCUUCCCCGAUUGGGUGAUGCUGGAACGCAUCUUCCGCAAACGGUGCCACGACGACCUAGACGCUGCUGGUGAGGCCGUCAACAAGAACAAGACCGCCGCUCCAGUCAAGAUUGACAGCGGCCACUCCUGCUUCGUCUCCUUCACCCUCGCAGCUCCUCCAGGGUCCUCCUACUUCAACCUCCAUUGGCCGGAGAGACAAGGCUCAGAAGAACUCCUUGCCUUCGUCCGGGCAGUCGACAAGAACCUUGUCCUCUUCGACAUCUCGAUCCCCGACCGGAUUCGCUACUUCGACGCUCCGCCAGAUCUGUUCGUCUACACGGCCUCUGCUCCUCCCCCCCCGGUGCAGCAGCUUCCUCGGCGCAGCACAAAGCAGUUCCUGGCUCAUCAGUUCACCACCGGCAUUCUGCAGCUCAAAGCGGAGCACUGCUACAUCGUUGCCGACCUCAAUGUCCACCUCAAGAAAGAGGGCGCUAGUGCUGAACUCUGUGUCUUCAACUCCGGCGCCACCGAUUGGAGAAUCAUCACCGAGGUGCUUGCUGAUAAGCUCCCUGACCUCUGGUUUACCGAUGAUGUGUUUGCUUUCGAUGGCCGUUUCCUUUGCUGGGUGGACUACUUCAGCGGCGUUGUGCUAUGCGACUUCUCCAAAAAUGUGGACUCCCAGGUGCUCCACUUCGUGCCUUUUCCUGGAGGAAUCAAAUACCCUGAUGACGCACGGUUCCCGAGGUACUUCCCAGGGAGGUUCCGAAGUGUGUCCAUCAGCCAAGGCAUGAUGCGCUAUGUCCAUAUUGACAAUGACUUUCAUCAGACAGUCCACAGUGGCUGGCGAGGGAUUGCUCCUAAGAGAAGCAACCGGCGGCAGAAGCAGCUAACCCACAAAAUCACCAUUUGGACGUUGAACUCCAAUUUCGAGUGGGAGGUGCAUUGUGAGAUCAACCUGGAUUGUCUCUGGGCACAACCUAGUUACCAAGGUCUGGGCUUACCUCGGCGUCUUCCUGAGUUCCCAGUCAUCAGCAUGGAUGACCCGGGUGUUCUGUGCUGCGUGCUGAGGGCGAAGGAAUUUGCUGGCAAGGAGUGGAUGAUCAUGGUUGACAUGAACCAUGCGGAUCUGCAGUCAUGUACUGAUGUGAAUGUAGAAGACAAGUUCUCUAAUACCACCCAACUUUCAACUGUCUUCUCCAAAUACCUUCAAAAGGCGAACAGGUAACUGGCUACAAGAAGCUCCCUUAAUAUUCAAAUGACAUCUUUCACGUACGUUCUUACAUAUUAUAUAACAUGGUUGCCUUUGCUUAGCUUUCUGUUGGAUACGGUACUGGUAAACACUGGUGUUUUUCCUUACUUAUCGUACCUAUGGUGCAAUAGACAUGCUGCCUGGUUUUUCAUUCCAUGUAGGAUUCUCAAAGAACUUCUUUCUUAAUUGAUGUCAUUCACGCACAUUCUUACAUACAUACAACCUCCGUCCCAAAUUAAUUGUCUUAGAUUGAUUGGACAAAUCUAAGACAAGUAAUUUGGGAUGGAGGGAGUAUUAUAUAACAUGGUUGCCUUUGCUUAGCUUUCUGUUGGAUAUUGUAGUGGUAAACACUGGUGUUUUUCCUUAUUCAUCGUACCUAUGGUGCAAUAGACAUGCUGCCCGGUUGCAUUCGGUGUAGGAUUCUCAAAGAACUUUGGCUUUGGUGCACGCUUUAUAGCUUACUGCAUGUUGUCUGCUCCCUGUAUGAAUCACUUUGAAGUGUCCCCUUCUUUCAUUGUCAACUCUCUGCACAGUGACUGACCCAUACCAUCCUACUAAUCAGGGUUGUUUUCCCUAUGUUAUUCUCUGUUGCUUUACUCCUGCCCCAAAGUUUCUAUUUUGCUGCCUUCUGCCGUUGCAUGUCCUCUAGUGUUGCUGUGUUAUAGUAAUAUAUAUAUAUAUAUAUAUUGAAGCAUUUAAUAUGUUGUUGCCUUGAAUCUUCUGUUGGGCUGUUCCAGUGUUUGAGUUGUAGCUGCUUCAGUUGUGUAGAGAUUCCAAUAUGGACUCCCUCCGUUCGUAAAUAUAAGUCCUUUUUAGAGAUUCCAAUAUGGACUACGUACAGAGCGAAAUGAGUGAGUAUAAGCUUUGGUCCUUCUGCCAUCAAGUUUUCCUUAAGAGUCUAGAGUCCUCUAUUUCUCCUUAUUGGAUCUUUUGCUCUUUACAUCGGAUUGUCCAUUAUCUGUACAAAUGGGACUGUAAUUCUUUCAGCAGCCUUCUGUCGCCACUAGCAUGGUGCUAUUUUGAAGUGAAUUCUUGGAACCACAUUAUUUUGAUUGCUGUUGUAAAGCAUAAAACUAUAUUGUCCUCUAAUUUCUGUAGGGGGGACAAGCGUCUAUGAAGCUUUAUUAGCACAUACUUCUCUGUUGGCAAAAUUUCUUUGGUUUACUUUGGGUCAAUCAGGUCACAUCUCUGGCUGUUUCUGUUAGAAUCCUUUUGUUUGAGAUAGCGUAUACCAUGGUUUUUAAGGCAGUAAAGUGUCCUAAGGCGUUCUACCCCUGCUCUGACGCCUAAGCGGGCACCUGAGCACUAAGGCAGACUAAGCGCCUAAAGCGGGCAGAUUUCCAAGGCGCUGCCAGGGCGCCUAAGCGUCCUAACGCAGACGCCUUAAAAACCAUGGCAUAUACUUUUAUAUCGUCUAACUGAGUGCUGGCCAUGGUGGAGCUUAGUGUAGACCAACAGGGCCCAUGCCCCCCUCCCCCCUUAAUUUUUCCAUCCAUCGAAGAAAAUGCUAUUAAUUUGGUUCCCUUCGAGUAAUGGCCCCCUCUUGAAUUAUGCUCAAGCUCUGCCAGUACUGGGCCAGUGAGCCAUUCUCUUUACACGGGAGUGCCAUUAGCUAAAACCCCUGUAGUAUUAGCUUUGCUGGCCUUCUCAUGUUACUGUCUUACUCUUGAUUCUGGCUACAACCCUUCUGAUUGUUUUCUCUAUCCUCUCAUGCCUCAUUUCAUUCUCUCACGCCUAAUCCGACAUUGGUACGGCUGGACUGUGGUGAGGACUCCAAUUUUUCUCGAGUAUGCUGCCCUGUCGCCGCGUUCAGCCUCUUGUUACACCUGAACACACACACACACACCAUGCCUGGCUGCAGCAUGUUUGCUACCAGUCCCUGCAUGUCAGUUGUAGUCCUUACCAGAGGCUGUGCCUGCUCAUUGAGGCCACACCGCAACGCCAUGGCUAUGUGGUGUUCUGAAUAUUAUGUCAAGCUAGGCGAUGACAUUACCAUCUGAAUCCAUGUCAAAUAUAUGAUGCAAUUGCAUUUGCAUUAAUAUUGAGUGCAGAACUAUUUUCUUUACCAAUAUACUCCACUGCAAUGCCAUUUGUCUUUCUUGUUUGUCUUUUUUUAAACUACCCUUUUCAAGUGACAAUUCAUCUUAUCUGUUUAUACUGUUCGCAAACAACAUACUCAGAUGUUCAGAUGGUGUAUAUAUCUGAGUUAUUUUUAUUUCUAUUUUUAAAGGGAUGGCAUGGGACAACAUUGAGCUAACUUCAUUGAAAUGCAAGUCUGCAAUAUGAAGACCUGUAAUCUGGUGACUGAAGGUGAACACUUUGCGGAUGCUCAAAUCAAAGAUGUUGUUUGUCAAUGACGCGGUGCAAGCAGAACAGUUUGAUGAUGUACUGAUGAAUAUCUAUUGGAGUAACGCUACAUGUUCUGGAUCAUUUAAUCAUAUGUUUUAGCGUUAAAAGUAUGAGAUUGAAUAUCUUUUCUUUCAUGAAAAUUGAAUUGAGGGCAAGCACAAGGAAAAAAAAUAGUGCUAGACAUUAUUUUUGGUUUUCUUAUCGAGGCCAAAAUGUCAUAAUUACAGAGAUCUUCCAAUAUUUUUCUAUUGGGGGUUCUUCCAUUCCUUUUUUUUGAGGAAUUAUGACAGUGAGGGAAGCUCCCCACUGACCUUUAUAUUUCUCAUUCCUUUUAGUGAGCACAAUGAUGUGAAUCAGGCUUUAAUAAGUUCUAAUACGCAGCGGCACAAUUCAUGCUCACUUGUACUCCCUCCGUUCCUAAAUAUAAGUUUUUCUACAUAUGGAGCAAAAUAAGUGAAUUUACACUCUAAAAUAUGUCUAUAUACAUCCGUAUGUUUCGUUCCUAAAUAUAAGUAGUCAAUUGUUGGAAUGUCAGCUCUUCCUCGAUCUCGCUACAAUAAAAUAUGGGUCUCACUUAAUCCUAAUAGCGUUCUUAUUUUCUCUAAAAUUAUUCGCUUGCUUACUCCUAACAAGUAGGGUCCACACUUAUCAUUGUGAGAUAUAUAGAGUUGACAUGUGGGUAUAGGGGUAUUUUGUCAUAUAACAUGGUCAAUGAGUUUGACCUGACAAUAACAAUGUCUAAUGGCAUUUCUGAGCAAACAUCUAAUGGAAUGAUGGCAAUUUUCAGAUAUCUAAUGGCAUUUUUGAGAAAACAUCUCAUGGAACGAUGGCAUUUUUGAGCGUUUGUAAUUUCUAGUGGCAAAACUGAGCAGUGAGACACAAUUAGUGACAUAAAUGAUAAAAACCCUUUAAUCUAUCCUCACUUAGCUCAAAAAAAUCAUCCACCACACCUAAUACCAAAAUAACAGUUCCACUAAAGAUGCAGUGUCAUGUGCCGUUGAAAUGAAAUGCACCGAGCACAUUCAUAUUUAUCCUAGAUCAGUUUUCAGCAUGAACUUUUUCCAUCCAUCGCUGAAUUAAUUACGAUCAUCAGGAUUUCCUGUACCACAAAAAACUCAAUUAGAAAAACACAACUUUGUUUCUGCCAUAAGGAAAUUCAUCAUAGUGGCAAAGGGUGCAAAAUAUGAGACCAAAAAUGCGCAUGAAAACCUGGCAAUGAUCUGUUCAAAUAAACAAUACAAGUUCUCAAAGAAACUAUGUCAACUUUCAAGAAACACUUGAUGAAGAAACAACAUGACAGCAGUAUUAACAAAAUCUUGAAUAGGAAAGGAUGUUCUAAACAACAGCAGGUUCCCAUGAAUUAUGAUUUUGAAUGCAAAGAAGAUAGCUACAAGAAUUUCUUGUUCUCAAUACAAGUCUAUUGUGGAUACUAACACACAUGUCCAGGAUAUUUUGUUACAACAAAGGAUAUAUGGUAGGCUGACCUGAUAUAUGUAUGGCAAGAAGAAAUCAAGGAUUUCUCAGAAUUCAACCAGAAAUGAUCAUCAAUAUUUUUCCCUGAAGAACGAUGUCAACCGCGUCAAUUCCUAAAAGAUGUAUAAAGAAGUUUGUUUGUUUACUUGGUUUAGAGGAAGAACCCAAUAAACAGGGCAAGCUGGCAUAGCCCUAGAAUUUGGUUGCAGAUAGUGGCAUUGCAUCCAUGCAUCAUGUCUAAAGUUAUGUGAAAUUGAAAUGGGGAUGAUCCAAACCCUAGCACCAAAAUUAAAUCAACUAGGUUCAACUAAAAAUUGCAUUCAAUGAACCCAAAAUGCCUUCAUCAAUGUUUGAUAUUUUUGGCAAGGCUUUGAGUCCAAACAAAAAAUGGUGAACAUUUUUGUGGAAUAUUCUGGGCACUGAAUUUAAAUCAUUACUGUACUUUGCAUUUGGAAUUAUAUUCAUAAUAUAUAAGAAUAUAUUUUCAAAAGCCCUGAAAUAUUUUAUGUGCAUCUGGAAAUGACCAAUGUGCAACAUAAAAAUAUUUAGAGGAAUCUUUGGCACUAAUUGAAGUCAUUUUGAUUUCAAACAGUGGCAAAUAAAUAAAAAGAAAACAGAACAAAAUAAAACAGAGCAGAAACCUCACCUGGCUUACCUGGCCUGCUCCUGUAGCAGAGGCCCAGCCCACCAGGUGCCGUCGUCCUCCUAGCGCCAGUCGGCCAGGCGCGUGGGCGACGCGCACGCACGCACGCACGGCACGCCACGCCACCAGGGUGCCUGCCUGCCUCCUCCUGCCAGCGAGACGUCGCGAGCACCGCCCGGAGCCGUCUGGCUCUUCCUCUCUUUUCCUGGAGCUCUUCCCCCUCCUCUGGUUCUCUCGCCCUUUCUGUUCCCCACCUCAACGAACCGCGCCGCCGUGACCGACGAGCUCCACCAUGGUCACAGCCAUUCCCUCGCUCCCUCUCCGCGUCCUCGAGCUCCACCCCGACCCCGUGGAGCAACACACCUGACACAUGCGACCAGAAGAGGCCCAGUCGGCCGGAGCGUCUUCGUCUUCACCUCUGGUGCCCGGAGAUCGAAUCCGUCGAUUCACCUCGUCCAGAGCGUUCCCGAGGCCGCUGACCUACCCUGUCGCAUCCCUAUGAGCUCCUGCUCCUUUCCCUUGCUCAUCCCCUCCGUUUCCGUGCCCUAGCUGCCUCUCCCACCAUGGCCGCAAGCUUCUCGCCGCCGGCCAUGAGGUCACCGUGGCCAGAGCCCGAACCAGCCGCUCCCGCACGCGUCAUCGUUCCCCUUGCCUCUCCAGGAGCCCGUAGCCACCACCAGAUCUUCCCCACGUGCCCUAUAGCCGGCACCCGAGCUCACCCGAGCUUCGGCCACCGCCACAAGCUCGUCUCCGUCGAGUACGACGCACCAUAGUCGCUGCUGCUUGCUCCGUUGGAUGCGGAUGAGCACCAGCUUCACGCAGAGCCCCUCCGCCACUCGUUUGGUCGCCGGAGGAGCAAACCCGACGCGCUCUGCCGUCUCUGGCUUCACCGGCGACGAGCCGCCGGCCUAAUUCCGGUUUAGUUAGUACUAAUGACUCCACUGAACACCCCAGAGCCACUGCUAUGUGGGCCCUUGUGCCUGUUUAGGUUAGUUUAAUUCCUGUUUAGAUUAGUGCUAAUCUUGCGGACCCUGUUGGAACCGCAACCCUCUAGCUACCUCUUCUCUCACUCGAAUGAAGGUGGAAGAAAAAGAACAGUGGACAAAAGAUUUUCCGGCCGGCGCACGAACGCCCCAAUCCUUUUCUUCCUUACAGUAGUUACAUGGCUACACAUGGCUCAUACCGACGCUCGGUGGCACAUACCACACCGCAAUCAGCAAUAUAGGGGGUCUUUUAUGCCCCGGCACACACACACACACACACACACACACACACACACACACACACACACACANNNNNNNNNNNNNNNNNNNNNNNNNNNNNNNNNNNNNNNNNNNNNNNNNNNNNNNNNNNNNNNNNNNNNNNNNNNNNNNNNNNNNNNNNNNNNNNNNNNNNNNNNNNNNNNNNNNNNNNNNNNNNNNNNNNNNNNNNNNNNNNNNNNNNNNNNNNNNNNNNNNNNNNNNNNNNNNNNNNNNNNNNNNNNNNNNNNNNNNNNNNNNNNNNNNNNNNNNNNNNNNNNNNNNNNNNNNNNNNNNNNNNNNNNNNNNNNNNNNNNNNNNNNNNNNNNNNNNNNNNNNNNNNNNNNNNNNNNNNNNNNNNNNNNNNNNNNNNNNNNNNNNNNNNNNNNNNNNNNNNNNNNNGUGAUCCGCUCGGCCCAGCCACCCCUCACAAUGAUAUCACGCGAAGGACUCGGUUGCUCUCAACAACCCAUGCAUGCAUGACUCAGCAUGCAGCCACACCUCUAGCUAGCUUAUCCAUGCAAACUAACUAAUUUCCUAGCCUGCAGCAUGCACCAUACACACACACACACGCUGGUCAUCACACCUAGACAUGGUUUAAUCCUAACACUCCCCCUAAACCAUGACUUGGCUUGCCAUCACCAGAGUUAUCGCAGCUCUCGCCGUUGUGGUCACCACAGCCGUGACCCAGCCCGCGGACCCGACCUGGCGCACCGACGCCGGUCGCACCGCCACGGACCCGACCUGGCGCACUGACGUCGGUCGCACCGUGCUCCGUCAUGACCCGGCGACAUACACCGAGCUCCUUCUCUGUCGGCGACACACGCUUGGUGUCCCUCUGCGUCCCGCACGUCCCGCGCGCACUUGACGCGCCCGACCGCACCAAUGCGUCCCGCACGUCCCCAACCCGCCCGACGAGCCCGACCGCAUCAGACGCUCACUGCGCGCCGCCUCCGCGUCCGCCAUGGCAGCCACCAGCGACAAACGCCGGAAGGAUGUAGCCGAACUCGAGCACGGACUCGAGCACAACGGCGACAUACGCCUCCUCCCAACGUCAACCGCACGCUCGUACGCGCGCCCGCGGUCCCGACGCGCCCGACGCGUCCAGUGCGCACCCAUAACACACACCGGUCGUGCCCGGCUCGCCGCCACGGCCUAUUGCCCUGCACCGCUACGGCCUCAACCGCAGCGCAACACCUCCAUGCCGCCAUGCCGCUGUGUGUCGUUGAAGCCGCCACCACGCAGGUCCUCCGCGGCCUCCCCACCGUGCCGCCGCAGCCCCCCGCGGCCUCCUCGCCACGCCGCGCACCUCCAUAGACCGACACAUGGCCCGGAGCAUCGCGCAGCCGCCGGCGAACUCCGCCACCGCCGGCACGCCUCCGACAAGGAGAACGCCGCCCAAGAUGAACCAGUUCAUGAUACCAAUUGUUGGAACCGCAACCCUCUAGCUAUCUCUUCUCUCACUCGAACGGAGGUGGAAGAAAAAGAAUAGUGGACAAAAGAUCUUCCGGCCGGUGCACGAACGCCGCCACGGGCGCACGAACGCCCCAAUCCUUUUCUUCCGUAUAGUGGCUACAUGGCUGCUCAUACCGACGCUUGGUGGCACAUACCACACUGCAAUCAGCAAUACAGGGGGUCUUUUAUGCCCCGGCACGCACACACACUCUGGCACGGUGUGAUCCGCUCGGCCCGGCCACCCCUCACAACGAUAUCACGCGAAGGACUCGGCUACUCUCAAUAGCCCAUGCAUGCAUGACUCAGCACGCAGCCACACCUCUAGCUAGCUUAUCCAUGCAAACUAACUAAUUUCCUAGCCUGCAGCAUGCACCAUACACACACACGCUGGUCAUCACACCUAGACGUGGUUUAAUCCUAACAGACCCCGCAUGUCAGCUUUGAUUUUGACCAAGUCAACAUUGACCGGUCCCACCUGUCAUCCACCCAAACUAGCCCUGAGUCACUUACCGAUGUGCCCCACUGGUCAGGUUUGACCCAGACCAGCCCAGUUGACCUGCUGACGCCAGGCUUACAUCAUGCUGACCUCAUAAUCAUUUUCUGGCGAUUUUAUAUUUCAGAAAUAAAUUAUAAAAUCCAAAAAAUUGUUUAAACUUCUAAAAAUCAUAGAAAAUAAAUCGUAACUCCAAAUGAUAUAGUUUAAUAUGAAAAAUUAUCGGAAAAAUUCAAAGAAUCUAAAUACGGAAUUUUCAUGCAUGUUUGAACAAGUUAACCUCACUGAAUAGGACAAUUCAUGAUUAUGGAAUAAAUGGUAAUUAGUUUUGGAGUUGGAAUUUGCUAUAGGUUUUGCUAUAGGUUUGAUUAUGGAAUAAAUGAUUAUGACUAACUCUUGCACUAGGUCAAUUCAGUACCUUAAUAUGACAUAUCAUUCAUAUGAAUGUGCAUUGCAUUGAUUGUGGUUCCUUUCGUGUUUGCCUGUGGUUGUUCCCUCUUAGUCGACGAUGUUUCUGACGAUGUGAUCGAUGACACCGAUGAAGAGCUAUACUAUCUUCAGAAGUGCCAGGCAAGCAACCCCACCCCCCUUGUUCAUCUCGAUACAAUCCCACUCUCUCGCUCCUGCUCUCUUUUACUGCAUUAGGACAACAACGAUUCAACUGUUACAUGCUGCGGUAGUUGAACCCCUCUCCUCUGCAUGACCUGUCAUUGCCACAGCAAAUAGAUGAAACCCACUAGCAUGAAUAGGAGUUGUUUGAGCCCUGAUGUGCCUACUCAUACAUGCUUGUUUGUCAUGCCUGCUACUGCUUAGAGUUGAGUCAGGGCUGAUUCAUCGGGGAUGAACUGGAAUGUGUGAACAUGUCCUACUAUUGAGAGCUAAGUGUGUGAACAUGAUUUGGUAGAGGUAUCGGUGAGAGGCCAUGUAGGAGUACAUGGUGGGUUGUCUCAUUGAAGCCGUCCUCAGGAACUGAGUUCUAUGCUUGUGAUCCAUGAACAGCUACUACCACGUGUUGGGCCCGAAACCAAUGGACCCUCUCGACUUAUUAACUGCCCCUGUCAUCUGUCCAGGAGUUGCAAGUAGUUUCUGGUGUUCGUAGUAUGCUGGAGGCCGUGCGCAGCACUCACCCGAGGGGUGGGCUGUGAGGCGGUAGGCACGUGGCACGGUGUACCAGGUCGCCCGUUUGGUGUCUUGGGAACCCUGCACACAACUUUUGGGGCCGUAAGUGGAAACCUCGGCCGGACUCCCUUCGGAUGGAACCUGAAUAGGCGAUAAGCCCGGACUAGGGAUUUGUGUGGUUAGUCAGGCCAUGGCCGACACCCUCGCUGGGCUUCCGCUUGAAGGUUGCCGAGUACAUGUCGUGUAAAUGGCGAUAAGUGGUGAGAGCGUGUGUGAAGAAGUACACCCCUGCAGGGUUAACAUCAUCUAUUCGAAUAGCCGUGUCCGCGGUAAAGGACUUCUGGGUUGCCUGUACAGUUCAUAGAUAACUUGAAGUGGAUACUCUAAAACUCGCAAGAUAAGCGUGAUUGCUAUGGAUGGCGUUCUCGUAGGUAGACGGGAGCGGAUCCAUAGUGGUGUAUUGGUAUGGUGAAUAUGUGGACUCGUGUGCACCACCUCAAAGAGUUAAUUGCAGUCGUAGUUCAGGAUAGCCACCGAGUCAAAGAUGGCUUGCUGCUGUCAAACUCCACCACCCCUUUGUUGAUACCGAUGCAUAUGUAGUUAGUUCUGAUGUAAGUCUUGCUGGGUACAUUUGUACUCACGUUUUCUUAUUUUAUGUUUUGUAGAGAGACUCCAGUCUCACUAGUAGUUCUGCAUGGACUUUGAUGUUUAGCUUGUUACCUCAGCUACGAUCUUGUACCCUUGGGAGGGUCUUGUAGAUAGUCAGGCUUCUCAGCCUUUUUCAUUUGUAGUUGUCUGCACUCAGACAUGUUUAUGCUUCCGGUUGAUACUUGUAUGCUCUGUAUGUUGGGUCAUGAGACCCAUGUUUGUCAUACUUGGCUCCUCGGAGCCUAAUCACUAGUGCAGAACCGGGCAAUAGCACCGGUUCGUAAGGCCCUUUAGUGCCGGUUUAGUAACCGGCACUAAAGUGUGGGCACUAAAGCCCCCCCCUUUAGUACCGGUUCAGCACGAACCGGUGCUAAAGGGAAACCACGUGGCACGAGCCAGCUCCGGGGGCCGGGAGCCCUUUAGUACCAGUUGGUAACACCAACCGGUACUAAAUGUUUGUGGGUUUUUGUUUUAUUUUGUAUUUUUCAAUUAAAUUUGUGUUAUUAAUUUAAUUUAGGAUUGUUUUACGUUAUAAUGAGUUGUAGUCGUCAUCAUCAUCAUCAUCAUCGCAUAUUAAUAAAUAAAUAAACUCUAGCUAGCUAAAAAUCAUCGUAGUCGUCUAAUUACCACUAUUUAAUCAUCAUAGUCAUUACUGCUAGCUAUCUAAUCAUCACCAACACUGGCUAGCUUAAAGAGGAAACAUUCACUUUGUAACAGAAGCAAAGAUAUCAUCGAGUUCAACAUAAUCAUCACCAACAUCGAAGUUCAGGACACGGACAUGAGACAAGUAGUAAUUAAUUAAGAGCAUGAACUAGUAGCUACUCCUGCUGCUCCCUCUCAGGUAGAAUAGCAUAGAACAUGUAUAGCUCUCCUGAUUCAUCAUACGGGAGCAUGCAGAUGAAUCUGUCUCCUAAUCUUGGGUUGCGCUUCUCCUUGCUGCCCCCUAGUACUUCUCUGCGAUCGUUAACAAUUUUGCUCCAAUCUUUCACUAUUAAGCAUUCUUCGCUUUCAGAAAUCCUGAAUGCACUCAUGUGCAAUGUAGGAUAUCUUGGCUGUAAGCUAACCAUUGACAUGUCACCUUUAGUCUCGAUCCACUGAGGCACAACUGUCAUCGGAAGUCCCUGUUGAAGAACAUCGUAUAGUAAUUAAUAUACUAAGCAAUGAAAGUUUAGCUUCAAAAAUAAUGUAUGCAAAAGAUGCACUAAUUAAGGACAAAUAGUUAAAUUCUUACCAUCUUUCGAUUAUAGAUGUGACCGUAGUUUAAUACGAUCACCAUUGGUCGCACGUUUUGAGUACUAACAUUUCUAAGUUCAGGAAUUUUUUUUGUCUUGACAGUAUUAAGAUCCUCAAGCCAUGAAACAUAAUGACUUAUCUCCUCGCAGUUUAGUUGAGCCCCGGGGCAGUAGUAGGUCCUGUCUACCAAGUGCCGUACAUGUUUGCUUGAACCGAAAUAAGCUGACAAUACAAAUUAGUUGUCAACUAUUUUUGAAUAAACUGUAUCAAAGACAUAAACAUAUGCAUGCAUGGUUGAGAAAAACUCACAUAAUGGUAGAACUGGAGGCGUUUGCACAUUGACCCAGAUGUCUAUAUUACCUUCAAUAUCAUCUUCCGGACGAAUAUCAAAGGUGAUAACCAUAUCAGGCUCAAAUGCAUAAGCCUUGCAUAGUGCUUGCCAAGUUUUGCAUUCAAAAUGGGUGUAUGUGUCUCCAUUAUAUAAUUUGACGUUGAAAGUAUACCCAUGGUCCGUCUUCAAGUAAACUCUCUUUACCUCCAUAUCAUCUAUAGCACUAAAACCUAUCUUAUCUAAGACAAAAAUUCUUGCAUCGCAGGGGAUGCGCUAGUAGAAUAGUGAAAAUUUAAAAUCAUAAGUUGAAGCAAAUGAAGCAUAAGUUUUGCAUUCAAAUAAUAAUUGACAAAGUGACUUACUGUAUCAAAUUCGAAUGUCUCAUCCAGCUUGAUGCUAAAGCGCCUACCAUCAACAAGGAAAUUUCUGUCGCACAGGCCGCGCUGGUCUUCACAGUGUUCGCACAUAAUGAAAUCUUUUUCGUCGUCAGAUGACAUUUCCUAUGUUCAUAUAGGUGAAACAUUAAACACCUAUUACUAUCUAACAUUAAUUAAUAUCUAGCCAAAUAUAUAUUCAUCUAACAUUUGACAUCAAUAUAUCUAACUAUAUUCAUCUCUAAUAAUUGACAUUACUAUAUAUUUAACUUUUCUAUCUAAUUCAUCUAACAUUCGACAUUAAUCUAACAUUUAUAUAAACUCAAAAUAUAUAAAAAAUUAAAUAAACAGAAAAACUCAUUAACAAAUAAUAUUUUAAUUAGAUCAUCAAAUCUCAGAUACCUAAAUUUUCUUACUAAAAAUAAACUAGUUAUAUUAAUUAUUGAACUAGUUCAAAUCUCAUAUACCUAAAUAAACUAGUUAUAUUAAUUAUUGAACUAGUUCAAAUCUCAUAUACCUAAAUAAACUAGUUCGACAAUUUUCUUACUAAAAAUAUGACCUCAAGCUCAACCCGGAAAAAUGUGUUUUUGGCGUUCCAACCGGAAAGCUCUUGGGCUUCAUUGUAUCCGGUAGAGGAAUUGAAGCAAAUCCAGCCAAGAUCCGAGCUCUGUCACAAUUGGAUAUCCUGAAGGACCUCAAACAAAUACAAAAAUUAACCGGAUGCGUGGCAGCUCUAAGCUGCUUUAUCUCCCGCUUAGGAGAAAAGGCCCUACCCCUUUACCGCCUCCUUCGGCGCACCGAACACUUCGAGUGGACGGAUGCAGCCACGGCCGGACUCGACGAAAUAAAAGCCAUCCUGGCAACAAACCCAGUCCUGGCCGCGCAAAACAUUGGCGAACCAAUGCUGUUAUACAUUGCAGCAACCCAUCAGGUCGUAAGCGCAGUGCUCGUCGUCGAACGAGAGAAACGGAUGGACACAAAUUCCCCCUUCAAAAGCCGGUCUACUAUGUGUCCACUGUCCUUACUCCGUGCAAGUCACGGUACCCGCAUUAUCAAAAGAUUGCGUACGCGGUAUUUAUGGCAUCCCGCAAGCUGCGACACUACUUUCAAGAGUGUUCAAUAACAGUAGCCUCGGAAGUGCCACUUAACGAUAUUAUAAACAACCGCGACGCGACGGGCCGGAUUGCAAAAUGGGCCAUUGAGCUCCUCCCAUUCGACAUAACUUACAAGCCACGGCGAGCUAUCAAGUCGCAAGUUUUGGCCGACUUCGUCGCAGAAUGGACGGAGGCCGAACUCCCUAAAGAGUACGACACAUAUUCAAAUUGGGUCAUGCACUUCGACGGCUCCAAAAUGUUGGCCAGUCUAGGGGCUGGCGUCGUUUUGAUGUCCCCCACAGGAGACACAGUUCAAUACGUACUCCAGAUAAUGUACACAGACUCCAACAACGCAGCCGAAUAUGAGGCCGUUUUACAUGGUCUCCGGAUGGCAGUAUCCAUGGGCAUUCAACGCCUAGAGGUGCGCGGGGACUCGAACCUCGCAAUAUCCCAAAUAAAUGGAGACUUUGAUGCCAAGGAUCCAAAAAUGUCAGCUUAUCGCAACGCCGUCCUAAAAAUGUCAGCUCGGUUCGAAGGGCUCGAAUUUCACCAUAUAGCCCGGGAAAAUAAUCAGGCGGCAGAUGUCCUGGCACGCAUCGGCGCAAAACACGAUGUAGUCCCCCCAACAUCUUCCUGGAAAGGCUGUUCAAGCCAUCCAUAGUAUGGGAAGGGGAACCCGGCAAUAACAGCCCGGACCCAACCGCACUGCCCGACACCGAACACUUUGACAUAAUUGGAGGCUCUGCCAAUGAAAUAACACUUUCAGCCCAGGUAAUAAUGGCCGUCAUUGCUCCGUGGAGAAAACCAUUCCUCGCCUACCUUACUAGGCAGGAACUCCCCGAGGACCAAAAUGAGGCACGCUGCACAGUGCGGCGAUCUAAAGCCUAUAAAGUCCAUGAGGGAGAGCUUUAUAAGAAAAGCACUACCGGAGUCCUUCAAAGGUGCAUCUCCGAAGAGGAAGGGCGGAACCUCCUGGCUGAAAUUCAUGCCGGACUCGGCGGUCAUCACGCUGCAGCUCGGUCCCUUGUAAGCAAGGCCUUCCAUACAGGCUUUUAUUGGCUGACGGCCCGAGCAGACGCCCAGGACUUAGUCCAACGAUGCGUCGGUUGCCAGCCUUUUGCAAACCAAAGCCAUAUGCCACCCACCGCCCUCCAAACUAUCCCCAUCACUUGGCCCUUCGCAGUCUUGGGGCUUGACAUGGUUGGACCCCUUAAAGGCGGAACCCACAAGAAAAAAUACUUACUGGUCAUGGUGGAUAAGUUCACCAAAUGGAUAGAAGCCAAGCCUGUUAAGACGGCUGAAUCUGGACCGGUGAUAGACUUUAUAUCCGGGGUUGUACACCGUUAUGGCGUCCCCCACAGCAUCAUCACUGAUAACGGCACGAACUUUACGGUCGACGAGGUAAAACUUUGGUGCAAAAGCAUGGGCAUCAAGCUCGAUUGUGCUUCCGUCUAUCACCCACAAACUAACGGCCAGGUCGAACGUGAAAAUGGUCUUAUCAUGAGCGGCAUCAAACCCAGAUUAGUGCGGUCCCUUAAGGAAUCUAAUACACACUGGGUAGAGGAGAUCGACUCCGUACUCUAGGGGCUGCGGACCACGCCGAAUCGCACCAUCGGAUACACACCAUUCUUCAUGGUGUACGACGCAAAGGCAGUUCUGCCCUGCGACAUAAUUCAUGACUCACCUCAAGUGCGCAUGUACGAAGAAAGAGAAGCCGAGCUCGAUCGGCAGGACAGUUUGGACGCCUUGGAGUAAGAGCGUGACGUGGCAAAAGCCCGUUCCGCAUUCUAUCAACAGCAGGCUCGAAGAUACCAAAGCGGAGAAGUACGGGCCAAAAAAUACAAUGUUGGCGAACUAGUUCUACGUCUGCCGAACAAGAAAAAGGACAAACUCAAGCCCAAGUGGGAAGGUCCCUUCAUAAUUGACCAAGUCCUGACUGGUGGAGCGUACCGCCUGCGAGAUGCAUCGGAUAACCGACUCGAGUCGAACCCAUGGAACGCAGCCCGCCUCCGAAGAUUCUAUGCCUAGCGCCGGACUCUGUGUUCGUUUCCUCCCUCUGUCUAUUUUUAUAUACUUUCUGUCUUACAUUUCUCUCCUUCUCCUCUUUCUCUCUCCUAUAGCCUUUAAAGGCUCAUACAGUGACGCGCUAUCCGCGCUCAUUAAACCUGUGGGCUUCUUUAAACAGAAGCUUAUACGGGCUUUCAUGCCCAACACAUGCGUCACACUUCUGCAUGUACCUUUUAUUCGCCAGUAUAUGCAUCGAUAUGACUUAAGUUUUGGCCAAGCUGGGUUGCCUGGCUCCUGUGCUUACCCCUACGUUCCCGAUUGUUCGACUAGGUGGUAAAGGGAGCACCUCUGCGAUUGUUACUGCCGGGUCAGCCGGAUGUGUACCUCAGACUGGGUGAAGCCGAAAGCUAGCGUUCUUAAGGGAAUAUUUGGUCGGUGAACUAAAGAUGAUCUUUUUUUAUUUAUCUAUACGCCCCCAGAUGUUUUUCCUGCGUCUCUUUUCGCAGAAUGGACACGCACUUUAGGGCAUGCCUCCCAGGGAAAGGAACCCCUAACGGAACUAUUCUCCCUGGAAGAUGUUUCUUACUAACCAUGUAAUAUAACAUAACUACUUGGGCACUUGUCUGUUCAAGCACUAAUGACCCCUACACCUGGUCUCCAUGCAUACCCCGGUUCUUAUAUAACCGCGAGGGUAUUCGGACACACUCCGGACCGUCAGGUCCCGAGGUUGAAGCGAAAAGGUCGGCCAUGACAAACGAUGUACAAUCCGGCUAGAAGGCAUUACACAUGUCAAUUAUAAUUACAUAGUCAAUCUGACUGAUUGUAUUCCUCUUCAAUACCAUCUAACAGGCUGUCUAGUUUACAUUUCUGUUGGGAAUACCUUGCGGUCAAUUCUACUUGGCCGUAUACUAAGCUCACAGGGAUCUCCUUCCCAUCGGGCCCCACGGGUCCGACCUCGGCCAUGUGGUUUGGGUCAGCCUUCGUGUACCGCGUCUUCACCAUGGCCCAGGCCUCCCUGGCACCUUGAUGGCAGGCCGACAUCUUCCACAAUCGGAAGCGCCGCUGCGCUCCCUUCAGCUUCUCUACAAGCUCUCCAAGGCCUUCGGGCAUGGAGACGGAUGGCCACAGGGCCUGGGCGACGCUUUGCAUCACCUGCCGAACUCGCUCGUGCAGUUGUGAGAGCUCGGGAAGAAGGUCACCCGUAGAACCGGGCAUUUCCUCUGCAGGACGACCUGUUAGCAUACCUACACACAUUACUCUUUUAGUCGACUUCCUUGCCGAACUCUUUUUUCAAAAGUUCGUUUAAGCACUUACUAUAUAUGCCGCGUCGAAGCCGCUGAUUCUCCUUCACGGAGUCCAACAGCUGGGCACAAACAUCCUUCAGCUCAACGCCCAGCUUGGUGUUGGCAUCUUGGAGAUUGUUCUUCUCCCGCCUCACCUUUGUCGGCACGCUCUCACCAGCCUUCAGCUGGCGUCGGAGUUGUUGCUCUUCCGGAUUUAAUCCGGCGCCAUCUACAAUUUCAUUUGUCAGAUUUGCACCCACGCCGCACUUCGCAAAAUACUUAUCUUUCGAAGCGUAUAUUACCAGAGGGGGUCUCCUUGGGCUCCCCUGCCGCGGCUAGUGCGGCCUCAAGUUGGGCUUUGCACUCUUCCAGCUCCUGGGACAGUAGGGUAUUCUUUUCUGUAAGAACCUGCAUAACAAAUGAUCCUUAAAUCAAUUAUUCUAACUGUUUCAAGUCUCGGGGGCUACUGGUAUAUAUAUAAUUACCAAAAUUUUCUUACCCGUAUGUCUUUUACAUACUGCUCCGUGGCUUUGGCUAGACCAUUUUGAGCGGCACGGAGGUACGCAUCUCCCGAAUUGAAGGCAUCCAAUGCCUCUUGGGAGAAACAAGCGUCGCGAAGAACUGUCCGGCGACGCCUGUGGUUCAUAGCGCUCUCCACCUUGGAAUUGGUGGCAGACAACCUGUCCGCAUCCUCUGUUGGAGGAGCGUCCGGUGCGCGCCUUGUGUUCGCCUCCGCUUCCGGACCAGGCUUUGGAGUCUGGCUGGUGGAGGCGCGAUUGGCAGCCCCUCCGGAUAUAGUCCGGCGAGGUCUCUUCGUCCUGAAGAGAGCACGAGCGUUAAUAUGCCUUGAAGGAAUAACACCUGGGAAUAAGAUGGCGCGCUAUACCUUUGCGCCGGCGUCUCAGUCCGGACCGCACUUCUUUUCAUCCCGCGGGGCCUUGCCACCCCUCGUUGGCUAGUCGCCACAGGCUCGGCCUCCCGUCUCAAGGACCUCCCCUGCAAAACAUGGUUGUCAUACGGCAAUCGAAAACACGCGAGGAUAGAUCCCUUUUCAAAGUGCUGGGACUUCGGUCUCAAUUACCUGUGAGGCUGGGAGUAGCCCUGGGUAGUCGGCCGUAAUGGCCACCAAGGCGUUGUCCUUGCUCAAUUGAUGAAACACCCCAUCAAUCAGCUCCACAGAUAAGUCCGGAUCCUCUUGAGAGGCCGGGUCGAGGGACCAUCCUGGAUCCUCGGGUUGUGGAGGAGGGCUGUUUAUUUCUUUAACAGCAUGGCGCAGUUUCUGCGUUGAAGUCGUUAGACUGAAUAUUUAACGAUGGGAAUAUAAAAUGGAUGGGAAAGUAAAAGUGUCCACUUACCCAACUUGGGGGAUUGUACAUAGAAAAUCCACCCUGUGGGUUGACGCGGAGAAAUUCCUCCUCUUCUCCCUUGUACAAAGCGGAUAAGGUCUUUAUUAGAGCGGCAGCCGAAUCCGGCCCCUUACAGCCGUAGCGGGUGGCAUCGUCCUCCCCGUUGAAGUCCCACAUGGGGCGGCCUCUAUACUGAAGCGGCUGCACCCCUCGCAGGAUGCAUGCGGCCAUGACCCCGAUCAUGGUCAGUCCAGAAUGAGCUAACAAUCUUAUCCGGCCCAUUAGGUAAAGAACGUCCCUGUCACUUUCCCUCUGAGGGCUCCAUGGACGCCAGCUUAGGCGCUUCUUUAGGGGAGCACUGUCGAACUCAGGGAGGCCGAUCCGGACAGGAUCCGGCAGCGGGACGUCCUCUAUAUAAAACCAUUCCGAGGGCUAGUCUUCGGACGCCUUCUUUGGGGUUCCGGAUAGAUAUCUGGUCCCGACGAUGCGCCACACUUCAGCUCCGCCCACUUGAUACAUUGACCCCUUCUUAGAACGGGGCAUGAGGCAGAAUAGCCUUUUCCAUAACACGAAAUGAGCCUCGCGGCCCAAAAACAGCUCGCAAAGGGCCACGAAGCCCGUGAUAUGCAAUAUGGAGGCAGGCGUGAGGUUGUGCAGCUAGAGGCCAUAGAACUCCAGGAGCCCCCGGAGAAACAGAUGAAUUGGAAAUCCAAGCCCUCUUAUUAAGUAAGGGACAAGGCAUACUCGCUCUCCUUUGGAGGGAUUGGGGGCGCUCUCCGCUUGCUCUCCGCCAUUAUAGGUAGCAAGUCCAGCUCGAACCAGUACCAUAUAGGCCGGGGGGAGAAAUCCCUUGGUCUGGAGCGUCACUAGCUCGCUGUGCGCGAUGGAGCACCUCUUCCAAUCUCCAGACUGAGGGCUGGAAGGGCGAGAGGAGGAACUGCGGCGGUCGGCCAUGAUAGAAUGGACCUCUAUCGGAUACGCUCUGAUGAAUACUCGCAGAGGGGAGAAGGUGUGGUUUGGAUCUAAAUCCUCGUCCCCUUAAAUAGGUGGCUCAUUCACGCGGCUAGGGGUGUAAAUAUAAAAAACACCCUGACUUUUCGUAUUCGUUUGACACAUGGAAGACGGCCAUUAUUGGGCAUAGAAGCCAAGGAGCGCUACAAGAAACCGGACACUAUUUAACAGGUACACGGAAUUUGGAGAACCCGCCUUGCAAUGCCGAAGACAAUUUGCGCGCCGGACUCAUCGUCAUUGAAGCCUGGUUCGGGGGCUACUGAGGGAGUCCUGGAUUAGGGGGUGUCCGGAUAGCCGGACUAUACCUUCGGCCGGACUCCUGGACUAUGAAGAUACAAGAUUGAAGACUUCGUCCCGUGUCCGGAAGGGAUUUUCCUUGGCAUGGAAGGCAAGCUUGGCGAUACGGAUAUGUAGAUCUCCUACCAUUGUAACCGACUCUGUGUAACCCUAGCCCUCUUUGGUGUCUAUAUAAACCGGAGGGUUUUAGUCCGUAGGACGAACAACAAUCAUACCAUAGGCUAGCUUCUAGGGUUUAGCCUCCUUGAUCUCGUGGUAGAUCUACUCUUGUACUACCCAUAUCAUCAAUAUUAAUCAAGCAGGACGUAGGGUUUUACCUCCAUCAAGAGGGCCCGAACCUGGGUAAAACAUUGUGUCCCUCGUCUCCUGUUACCAUCCGCCUAGACGCACAGUUCGGGACCCCCUACCUGAGAUCCGCCGGUUUUGACACCGACACCUAUGUCAAGCUAACUAACAGGAGGCCACGAGGUAGGGGACGCGCCUGCCCCCCCCCUCCCAGGUGCGCCCUCCACCCUCGUGGGACCCCUGUUGCUCCACCGACAUACUUCUUCCUCCUAUAUAUACCCACGUACCCCCAAACGAUCAGACACGGAGCCAAAACCCUAAUUCCACCGCCGCAACUUUCUGUAUCCACGAGAUCCCAUCUUGAGGCUUGUUCCGGAGCUCCAUCGGAGGGGGCACCGAUCACGGAGGGAUUCUACAUCAACACCAUAGCCUCUCCGAUGAAGUGUGAGUAGUUUACUUCAGACCUACGGGUCCAUAGUUAGUAGCUAGAUGGCUUCUUCUCUCUUUUUGGAUCUCAAUACAAUGUUCUCCCCCUCUCUUUUGGAGAUCUAUUCGAUGUAAUCUUCUUUUUGCGGUGUGUUUGUUGAGACCAAUGAAUUGUGGGUUUAUGGUUAAGUCUGUCUAUGAAUAAUAUUUGAAUCUUCUCUGAAUUCUUUUAUGUAUGAUUGGUUAUCUUUGCAAGUCUCUUCGAAUUAUCAGUUUGGUUUAUCCUACUUGAUUGAUCUUUCUUGCAAUGGGAGAAGUGCUUAGCUUUGGGUUCAAUCUUGCGGUGUCCUUUCCCGGUGACAGUAAGGGCAGCAAGGCACGUAUUGUAUUGUUGCCAUCGAGGAUAACAAGAUGGGGUUUUCUUCAUAUUGCAUGAGUCUAUCCCUCUACAUCAUGUCAUCUUGCUUAAGGCGUUACUCUGUUUUUAACUUAAUACUCUAGAUGCAUGCUGGAUAGCGGUCGAUAGUGGACUAAUAGUAGUAGAUGCAGGCAGGAGUCGGUCUACUUGUCUCGGACAUGAUGCCUAUAUACAUGAUCAUACCUAGAUAUUCUCAUAAAUAUGCUCAAUUCUGUCAAUUGCUCAACAGUAAUUUGUUCACCCACCGUAGAAUACUUAUGCUCUCGAGAGAAGCCACUAGUGAAACCUAUGGCCCCCGGGUCUAUCUUUAUCAUAUCAAUCUCCUGCUACUUAGUUAUUUACUUUGCUAUUAACUUUGCCUUUAUUUUGCUUUGCAUCUUUAUCAUAAAAAUACCAAAAAUAUUAUCUUUAUCAUAUCUAUCAGAUCUCACUCUCGUAAGUGGCCCUAUAGAGAUUGACAACCCCUAUUUGCGUUGGUUGCGAGGAUUUAUUUGUUUGUGUAGGUAUGAGGGACUUGCGUGUAGCCUCCUACUGGAUUGAUACCUUGGUUCUAAAAAACUGAGGGAAAUACUUAUGCUACUUUGCUUGUCAGGACCCCGAUUCCAAGUCACAUCGAUCUAGCCGGUAACACCUCAUAUCACUUUGCGGCCUCAUGCACGGUAUCCCACGGGUGUCGCCUUACCAUGGCCCGGGACCGUUUGCGCCUUUUAACUCAUGGAUAUGAUAGUGUCGCUAGCAUCCAUAUGACAGAGAACCCGGGCCGACAUGGCUAGUCGUGAACCCAAAGUGGCACAAACCUAUGGAGACAGGCAUACAUGAAUCACAUCGAGCAUGUCGGUCAUCAACGAGUGAUUUCGGGCUGUAGCACUGGGCUAACAGGACUCCGGGGAUCCCGGGCUGUAGCAGGCUAGGCAGGACUCCGAAGUCACCGCGUGACAUUUCCCCAAAGGGACAGACAUAGGAACGAAGUGAAACACAUGCUGACCAGUCAAGUGUCCUGAACAGUAGUGCUGGGCUAGCAGGACUCCGGUGAACCGGGCUGUAGCGGACUACUAUGGCUCGAGGAACACUAGACUACAUUUGCCCAUAAGAAAGGCUGCCAAGGAUAAACAACUAGAUUGUCGGAUCCCACUCAUACCAAGCAUUUCAAUCAUACACACAAUAUGCCCGAUAUGAGUACAUACAACAUGGCAUCACAACAAAACUCUACAACUCAAGUACUUUAUUUAAAGGGCUCCAGAGAGCCAUACAUAACAUGUCAUACAGAUAGGGGUCACAUGAGCCGACACUCAAGUCAUACAAUCAUACAUGCACAUGCGGAAGCAACUAGUCUAAGUACAAACUCUAAAAAGAAAGAAGGCUUCUCGAAGCCUGUCUAUCUACAUAGGGCCCUCCAUGGCCAGGAUCACCACCUGGGUGGCUAGUCACUCAUCGACGUCAAGGUCUACAUAAAACCCAUCGGAGGGGGCAGUGUUGUCGUCUGAAAAUAAUAAAUAAGCAAACAUGAGUACAAAGGUACUCAGCAAGUCUUACAUCAGAACCUACUAUACAUGCUUAUUCUCAAGAAGGAGGUGGGGUUAUUUGCAGCAAGCCAGCUUUGACUCUUGGCUAAGCUAUCCUACAGAACAUCACCAGUAAAAUAGUUUUCGCACACGAGUCCACUACUCACCAACACAAUACUCCACCGGGGAUCCUCCCUCGUCAUCCUACGAGAGGGCCAUCCUCGGUACUCACACUUAUCUUGAGUCUUUUAGUAGUAUCCAUUAACUUGUCUAUGAACUGUAUAGGCAACUAAGUAGUCCUUUACCGCGGACGCGGCUAUUCGAAUAGUUUUAUACCCUGCAGGGGUGUACUUCGUCACACAUGUUUCCACCACUUAGCGUCUGCACACGACAUGUGCUCGGCGGACUUCAAGCGAAAACCGACGUGGGUGUAGACCACGACCUGACUAACCUCACAAGUCUCUAGUUCAGGUUUUCUCGCCUAUUCAGAUUCCAUCCGCAAGGAAAUCCGGCCGGGGUGUCCUCAACGGCCCCAAACGAUGUGUACAGGGUCCCGAGACGCCAAACGGGCGCUCGGCAUACCAGGCCACAGUGUAUCUACCGCAUCAUAGCCCACCCCUAGGGUCAGCGCUACGCACGGCCGCCAACACAUGUCCUACAAACACCAGAAACUAGUUGCAACUCCUGAACAGAGGUGAGAGGGGUCAGUAAGUCGAGCGGGGUCAUAUUUUAGGGCCCAAUGUGUGGUAGUAGCUGAAUCUUAAAUCACGCAUACAGAUCUCAGUUCUGAGGGCCGGCCUCAAUGAAACAACCCACCAUGUACUCCUACAUGGCCUCUCAUCGAUACCUUUACCAAAACAUGUUCAACACAUCCCUCACAUUACCGGCAUAAGCAUUUCACUCUAGCCCAUCACCCAGAUGAACCAGACCUAACACAACUCUAAGCAUAGCAGGCAUAGCAAGGUAGGAAUCACAAAACAUGGCUCAAACAACUUCUACACAUGCUAGUGGGUUUCAUCUAGUUACUGUGGCAAUGACAGGUCAUGCAGAGGAUAAGGGUUCAACUACCGUAGCACACAACAGUUUGAAUCACGUUGUCUUAAUGCAGUAAAUAAGAGCAGAAGCGAGAACAUGGGUUUGUAUCGGAAUGAUCAAUGGUUGCUUGCCUGAUGGAGUGGUAGCGGGAUACUGCCCUUCAGUUGGAUACUCGUGAAUAUCCUCGGAGGCAGAACCUACCACGGAGAACACAUCGGAACACAAUCAACACACGACAAUAUGCAACAAUAUGAUGCAUGCUAUGACAUGUCAAUAUGUUUGUGUCUUGGCCUAAUGCAAACUAAAAUAGAAAGGGAUGAACUCAUUUGAAUCAAAGAUUCAAAUAUUAGCUCAUUAAACAUGGCAUUUAUAGUGCAUUACCUUAUUCUGCAUAAACAGCAAGGUAAACUUGUUUUGUCAUGCAUGAAACCAUUACAAAUGGAUAGAUUGAAUUUUUCUGAUAAUUUUUCAUAUAUAAUUUAUCUCAUUUGGAGCUAUGGUUGAAUUUCUAUGAAUUUUUGAAGUAUGAACUAUUUUCUGGAAUUUCCUGUAUAAAAAUAAAUCCAAAAAAUCAAUUACGGCGUCAGCAAUGCGUCAGGGUGACGUCAGCAGGUCAAAGGCGCCAGCCAGGUCAAACCUGACUGGUGGGCCCCUUCUGUCAGCCUCUCAGUGCACUAACUACGUUUAGUUAGCCUAAUUACUGGGCAGGGCCCACUAGUCAGUGGCUAUACUAAUUAAACUAACCUAUUUAGUUAGCACUAACAGGGUAAUUAGUCGGGCGGGGCCCGCAUGUCGGUGAGAGAGAGGGGGGGAGGUCAACCCACGUCAGCAGGUCAACCUCGCUGGUCAGCGGGUCAAAGCCUGCCGGCGUUUAGCCGCCGGCGAGGCCAGACGCGGAGGCGCGCUGCGGAAAUCGCCCACAGGGCACCAUUUGGUGCGCGGAGAGCAGCUACGGGUAGCUGGGAACGAACCGCGGCGUUUUGUGGUGGUGGUCGGGCUCGGGGUGGCCGGAAACGUCGCCGGCGACGAGCUUUGCGGUCGCCGGAGUCGGGUGAAAGUGAGCCCGAGGCUACGGGGCACGGCGAGGCGUGUGGUGAGGUGCGUUGUGCCCCUAGGGAUGCGGUGGAGUGGUUAGACUAGGUGGCGUGGCCGGAGUUUGGCCGGAGACACGUCGGCGACGAGCUCCACGGCGGCGCAUGCGGGUGAGCUUCGUGUGCUUGUUGUGGUGCAUGAGAAGGAGAGCGGAGAGGAUGGGGAGGUGCAGCAGCUCACGGCGGUCACGUAGAAGCAGACGACGCGGUCGGGGACGAGUCGGAGCAAGCGGGGCGGCGGAGGCGAUCUGGGCAGCCCGAGGUUGAAGACGAGCUCGGUGGAGUCGUUUGCAGGCCUCCGGCGGGGCGUGGCUUGGUUGAGCGGUCGAGGAGGAAGUGGCGGAGCUUCAGGACACGGUGGAGCAACACGGGGACGACGGUGGACGGGGUUUCACGGUGGCGCGAGCUCGGCAGCGUCGACCAUGGCGGAGAAAGAGCGAGAGAGAGGAACCAGGGGGGAAGUGCGGUGUCUGCGAGGUCGGGGGAUGCACGGGAGUUCAUCCCACGUCGACAGGUCGACGAGGGGAGCGGCGAGGCGGCGGCAGCUGCGUGGCGCGCAUGCGGUGCUCGCCGUCGAGCACGUGCCUGCUUGGCCAAGCCAAGCUGCUCGCUGGUGCGGUGGCUGGGCUGGGCCGGCAGGUGGGCCUGGUGGGUGGCGCCAGGUAAGUUUUUCUGUUUCUAUUUUUCUGUUUCUAUUUUUUUCUGUAGCUUUAGGGCUUUAUUUAAAAUACCUAGGCACUUUCUAAAAUUCUGAAAAUAAUUGUGGGCUCUGUUGGGAUUAUUCCUAACAGGAAACAUUUACUUCCAGAUUUAUUUGAACAUUUAAAUUAUUUAUUAGCAUUUAAAUGUCCAAAGGCAACAUACAUAUGAUUUAAUCCAGUGACCUUUUGUUGACCUAGAAAAUUGUGCACCUAUUUUGCCAGAGGUUCUAACCCAAGGCAAAGAGGGUGAACAUUUUAGAAGGGCAUUUCAGGUUCAUUGAAAAUAUUUUUAGUAAACCCUAGUUGAUUUCAAGAGGGGUGCUGGGGGUUCUGCCUUUCCCAUUUCAAGUUUCUGAUGAAAAGUAAACAUGAUGCACACUCUAAUGCAUGGACUAGCUAGGGUGUGACAACUCACCCCCACUCAAAAGAAUCUCGUCCCGAGAUUUAGGAUCCUCUGGAAAGAAGGUGGGGUACUCGAGUCGAAGACGAUCCUCCCUUUCCCAAGUGGCUUCUUCCUCGGAAUGAUGUGACCAUUGAACCUUGAGAAACUUGAUAUUAUGCCGUCGAGUGGUAUGCUCGGCUUGAUCAAGGAUACGAACGGGAUACUCCCGAUAAGAGAGGUUAUCUUGUAGAUCAAGCGUUUCGUGGUCCACUCCACGGAUAGGAUCCGCGAAGCAACGCCUGAGUUGUGAAACGUGGAAGACAUUGUGAACUCUGGAAAGAUGCGGGGGUAGUUCGAAUUGGUAGGCAACUUCUCCUCGUUUGGCAAGAAUACGAAAGGGUCCAAUGUAACGAGGAGCCAAUUUGCCUUUGAUACCGAAAUGAUGGGUUCCCUUUAACGGAGUAACCCGAAGGUAAGCCUUCUCGUCGACUUCGUAAGUCAUAGGCUUAUGUUUACGAUCAUAUUGACUCUUUUGACGAGAUUGGGCUGUUUUCAAUUUCUCACGAAUAACGCGAACCUGCUCUUCUUCUUCCUGAAUCAUAUCCGGGCCAAAGAGUUGUCUUUCCCCGGUUUUUGACCAGUUAAGAGGCGUUCGACAUUUUCGUCCAUAGAGAACUUCGAAAGGAGCCUUGCCCAAGCUAGCUUGGUAACUAUUGUUAUAAGCAAACUCCGCGAAUAGAAGGCAUUUCUCCCAACUCAUUCCGAACGAGAUAACAGAAGCUCGGAGCAUAUCUUCCAGAAUUUGAUUGACUCGCUCUACUUGACCACUUGAUUGAGGAUGGAAGGAGGUACUAAAAGAGAGACGAGUUCCCAUAGCAUUUUGGAAACUUUCCCAAAAUCGAGAGGUGAAGAGACUCCCACGGUCUGAGUUAAUUUCCAAUGGGACACCAUGAAGAGACACUAUUCGGGAGAUGUAUAAAUCAGCUAGCUGGCUAGCGGUAAUACUCUCACGAUCAGGUAGGAAAUGGGCUACUUUGGAAAGUCGGUCGAUCACGACGAAGAUGGCAUUAUUCCCUCUCUUGGUCCUGGGAAACCCAGUGAUGAAAUCCAUACUGAUUUUAUCCCAUUUCCAUUCAGGGAUAGCCAAAGGUUGAAGGGUGCCAGCAGGCGUAGAUGCUUUGCUUUAACACAACGACAAACGUCGCAGCUAGCAAUGUAUUGAGCGAUUUCUCUCUUCAUCCUAGUCCACCAAAACCUCUGGCGCAGGUCUUGAUACAUCUUAGUACUACCGGGAUGAAUGGUGAGAGGGGAAUCAUGAGCUUCCUUAAGGAUCAACUGGCGUAGAUGUUGUUUCUUGGGAACCACCAAACGGUUCUCAAAGAAGACAGCACCCCGCUUAUCCAUGGAAAAACAUUUAGCAACUCCGCUAGCAAUGUUUUCCUUAAUCCAGGAUAUGCCCUUAUCACGCUUCUGGGCAGCUAUGAUUUGAUCCAUAAGGGUAGGUUUCGCCACCAGGGUGGAUAGGAAUCCUCGAGGAACAAUGUGAAGAUUAAGCUUACAAAAUUCCUCAUGGAGAAGUGGUUGACUUCAUUGUAACAUCAGGUUGUUACAAUAGGACUUACGACUUAGUGCAUCAGCCAUGACAUUGGCUUUGCCCGGGGUGUAAGUUAUUCCUAAGUCGUAAUCCAAGAUCAACUCGACCCAGCGUCUUUUCCUGAGGUUCAAAUCUGGUUGGGUGAAGAUAUAUUUCAAACUUUGGUGAUCGGUGAAGAUCUCGCAACGAUUACCGAGAAGGUAAUGUCGCCAGGUUUUAAGUGCAUGGACUACAGCUGCAAGCUCUAGAUCAUGUGUAGGAUAAUUUUCCUCAUGUGGGUGUAAUUGCCGUGAAGCAUAGGCAAUUACCUGACGAUCUUGCAUGAGUAUGCAACCUAGUCCUUGUCGUGAGGCGUCGCAAUAGAUAAUAAAGUCCUUGGAGAAGUCUGGUGGUACCAGUACGGGGGCAGAUGUCAGGCGGCUUUUCAGUUCCUGAAAACUGAUCUCGCACUGUGGAGUCCACUUGAACUUUUUAUCUUUCUUGAGGAGUUCAGUUAUAGGUUUAGCAACCUUGGAGAAAUUCUCGACGAAGCGGCGGCAAUAGCUCGCUAGGCCAAGGAAACUCCGAACUUGCUUGACCGUUUCAGGUGGAGUCCAAUCAAGGACGGCUUGAACUCGCUCGGGAUUGACAGCAAUACCCUUACCAGAGAUUACAUGGCCUAGAUAGGUCACUUCUGGCAACCAAAAUUCACACUUGGAGAAUUUGGCAUAAAGGCGAUGCUCUCGAAGUUUCAUCAAUACCAGCCUUAGAUGUACGACAUGUUCCUCUUCAUUCUUAGAGUAGAUGAGUAUGUCAUCGAGGUAUACUACGACGAAUUUAUCCAAGUACUGCAUGAAGACCGAGUUCAUUAACCGAGAGAAGGUAGCCGGGGCAUUGGUUAAACCGAAGGACAUGACGGUGUACUCGUAUUGGCCAUAACGGGUAACAAAGGCCGUUUUGGGAAUGUCCCCAUUUCUGAUUUUGAUUUGAUGGUAGCCCAACCUCAAAUCCAUCUUGGAGAAGACCGAGGAUCCAGCGAGCUGAUCAUACAGAUCGUUGAUCCUGGGAAGCGGGUAUUUGUUCUUGAUGGUGACCAAGUUGACAGGUCGGUAAUCCACAACCAUUCGAUCCGUUCCAUCCUUCUUCUUGACGAAGAGGAUGUUGGGGAACAUAGCAGAAAUUCAAAAUUUUCCUACGUGUCACCAAGAUCUAUCUAUGGAGAAACCAACAACGAGGGAAGGAGAGUGCAUCUACAUACCCUUGUAGAUCGCUAAGCGGAAGCGUUCAAGAGAACGGGGUUGAUGGAGUCGUACUCGCCGUGAUCCAAAUCACCGGAGAUCCUAGUGCCGAACGGACGGCACCUCCGCGUUCAACACACGUACAGCCCGACGAUGUCUCCCACGCCUUGAUCCAGCAAGGAGAGAGGGAGAGGUUGAGGAAGACUCCAUCCAGCAGCAGCACAACGGCGUGGUGGUGGUGGAGGAGCGUGGCAAUCCUGCAGGGCUUCGCCAAGCAUCGCGGGAGAGGAGAAGGACUUGGGAGAGGGGAAGGGCUGCACCAAAGGCAAAAGGUGUGUCUUGAGAGGCCCUCCUUCCCCACUAUAUAUAGGGAGCCCAAGGGGGGGGGGCGCCGGCCCUAGGAGAUCCAAUCUCCUAGGGGGGGGGGAGCGGCGGCCAAGGGAGGAAUCCCUCCUCCCCAAGGCACCUAGGAGGUGCCUUCCCCUUCUGGGACUCUUCCUUUAGGGUUUCCCCCACACUAGGCGCAUGGGCCCUAGGGGAAAUUGGCGCCCCAACCCACUUUGGGCUGGAUCCCUUCCCACUUCAGCCCAUGGGACCCUCCGGGAUAAGUGGCCCCACCCGGUGGGCCCCCGGGACCCUUCCGGUGGUCCCGGUACAAUACCGAUGACCCCGAAACUUGUCCCGAUGGCCGAAAUAGGACUUCCUAUAUAUAAAUCUUUACCUCCGGACCAUUCCGGAACUCCUCGUGACGUCCGGGAUCUCAUCCGUGACUCCGAACAACUUUCGGGUUACCGCAUACUAAUAUCUCUAUAACCCUAGCGUCACCGAACCUUAAGUGUGUAGACCCUACGGGUUCGGGAACCAUGCAGACAUGACCGAGACGUUCUCCGGUCAAUAACCAACAGCGGGAUCUGGAUACCCAUGUUGGCUCCCACAUGCUCCACGAUGACCUCAUCGGAUGAACCACGAUGUCAAGGACUUAAUCAAUCCCGUAUACAAUUCCCUUUGUCUAUCGGUACGAUACUUGCCCGAGAUUCGAUCGUCGGUAUCCCGAUACCUUGUUCAAUCUCGUUACCGGCAAGUCUCUUUACUCGUUCCGUAACACAUCAUCCCGUGAUAAACUCCUUGAUCACAUUGUGCACAUUAUGAUGAUGUCCUACCGAGUGGGCCCAGAGAUACCUCUCCGUCACACGGAGUGACAAAUCCCAGUCUCAAUUCGUGCCAACCCAACAGACACUUUCGGAGAUACCCGUAGUGUACCUUUAUAGCCACCCAGUUACGUUGUGACGUUUGGCACACCCAAAGCACUCCUACGGUAUCCGGGAGUUGCACAAUCUCAUGGUCUAAGGAAAUGAUACUUGACAUUAGAAAAGCUUUAGCAUACGAACUACAUGAUCUUGUGCUAGGCUUAGGAUUGGGUCUUGUCCAUCACAUCAUUCUCCUAAUGAUGUGAUCCCGUUAUCAAUGACAUCCAAUGUCCAUGGUCAGGAAACCGUAACCAUCUAUUGAUCAACGAGCUAGUCAACUAGAGGCUUACUAGGGAAAUGGUGUUGUCUAUGUGUCCACACAUGUAUCUGAGUUUCCUAUCAAUACAAUUAUAGCAUGGAUAAUAAACGAUUAUCAUGAACAAGGAAAUAUAAUAAUAAUCAAUUUAUUAUUGCCUCUAGGGCAUAUUUCCAACAGUCUCCCACUUGCACUAGAGUCAAUAAUCUAGUUCACAUCGAUAUGUGAUUAACACUCAAGGUCACAUCCCCAUGUGACUAACACCCAAAUAGUUUACUAGAGUCAAUAAUCUAGUUCACAUUUACCAUGUGAUUAACACUCGAUGAGUUCUGGGUUUGAUCAUGUUAUGCUUGUGAGAGAGGUUAUGGUCAACGGGUCUGAACCUUUCAGAUCCGUGUGUGCUUUACAAAUCUCUAUGCCAUCUCCUAGAUGCAGCUACCACGCUCUAUUUGGAGCUAUUCCAAAUAACUGUUCUACUAUACGAAUCCAGUUUACUACUCAGAAUAAUCUGGAUUAGUGUCAAAGUUUGCAUCGGCGUAACCCUUUACGAUGAACUCUUUUACCACCUCCAUAAUCGAGAAAAUUCCUUAGUCCACUAGUUACUAAGGAUAACUUUGACCGCUGUCCUGUGAUCCAUUCUUGGAUCACUCUUGUACCCCUUGACUGAUUCAUGGCAAGGCACACUUCAGGUGCGGUACACAGCAUAGCAUACUGUAGAGCCUACGUCUUAAGCAUAGGGGACGACCUUCGUCCUUUCUCUCUAUUCUGCCGUGGUCGAGCUUUAAGUCUUAACUUCAUACCUUAGAACUCAGGCAAGAACUCCUUCUUUGACUGAUCCAUCUUGAACACCUUCAAGAUCAUGUCAAGGUAUGUGCUCAUUUGAAAGUACCAUUAAGCGUUUUGAUCUAUCCUUAUAGAUCUUGAUGCUCAUUGCUCAAGUAGCUUAAUCCAGGCUUUCCAUUGAAAAACAUUUUCCGAAUAACCCUAUACGCUUUCCAGAAAUUCUACGUCAUUUCUGAUCAACAAUAUGUCAACAACAUAUAUUCAUCAGAAAUUCUAUAGUGCUCCCACUCACUUCUUUGGAAAUACAAGUUUCUCAUAAACUUUGUAUACACCCAAAAUCUUUGAUCAUCUCAUCAAAGCAUACAUUCCAACUCCGAGAUGCUUACUCCAGUCCUUAGAAGGAUUGCUGGAGCUUUGCAUACUUGUUAGCAUCUUUCAGGAUUGACAAAACCUUCCGGUUGUAUCACAUACAACCUUUCCUCAAGAAAAUCGUCGAGGAAACAAUGGUUUUUGACAUCCUAUCUGCAAGAUUUCAUAAACAAUGCAGUAAUCGCUAAUAUAAUUCCAAUAGACUCUUAGCAUCGCUACGGGUGAGAAAGUCUCAUCGUAGUCAACUCCUUGAACUUGUCGGAAAACAUCUUAACGACAAGUCGAGCUUUCUUAAUGGUGAUACUUACCAUCAUUGUCCGUCUUCCUUUUAAAAUCCAUAUGUACCUAACAGCCUUACGAUCAUCAAGUAGUUCUUCCAAAGUCUACACUUUGUUUUCAUAUAUGGAUCCUCUCUCGGAUUAUAUGGCCUCGAGCCAUUUAUCGGAAUCCAGGCCCACCAUCGCUUCUCCAUAGCUCGUAUGUUUAUUGUUGUCUAGCAACAUAACUUCCAAGACAGGAUUACGUACCACUCUAGCAUACGAACUACAUGAUCUUGUGCUAGGCUUAGGAUUGGGUCUUGUCCAUCACAUCAUUCUCCUAAUGAUGUGAUCCCGUUAUCAAUGACAUCCAAUGUCCAUGGUCAGGAAACCGUAACCAUCUAUUGAUCAACGAGCUAGUCAACUAGAGGCUUACUAGGGAAAUGGUGUUGUCUAUGUGUCCACACAUGUAUCUGAGUUUCCUAUCAAUACAAUUAUAGCAUGGAUAAUAAACGAUUAUCAUGAACAAGGAAAUAUAAUAAUAAUCAAUUUAUUAUUGCCUCUAGGGCAUAUUUCCAACAGUCUCCCACUUGCACUAGAGUCAAUAAUCUAGUUCACAUCGAUAUGUGAUUAACACUCAAGGUCACAUCCCCAUGUGACUAACACCCAAAUAGUUUACUAGAGUCAAUAAUCUAGUUCACAUUUACCAUGUGAUUAACACUCGAUGAGUUCUGGGUUUGAUCAUGUUAUGCUUGUGAGAGAGGUUAUGGUCAACGGGUCUGAACCUUUCAGAUCCGUGUGUGCUUUACAAAUCUCUAUGCCAUCUCCUAGAUGCAGCUACCACGCUCUAUUUGGAGCUAUUCCAAAUAACUGUUCUACUAUACGAAUCCAGUUUACUACUCAGAAUAAUCUGGAUUAGUGUCAAAGUUUGCAUCGGCGUAACCCUUUACGAUGAACUCUUUUACCACCUCCAUAAUCGAGAAAAUUCCUUAGUCCACUAGUUACUAAGGAUAACUUUGACCGCUGUCCUGUGAUCCAUUCUUGGAUCACUCUUGUACCCCUUGACUGAUUCAUGGCAAGGCACACUUCAGGUGCGGUACACAGCAUAGCAUACUGUAGAGCCUACGUCUUAAGCAUAGGGGACGACCUUCGUCCUUUCUCUCUAUUCUGCCGUGGUCGAGCUUUAAGUCUUAACUUCAUACCUUAGAACUCAGGCAAGAACUCCUUCUUUGACUGAUCCAUCUUGAACACCUUCAAGAUCAUGUCAAGGUAUGUGCUCAUUUGAAAGUACCAUUAAGCGUUUUGAUCUAUCCUUAUAGAUCUUGAUGCUCAUUGCUCAAGUAGCUUAAUCCAGGCUUUCCAUUGAAAAACAUUUUCCGAAUAACCCUAUACGCUUUCCAGAAAUUCUACGUCAUUUCUGAUCAACAAUAUGUCAACAACAUAUAUUCAUCAGAAAUUCUAUAGUGCUCCCACUCACUUCUUUGGAAAUACAAGUUUCUCAUAAACUUUGUAUACACCCAAAAUCUUUGAUCAUCUCAUCAAAGCAUACAUUCCAACUCCGAGAUGCUUACUCCAGUCCUUAGAAGGAUUGCUGGAGCUUUGCAUACUUGUUAGCAUCUUUCAGGAUUGACAAAACCUUCCGGUUGUAUCACAUACAACCUUUCCUCAAGAAAAUCGUCGAGGAAACAAUGGUUUUUGACAUCCUAUCUGCAAGAUUUCAUAAACAAUGCAGUAAUCGCUAAUAUAAUUCCAAUAGACUCUUAGCAUCGCUACGGGUGAGAAAGUCUCAUCGUAGUCAACUCCUUGAACUUGUCGGAAAACAUCUUAACGACAAGUCGAGCUUUCUUAAUGGUGAUACUUACCAUCAUUGUCCGUCUUCCUUUUAAAAUCCAUAUGUACCUAACAGCCUUACGAUCAUCAAGUAGUUCUUCCAAAGUCUACACUUUGUUUUCAUAUAUGGAUCCUCUCUCGGAUUAUAUGGCCUCGAGCCAUUUAUCGGAAUCCAGGCCCACCAUCGCUUCUCCAUAGCUCGUAUGUUUAUUGUUGUCUAGCAACAUAACUUCCAAGACAGGAUUACGUACCACUCUGAAGUAGCACGCAUCCUUGUCAUCCCACGAGGUUUGGUAGUGACUUGAUCUGAAGUUUCAUGAUCACUAUCAUAAGCUUCCACUUCAAUUGGUGUAGGUGCCACAGGAACAACUUCCUGUGCCCUGCUACACACUAGUUGAAGUGAAGGUUCAAUAACCUCAUCAAGUCUCCACCAUCCUCCCACUCAAUUCCUUCGAGAGAAACUUUUCCUCAAGAAAGGACCUGAUUGAAGAAACAAUCCCUUAUUGCUUUCGGAUCUGAGACAGGAGGUAUACCCAACUGUUUUGGGUGUCCUAUGAAGAUGCAUUUAUCCGCUUUGGGUUCGAGCUUAUCAGCCUGAAACUUUUUCACAUAAGCGUCGCAGCCCCAAACUUUUAAGAAAUGACAGCUUAGGUUUCUCUAAACCAUAGUUCAUAUGGUGUCAUCUCAUCGGAAUUACGUGGUGCCCCUUUUUAAAGUGAAUGUGGUUGUCUCUAAUGCCUAACCCAUAAACUAUCGUGGUAAUUCGAUAAGAGACAUCAUGGUAUGCAUCAUAUCCAAUAGGGUGCAGUUAUGAUGUUCGGACACACCAUCACACUAUGGUGUUCCAGGCUGUAUUAUUUGUGAAACAAUUUCCACAAUGUCUUAAUUCUGUGCCAAACUCGUAAUUCAGAUAUUCAUCUCUAUGAUCAUAUCAUAGAUAUUUUAUCCUCUUGUUACGGCGAUCUUUCAACUUCACACUAAAAUUACUUGAACCUUUCAAUAAUUCAGACUCGUGAUUCAUCAAGUAAAUAUACGCAACAUCUACUCAAAUCAUCUGUGAAGUAAGAACAUAACGAUAUCCACUACACGCCUUACCAACAUUGGACUACACACAUCAAAAUGUAUUACUUCCAACAAGUUGCUUUCUAGUUCCAUUUUACUGAAACCGAGGCUUUCAGUCAUCUUGCCCAUGUGGUAUGAUUUGCAUGUCUCAAGUGAUUCAAAAUUAAGUGAGUCCACAUGGUCCAUUUGCAUGGAGUUUCUUUAUGCAUAUACACCAAUAGACAUGGUUCGCAUGUCUCAAACUUUUCAAAAAAUGAGUGAGUCCAAAGAUCCAUAAACAUGGAGCUUCUUCAUGCGUUUUAUACCGAUAUGACUUACGUGGCAGUGCCACAAGUAGGUGGUACUUAUCAUUACUAUCUUAUAUCUUUUGGCAUGAAUAUGUGUAUCACUACGAUCGAGAUUCAAUAAACCAUUCAUUUUAGGUGCAAGACCAUUGAAGGUACUAUUCAAAUAAACAGAGUAACCAUUAUUCUCCUUAAAUGAAUAACCGUAUUGCGAUAGACAUAAUCCAAUCACGUCUAUGCUCAACGCAAACACCAAAUAACAAUUAUUUAGGUUUAACACCAAUCUCGAUGGUAGAGGGAGCGUGUGAUGCUUGAUCAUAUCAACAUUGGAAACACUUCCAACACAUAUCGUCAGCUCACCUUUAGCUAGUCUCUGUUUAUUCCAUAGCUUUUAUUUCGAGUUACUAACACUUAGCAACCGAACCGGUAUCUAAUACCCUGGUGCUACUAGGAGUACUAGUAAAGUACACAUCAACACAAUGUAUAUCCAAUAUACUUCUAUCGACCUUGCCAGCCUUCUAAUCUACCAAGUAUCUAGGGUAAUUCUGAUCCAGUGGCUGUUCCCCUUAUUACAGAAGCACUUAGUCUCGGGUUUGGGUUCAACCUUGGGUUUCUUCACUAGAGCAGCAACUGAUUUGCCGUUUCAUGAAGUAUCCCUUCUUGCCCUUGCCCUUCUUGAAACUAGUGGUUUCACCAACCAUCAACAAUUGAUGCUCCUUCUUGAUUUCUACUUUCGCGGUGUCAAACAUCGCGAAUAUCUCAAGGAUCAUCAUAUAUGUCCCUGAUAUAUUAUAGUUCAUCACGAAGUUCUAGCAGCUUGGUGGUAAUGACUUCGGAGAAACAUCACUAUCUCAUCUAGAAGAUCAACUCCCACUCGAUUCAAAUGAUUGUUGUACUCAGACAAUCUGAGUACAAGCUCAACAAUUGAGCUUUUCUCCCUUAGUUUGCAGGCUAAGAAAAUCGUCGGAGGUCUUAUACCUCUUGACAUGGGCACGAGCCUGAAAUCCCAAUUUCAGCUCUCGAAACAUCUCAUAUGUUUCGCGACGUUUCAAAACGUCUUCGGUGCCUCAACUCUAAACCGUUUAACUGAACUAUCAUGUAGUUAUCAAAACGUGUAUGUCAGAUGUUCGCAACAUCCACAGACAACGUUUGAGGUUCAACUCACUGAGCAGUGCAUUAAGGACAUAAGCCUUCUAUGAAGCAAGGAGGACAAUCCUCAGUUUACAGACCUAGUCCGCAUAAUUGCUACUAUCAACUUUCAACUAAAUUUUCUCUAGGAUCAUAUCUAAACAGUAAAACUGAAGCGUGUGCUACGACACAAUUUGCGAAGACCUUCUGACUAUGUUCAGGAUAAUUAAGUUCAUCUUAUGAACUCCCACUCAGAUAGACAUCCCUCUAGUCAUCUAAGUGAUUACAUGAUCCGAGUCAACUAGGCCGUGUCCGAUCAUCACGUGAGACGGACUAGUCAACAUCGGUGAACAUCUUCAUGUUGAUCGUAUCUACCAUACGACUCAUGCUCGACCUUUCGGUCUCUUGUGUUCCGAGGCCAUGUCUGUACAUGCUAGGCUCGUCAAGUCAACCUAAGUGUUUCGCGUGUGUAAAUCUGUCUUACACCCGUUGUAUGUGAAUGUUAGAAUCUAUCACACCCGAUCAUCACGUGGUGCUUCGAAACAACAAACUGUCGCAACGGUGCACAGUUAGGGGGAACACUUUCUUGAAAUUUCAAUGAGGGAUCAUCUUAUUUACUACCAUCGUUCUAAGCAAAUAAGAUGUAUAAACAUGAUAAACAUCACAUGCAAUCAAAUAGUGACAUGAUAUGGCCAUCAUCACUUUGCUCCUCUUGAUCUCCAUCUUCGGGGCUCCAUGAUCAUCAUCGUCACCGGCAUGACACCAUGAUCUCCAUAAUCAUGAUCUCCAUCAUCGUGUCUUCUUGAAGUUGUCUCGUCAUCUAUUACUUCUACUACUAUGGCUAACGCUUUAGCAAUAAAGUAAAGUAAUUACAUGACGUUUAAGUUGACACGCAGGUCAUAAAUAAAUAAAGACAACUCCUAUGGCUCCUGCCGGUUGUCAUACUCAUCGACAUGCAAGUCGUGAUUCCUAUUACAAGAACAUGAUCAAUCUCAUACAUCACAUAUAUCAUUCAUCACAUCCUUUUGGCCAUAUCGCAUCACAUAGCAUACCCUGCAAAAACAAGUUAGACGCCCUCUAAUUGUUGUUUGCAUGUUUUAUGUGGCUGCUAUGGGUUUCUAGCAAGAACGUUUCUUACCUACGCAAAGACCACAACGUGAUAUGCCAAUUGCUAUUUACCCUUCAUAAGGACCCUUUUCAUCGAAUCCGAUCCGACUAAAGUGGGAGAGACUGGCACCCGCUAGCCACCUUAUGCAACUAGUGCAUGUCAGUCGGUGGAACCUGUCUCACGUAAGAGUACGUGUAAGGUCGGUCCAGGCCGCUUCAUCCCACAAUACCAUCGAAACAAGAUUGGACUAGUAACGGUAAGCAUAUUGAACAAAAUCAACGCCCACAACUACUUUGUGUUCUACUCGUGCAUAGAAUCUACGGAAUAGACCUAGCUCUGAUACCACUGUUGGGGAACGUAGCAGAAAUUCAAAAUUUUCCUACGUGUCACCAAGAUCUAUCUAUGGAGAAACCAGAAACGAGGGGAAGGAGAGUGCAUCUACAUACCCUUGUAGAUCGCUAAGCGGAAGAGUUCAAGAGAACGGGGUUGAUGGAGUCGUACUCGUCGUGAUCCAAAUCACCAGAGAUCCUAGUGCCGAACGGACGGCACCUCCGCGUUCAACACACGUACAGCUCGACGAUGUCUCCCACGCCUUGAUCCAGCAAGGAGAGAGGGAGAGGUUGAGGAAGAAUCCAUCCAACAGCAGCACAACAGCGUGGUGGUGGUGGAGGAGCGUGGCAAUCCUGCAGGGCUUCGCCAAGCACCGCGGGAGAGGAGAAGGACUUGGGAGAGGGGAAGGGCUGCACCAAAGGCAAAAGGUGUGUCUUGAGAGGCCCUCCUUCCCCACUAUAUAUAGGGAGCCCAAGGGGGGGCGCCGGCCCUAGGAGAUCAAAUCUCCUAGGGGGGCGGCGGCCAAGGGAGGAAUCCCUCCUCCCCAAGGCACCUAGGAGGUGCCUUCCCCUUCUGGGACUCUUCCUUUAGGGUUUCCCCCACACUAGGCGCAUGUGCCCUAGGGGAAAGUGGCGCCCCAGCCCACUUUGGGCUGGAUCCCUUCCUACUUCAGCCCAUGGGACCCUCCGGGAUAAGUGGCCCCACCCGGUGGGCCCCCGGGACCCUUCCGGUGGUCCCGGUACAAUACCGAUGACCCCGAAACUUGUCCCGAUGGCCGAAAUAGGACUUCCUAUAUAUAAAUCUUUACCUCCGGACCAUUCCGGAACUCCUCGUGACGUCCGGGAUCUCAUCCGGGACUCCGAACAACAUUCGGUAACCAGAUACAAACUUCCUUUAUAACCCUAGCGUCAUCAAACCUUAAGUGUGUAGACCCUACGGGUUCGGGAGACAUGCAGACAUGACCGAGACAUUCUCCGGUCAAUAACCAACAGCGGGAUCUGGAUACCCAUGUUGGCUCCCACAUGUUCCACGAUGAUCUCAUCGGAUGAACCAUGAUGUCAAGGACUUAAUCAAUCCCGUAUACAAUUCCCUUUGUCUAUCGGUAUGAUACUUGCCCGAGAUUCGAUCGUCGGUAUCCCGAUACCUUGUUCAAUCUCGUUACCGGCAAGUCUCUUUACUCGUUCCGUAACACAUCAUCCCGUGAUAAACUCCUUGAUCACAUUGUGCACAUUAUGAUGAUGUCCUACCGAGUGGGCCCAGAGAUACCUCUCCGUCACACGGAGUGACAAAUUCCAGUCUCGAUUCGUGCCAACCCAACAGACACUUUCGGAGAUACCCGUAGUGUACCUUUAUAGCCACCCAGUUACGUUGUGACGUUUGGCACACCCAAAGCACUCCUACGGUAUCCGGGAGUUGCACAAUCUCAUGGUCUAAGGAAAUGAUACUUGACAUUAGAAAAGCUUUAGCAUACGAACUACAUGAUCUUGUGCUAGGCUUAGGAUUGGGUCUUGUCUAUCACAUCAUUCUCCUAAUGUUGUGAUCCCGUUAUCAACGACAUCCAAUGUCCAUGGUCAGGAAACCAUAACCAUCUAUUGAUCAACGAGCUAGUCAACUAGAGGCUUACUAGGGACAUGGUGUUGUCUAUGUAUCCACACAUGUAUCUGAGUUUCCUAUCAAUACAAUUCUAGCAUGGAUAAUAAACGAUUAUCAUGAACAAGGAAAUAUAAUAAUAAUCAAUUUAUUAUAUCCUCUAGGGCAUAUUUCCAACAGAGGACGGGGCAAGCCCAAGGAGAGGAACUAGGAUGGAUGAAACCCUUGUUCAAGGAUUCAUCGAGUUGGUUCUUAAGCUCGGCUAGUUCUAGGGGUGCCAUCUUAUAGGGUCUUCUAGAAAUUGGAACGGUUCCUGGAACAAGGUCUAUCACAAACUCAACAUCCCUGUCAGGUGGAACACCUGGCAGUUCUUCUGGAAAGACAUCCGGAAAAUCUCGGACUACCGGAACAUCCUCAAGGUCUGGAAGAGGGUUGGCAUUUAGAGAGUAAAGCUGGCGCUUGGCCACUCGAGUUAAGACGUUAACUGUCUUGCCCGAGGGGUGAGUAAGUUGAACGGUCCUAGUGGCACAAUCGAUCUUAGCAUAAUGAGCUGACAUCCAGUCCAUACCCAAGAUGAUGUUUAUGUCGGAGGACUUGAGAGCUAUUAAGGAUGCAAGGAAGACAAGUCUGUCGACAAGAAUUUCGUUCCCAUGGCUUACUCUAGAAGUUUGCCAUCUAGAGCCAGGGGUUUGAAUUUCCAUGGUAGAGGACAUGUCACAGAAUGUCGUGUUAUGCAGUCGAGCAUAGUUCUCGGAUAUGAAUGAAUGAGAUGCUCCAGUAUCGAAAAGAACAGAUGCCGGAUGGCAGUUAACAAGGAGCGUACCAAGGACGACGUUAGGAUCCUCCUGAGCCUCCUCGGCUGAAACAUAAUUGACAUGGCCACGGGCAGUGGUGGCCGGCUUGGCGUAGAAAGUCUUCCCCGCGGGCUUACCACGGCAAACGGACUUUCUAGCUUGAUUGGGGUUGUUCUGGGGGCACUCUCGACUAUAGUGACCCGGCUCUCCACACUUGAAGCAUGUCACCACAUUGGGGCAUGGAGCAGCAUUAGCAGCGGGGCCACCAUAGGGCUUGGGCGGUGCAAAUUGUUGGUUGGGACGAGGCGCCUCAAAGGAUGGCCUCGGGAUGAACCUGCGUGGCAGUGCCGUGCUUGGAAUCCACACCCAGCGCUUCUGAGCUCCAGAGCCGGAUGAAGAGCCAAAAUCAUGGGAAUGCUUGCAUGAAGCGUCAUAAUCAGUCUGGCCUGUCUCAGCACUGAUGGCUUUAUUAACCAACUUCUGAAAGGAUGUGCACUCGUGCAGACGGAGAUCGCGGCGAAGCUCAGGGCUAAGUCCCUUGCGGAACCUUGCCUGCUUCUUAGCGCCAGUAGAAACCUCUUCAGGGGCAUAGCGUGCCAGACUCCCAAAUUCACGACUAUAUGCAUCCACAGUCAGUCUUCCUUGGGUGAAGUUAUAGAACUCCUCCCUCUUGCGAUCCAUGAGACCUUCCAAAAUGUGAUGCUCACGGAAAGCCUCACUGAAUUCAGCCCAAGUAGUGAUUUGGCCGACCGGGCGCAUAGCUUCGAAGUUUUCCCACCAAAGGCUAGCAGGGCCUUCGAGGUGAUAGGCAGCAUAAGUAACCUUGUCAGCUUCGGCUACGUUGGCAGAAGAUAGCUUGUGGGUGAUGCUGCGAAGCCAGUCAUCCGCGUCGAGGGGCUCGACGGAAUGGUUAAACUUUGGUGGGUACAGCUUGAUGAAGUCAUUGAUUGACACCAAGUCAUUUCGUGGGUGGCGUGCAGUGUUCUGCUCAAUCCGCUCCAGCAGACGGUUAGUCUCAUGCUUGUUUCUUUCCGCCUCCAGCAUUACUUCGGCCAGAGAAGGCGGGUGAGGCAGAUUUUCACCUCUAGCUGCACUGGCUUCCCCCUGCUCCGGGGCAGCAGGGUUGCUGCGGGUGUUGACCAUCCUAGGAGAAAACAAGACAACGGUUUAGACAAGGAUGGCUCAACUUAGCAAGGAAGUGCAGAAUGUAAUGGAUAACACAGAAUGCAGAGAUGUUCAUCCGUAUGUCAUGGUAAUAUAAAACUGCCAUAUAUAUACCAACGGUCAUACACAUCAUACAUAGUUUAGUACAAGCCCAUGCUACAGUACAACUAUGAUGAGAGACGUUACAUCUCAUCGGAGGCAUUCCAAGCUCCUAUACAUUAUUUUUCUACACCUCCGGAAUCGAUUACACGCAAAGUCAUAUUCCACAAGUCACACAGGACAGUGGAGAUACAACUACUACAAUACUAGUGGUACUACUACUAUCUCAGACAGCUCCGUAGUAGUUCUCAUAGAAGUCACCUCCAUAGCCUGGAAGUUCAACGUGAUCAUCCGGAAACAGACGGUCCUGAGGAGGCUGUGGACCAUAGGGGCUAGGAUGAGGUCUUGGACCAACAAACGGUGGCCUGCGGGGACCACGGGGUGGGGUGAUGCCUCCCACAUCACGCCAAUCCACCAUGUCUGGCAGAGCUGAUCUCACAGGAUACAGAUCCCUUGUAUCCAUACAUCCAGCUUGCACCGCAGGUGCAAACCGAGUCAAUGUGGCCCAAUGAUCAGCACGGGUAUUGAAAAGCUCCAGCCUCAAGGCCCGAUUCUCUCGGUCCUUAUCUUCGAGCAUCUCAGCAGUGGUACGAGUUAAUGAGUCCUCCUGAGUGGAGUCAGCAUAAAUAGCCUGAAGAUACCCUUGCGCUCCCGGAAGUGAAGCUGACAUGUAACGGAAGUCGGUGUUCCAAAGCAGGCCAGUCCGGAUUCGCAUGAUGGUCAUCAUGGAAUAGGCAGCAUCCUGCAUAGCCAUCUCAACAGUAACCCCGAGUCCAUAGGAACAGUGAAGGGGCUCGGUAGAUCCAGGAUAAGAAGGAAAUAUCCUGACGGUGCAGAAAUACUGGCUUUGAUUAAAGUCGCGGAACUGCUCUUCGAUAGUGUAUUCGGGAUACCAACGGUAACCCGUCUCGAUCAUGACCCGGACUAACAUAGCAGUAUGACCGGGCACGUCGAGGCACCUGGUCAGGCGAACCACUUGGUUUUGAACACGGUUGGCCAUCUGAAAGCACAACCAAAAUGCAAAGACAUUAGAAUUUCUAGGGAAAAUUGGACAGCAUAACGGCUGUAAAUGCUCAGAAAAAGAUUUGAGACAUCCACAACGGUUCACAAUACCACUCAACAACAUCAUAUCAAGGUUCUGAUUCAAUUAGCAACAUACCAAGAAUAGUAGAAACUGAACUGGGACUUGUAACAACAAUCCUAUAAGCUACUACGGAUUAGUAACACGUGAACCUGAUAGAAGAAGAGAGCCUAGUCCUUAACCCACGUUGAAUGAGGAGAGAAUGACUCAGAUUAGAGGCAUAGGUAAAGGAGUAAAAGAACCUUACGUUCCCUUCCACAAUCAAUUCCCCUACAUAUAAAUGAAGCAUUUCUAGACUCGACAUCGACCAGUUUGGCUCAACGAACCUACAAGCAGUCUGGCUCUGAUGCCAACGCUGUCAGGACCCCGAUUCCAAGUCACAUCGAUCUAGCCGGUAACACCUCAUAUCACUUUGCGGCCUCACGCACGGUAUCCCACGGGUGUCGCCUUACCAUGGCCUGGGACCGUUUGCGCCUUUUGGCUCACAGAUAUGAUAGUGUCGCUAGCAUCCAUAUGACAGAGAACCCGGGCCGACAUGGCUAGUCAUGAACCCAAAGUGGCACAAACCUAUGGAGACAGGCAUACAUGAAUCACAUCGAGCAUGUCGGUCAUCAACGAGUGAUUCCGGGCUGUAGCACUGGGCUAACAGGACUCCGGGGAUCCCGGGCUGUAGCAGGCUAGGCAGGACUCCGGAAGUCACUGUGUGACAUUUCCCCUAAGGGACAGACAUAGGAACAAAGUGAAACACAUGCCGGCCAGUCAAGUGUCCUGAACAGUAGUGUUGGGCUAGCAGGACUCCGGUGAACCGGGCUGUAGCAGACUACUAUGGCUCGAGGAACACUAGACUACAUUUCCCCAUAAGAAAGGCUGCCAAGGAUAAACAACUAGAUUGUCGGAUCCCACUCAUACCAAGCAUUUCAAUCAUACACACAAUAUGCCCGAUAUGAGUACAUACAACAUGGCAUCACAACAAAACUCUACAACUCAAGUACUUUAUUUAAAGGGCUCCAGAGAGCCAUACAUAACAUGUCAUACAGAUAGGGGUCACAUGACCUGACACUCAAGUCAUACAAUCAUACAUGCACAUGCGGAAGCAACUAGUCUAAGUACAGACUCUAAAAAGAAAGAAGGCUUCUCGAAGCCUGUCUAUCUACAUAGGGCCCUCCAUGGCCGGGAUCAACACCUGGGUGGCUAGUCACUCGUCGACGUCAAGGUCUACAUAAAACCCAUCGGAGGGGGCAGUGUUGUCGUCUGAAGACAAUAAAUAAGCAAACAUGAGUACAAAGGUACUCAGCAAGUCUUACAUCAGAACCUACUAUACAUGCUUAUUCUCAAGAAGGAGGUGGGGUUAUUUGCAGCAAGCCAGCUUUGACUCUUGGCUAAGCUAUCCUAUGGAACAUCACCAGUAAAAUAGUUUUCGCACACGAGUCCACUACUCACCAACACAAUACUCCACUGGGGAUCCUCCCUCGUCAUCCUACGAGAGGGCCAUCCUCGGUACUCACACUUAUCUUGAGUCUUUUAGUAGUAUCCAUUAACUUGUCUAUGAACUGUAUAGGCAACCAAGUAGUCUUUUACCGCGGACGUGGCUAUUCAAAUAGUUUUAUACCCUGCAGGGGUGUACUUCGUCACACAUGUUUCCACCACUUAGCGUCUGCACACGACAUGUGCUCGGCGGACUUCAAGCGAAAACCGAUGUGGGUGUAGACCACGACCUGACUAACCUCACAAGUCUCUAGUUCAGGUUUUAUCGCCAAUUCAGGUUCCAUCCACAAGGAAAUCCGGCCGGGGUGUCCUCAACGGCCCCAAACGAUGUGUACAGGGUCCCGAGACGCCAAACGGGCGCCCGGCAUACCCGGCCACAAUGUAUCUACCGCAUCAUAGCCCACCCCUAGGGUCAGCGCUACGCACGGCCGCCAACACAUGUCCUACAAACACCAGAAACUAGUUGCAACUCCUGAACAGAGGCGAGAGGGGUCAGUAAGUCGAGCGGGGUCAUAUUUCAGGGCCCAAUGUGUGGUAGUAGCUGAAUCUUAAAUCACGCAUACAGAUCUCAGUUCUUAGGGACGGCCUCAAUGAAACAACCCACCAUGUACUCCUACAUGGCCUCUCAUCGAUACCUUUACCAAAACAUGUUCAACACAUCUCUCACAUUACCGGCAUAAGCAUUUCACUCUAGCCCAUCACCCAGAUGAACCAGACCUGACACAACUCUAAGCAUAGCAGGCAUAGCAAGGUAGGAAUCACAAAACAUGGCUCAAACAACUCCUACACAUGCUAGUGGGUUUCAUCUAGUUACUGUGGCAAUGACAGGUCAUGCAGAGGAUAAGGGUUCAACUACCGUAGCACAUAGCAGUUUGAAUCGCGUUGUCUUAAUGCAGUAAAUUAGAGCAGAAGCGAGAACAUGGGUUUGUAUCGGAAUGAUCAAUGGUUGCUUGCCUGAUGGAGUGGUAGCGGGAUACUGCCCUUCAGUUGGAUACUCGUGAAUAUCCUCGGAGGCAGAACCUACCACGGAGAACACAUCGGAACACAAUCAACACACGACAAUAUGCAACAAUAUGAUGCAUGCUAUGACAUGGCAAUAUGAUUGUGUCUUGGCCUAAUGCAAACUAAAAUAGAAAGGGAUGAACUCAUUUGAAUCAAAGAUUCAAAUAUUAGCUCAUUAAACAUGGCAUUUAUAGUGCAUUACCUUAUUCUGCCUAAACAGCAAGGUAAACUUGUUUUUUCAUGCAUGAAACCAUUACAGAUGGAUAGAUUUAAUUUUUCUGAUAAUUUUUCAUAUAUAAUUUAUCUCAUUUGGAGCUAUGGUUGAAUUUCUAUGAAUUUUUGAAGUUUGAACUAUUUUCUGGAAUUUCCUGUAUAAAAAUAAAUCCAAAAAAUCAAUUACGGCGUCAGCAAUGCGUCAGGGUGACGUCAGCAGGUCAAAGGCGCCAGCCAGGUCAAACCUGACUGGUGGGCCCCUUUUGUCAGCCUCUCAGUGCACUAACUACGUUUAGUUAGCCUAAUUACUGGGCAGGGCCCACUAGUCAGUGGCUAUACUAAUUAAACUAACCUAUUUAGUUAGCACUAACAGGGUAAUUAGUCGGGCGGGGCCCGCAUCUCGGUGAGAGAGAGGGGGGGAGGUCAACCCACGUCAGCAGGUCAACCUCGCCGGUCAGCGGGUCAAAGCCUGCCGGCGUUUAGCCGCCGGCGAGGCCAGACGCGGAGGCGCGCUGCGGAAAUCGCCCACAGGGCACCAUUUGGUGCGCGGAGAGCAGCUACGGGUAGCUGGGAAUGAACCGCGGCGUUUGGUAGUGGUGGUUGGGCUCGGGGUGGCCGGAAACGUCGCCGGCGACGAGCUUUGCGGUCGCCGGAGUCGGGUGAAAGUGAGCCCGAGGCUACGGGGCACGGCGAGGCGUGUGGUGAGGUGCGUUGUGCCCCUAGGGAUGCGGUGGAGUGGUUAGACUAGGUGGCGUGGCCGGAGUUUGGCCGGAGACACGUCGGCGACGAGCUCCACGGCGGCGCGUGCGGGUGAGCUUCGUGUGCUCGUUGUGGUGCACGAUAAGGAGAGCGGAGAGGAUGGGGAGGUGCAGCAGCUCACGGCGGUCACGUAGAAGCAGACGGCGCAGUCGGGGACGAGCCGGAGCAAGCUGGGCGGCGGAGGCGAUCUGGGCAGCCCGAGGUUGAAGACAAGCUUGGCGGAGUCGUUUGCAGGCCUCCGGCGGGGCGUUGCUUGGUGGAGCGGUCGAGGAGGAAGUGGUGGAGCUUCAGGACACGGUGGAGCAACACGGGGACGACGGUGGACGGGGUUUCACGGUGGCGCGAGCUCGGCAGCGUCGGCCAUGGCGGAGAAAGAGCGAGAGAGAGGAACCAGGGGGGAAGUGCGGUGUCUGCGAGGUCGGGGGAUGCAUGGGAGUUUAUCCCACGUCGACAGGUCGACGAGGGGAGCGGCGAGGCGGCGGCAGCUGCGUGGCGCGCAUGCGGUGCUCGCCGUCGAGCACCUGCCUGCUUGCCAAGCCAAGCUGCUCGCUGGCGCGGUGGCUGGGCUGGGCCGGCAGGUGGGCCUGGUGGGUGGCGCCAGGUAAGUUUUUCUGUUUCUAUUUUUCUUUUUCUAUUUUUUUCUGUAGCUUUAGGGCUUUAUUUAAAAUACCUAGGCACUUUCUAAAAUUCUGAAAAUAAUUGUGGGCUCUGUUGGGAUUAUUCCUAACAGAAAACAUUUACUUCCAGAAUUAUUUGAACAUUUAAAAUAUUUAUUAGCAUUUAAAUGUCCAAAGGCAACAUACAUAUGAUUUAAUCCAGUGACCUUUUGUUGACCUAGAAAAUUGUGCACCUAUUUUGCCAGAGGUUCUAACCCAAGGCAAAGAGGGUGAACAUUUUAGAAGGGCAUUUCAGGUUCAUUGAAAAUAUUUUUAGUAAACCCUAGUUGAUUUCAAGAGGGGUGCUGGGGGUUCUGCCUUUCCCAUUUCAAGUUUCUGAUGAAAAGUAAACAUGAUGCACACUCUAAUGCAUGGACUAGCUAGGGUGUGAGAUUGCUGCAUCAUCCCUUCCUCUUCGGGGAAAACCAACGCAGUGCUAAAAGAGGUAGCAAGAAGGAUUUCUAGCGCCGUUGCCGGGGAGGUCUACGCAAAAGUCAACAUACCAAGUACCCAUCACAUACCCUCAUCUCCCGCAUUACAUUAUUUUCCAUUUGCCUCUCGUUUUCCUCUCCCCCCAAUUCACCCUUGCCAUUUUAUUCGCCCUCUCUCUCUAUCCUCCCUCUCUAUUUGCCCUUUUUGUCCGCUUGCUUUUUGUUUGCUUGUGUGUUAGUUUGCUUGUUUGUCGCGAUGGCUCAAGAUAAUACUAAAUUGUGUGACUUCACCAAUACCAACAACAAUGAUUUUAUUAGCACUCCAAUUGCUCCUCUUACCGAUGCUGAAUCUUGUGAAAUUAAUACUGCUUUGCUGAAUCUUGUCAUGAAAGAUCCGUUCUCCGGCCUUCCUAGUGAAGACGCCGCUACCCAUCUAAAUAGCUUCGUUGAUUUGUGUGACAUGCAAAAGAAGAAAGAUGUGGAUAAUGAUAUUGUUAAAUUGAAGCUAUUUCCUUUUUCGCUUAGAGAUCCUGCUAAAGCUUGGUUUUCGUCUUUGCCUAAAAAUAGUAUUGAUUCAUGGAACAAGUGCAAAGAUGCUUUUAUCUCUAAGUAUUUUCCUCUCGCUAAAAUCAUCUCUCUUAGAAACGAUAUUAUGAACUUUAAGCAACUUGAUCAUGAACAUGUUGCACAAGCUUGGGAGAGAAUGAAAUUAAUGAUACGUAAUUGCCCUACUCAUGGUUUAAAUGUGUGGAUGAUUAUACAAAUUUUUUAUGCCUGAUUGAAUUUUUCUUCUAGAGAUCUUUUGGAUUCGGCCGCGGGAGGCACUUUUAUGGAAAUCACUUUAGGAGAAGCUACUAAACUCCUAGAUAAUAUUAUGGUUAAUUAUUCUCAAUGGCACACUGAAAGAUCUACUAAUAAAAAGGUGCAUGCGAUAGAAGAAAAUAAUGUUUUGAGUGGAAAGAUGGAUGAACUUAUGAAAUUAUUUGCUAAUAAGAGUGUUUCUUCAGAUCCUAAUGAUAUGCCCUUGUCUACUUUGAUUGAGAAUAAUAAUGAAUCUAUGGAUGUGAAUUUUGUUGGUAGGAACAAUUUUGGUAACACCGCAUAUAGAGGAAAUUUCAAUCCUAGGCCUUAUCCUAGUAAUCCCUCUAAUAAUUAUGGUAAUUCCUACAACAAUUCUUAUGGAAAUUAUAAUAAGAUGCCCUCUGAUUUUGAUUCUAAUAUUAAAGAAUUUAUUACUUCAUAAAAGAAUUUUAAUGCUAUCAUUGAAGAAAAAUUGCUUAAGAUUGAUGAUUUGGCUAGGAACGUUGAUAGAAUUGCUCUUGAUGUUGAUUCUUUGAAACUUAGAUCUAUUCCACCUAAGCAUGAUAUCAAUGAGUCUCUCAAAGCCAUGAGAAUUUCCAUUUACAAGUGCAAAUAAAGAACCGCUAGGAUGCGUGCUAAGAAAGAUGCCUUUAUAAAAGCGUGUUCUUCUAGUUCCUAUGAAAAUAAUGAUGAAGAUCUAAAAGUUAUUGAUGUGUCCCCUAUUAAAUCUUUGUUUUGCAAUAUGAAUAUUGAUAAUGAUGGGACUGAAUAUGAUCCACCUUUACCUAGAAGGCGUUCUAAGAAUUCGGAAUUUGUUGAUCUUGAUGCUAAAUUUGAUUAAAGUGGGAUUGAAGAAAUUAAAACCCUAGAUGUUGCUAAACCCACCAUUAUGGAUUUCAAGGAAUUUAACUAUGAAAAUUGCUCUUUAAUUGAUUGAAUUUCCUUAUUGCAAUUUGUGCUAAAUUCUCCUCAUGCUUAUAGUCAAAAUAAAGCGUUUACUAAACAUAUCGUUGAUGCCUUGAUGCAAUCUUAUGAAGAAAAACUUGAAUUGGAAGUUUCUAUCCCUAGAAAACUUUAUGAUGAGUGGGAACCAAUUAUUAAAAUUAAAAUUAAAGAUCAUGAAUGCUAUGCUUUAUGUGAUUUGGGUGCUAGUGUUUCCAUGAUUCCAAAGACUUUGUGUGAUUUGUUAGGUUUCCGUGAUUUUGAUGAUUGCUCUCUAAACUUGCACCUUGCGGAUUCCACUAUUAAGAAACCUAUGGGAAGAAUUAAUGAUGUUCUUAUUGUUGCAAAUAGGAAUUAUGUGCCCGUAGAUUUUAUUGUUCUUGACAUAGAUUACAAUCCUUCAUGUCCUAUUAUUCUUGGUAUACCUUUCCUUAGAACGAUUGGUGCAAUUAUUGAUAUGAAGGAAGGAAAUAUUAGAUUCCAAUUUCCGUUAAGGAAAGGCAUGGAACACUUUCCUAGGAAGAAAAUUAAAUUACCUUAUGAAUCUAUUAUGAGAGCCACUUAUGGAUUGCCUACCAAAGAUGGCAAUACCUAGAUCUAUUCUUGCUUGUUAUGCCUAGCUAGUGGCGUUAAACGAUAGCGCUUGUUGGGGAGCAACCCAAUUUUAUUUUUAUUCCUUGCUUUUUGCUCCUGCUUAGUAAUAAAUAAAUUAUUUAGCCUCUUUUUUGGUUGUGUUUUUUGUGUUUAACUAGUGUUUGUGCCAAGUAGAACCGUUGGGAAGACUUGGGGAAAGUCUUGUUGAACUUGCUGUAAAAAACAGAAACUUUAGCGCUCACGAGAACUACUAUCAUUUUUAUUUGGGAAGUGAUAUUUAGUUAAUUCUUUUUGAAGAUGAUUAAUAGAUAAAUUCCUCACGCCAGAAAUUUAUUUUAGAAUUUUUGGGGUUCCAGAUCUUGCGCUAGCUACAGAUUACUACAGACUGUUCUGUUUUUGACAGAUUCUGUUUUUCGUGUGUUGUUUGCUUAUUUUGAUGAAUCUAUGGCUAGUAAAUUAUUUUAUAAACCAUAGAUAAGUUGGAAUACAGUAGGUAUAACACCCAUACAAAUAAUUAAUGAGUUAAUUACAUUACCUUGAAGUGGUCUUUUGUUUUCUUUCGCUAACGGAGCUCACGAGAUUUUCUACUUUAAGUUUUGUGUUGUGAAGUUUUCAAGUUUUGGGUAAAGAUUUGAUGGAUUAUGGAACAAGGAGUGGCAAGAGACUAAGCUUGGGGAUGCCCAUGUAACCCCCAAGAUAAUCUAAGGACACCUAAAAGCCAAAGCUUGGGGAUGCCCCGGAAGGCAUCCCCUCUUUCGUUUACUUCUAUCGGUAACUUUACUUGGAGCUAUAUUUUUAUUUACCACAUGAUAUGUGUUUUGCUUGGAGCGUCUUGUAUUAUUUGAUUCUUUGCUUAUUAUUUUACCACAAUCAUCCUUGCUGUACACACCUUUUGAGAGAGCCAUAUAUGAUUUGGAAUUUGUUAGAAUACUCUAUGUGCUUCGCUUAUAUCUUUUGAGUUAUAUAAUUUUACUCUAGUGCUUCACUUAUAUCUUUUAGAGCACGGUGGUGGAUUUGUUUUAUAGAAACUAUUGAUCUCUCAUGCUUCACUUAGAUUAUUUUGAGAGUCUUAAAUAGCAUGGUAAUUUGCUUAAAAUCCUAAUAUGCUUGGUAUGCAAGAUUAAUAAUAAAAAUUCUCUUAUGAGUGUGUUGAAUACUAUGAUAAGUUUGAUACUUGAUAAUUGUUUUGAGACAUGGAGAUGGUGAUAUCAAAGUCAUGCUAGUUGAGUAGUUGUGAAUUUGAGAAAUACUUGUGUUGAAGCUUGUGAUUCCCGUAGCAUGCACGUAUGGUGAACCAUUAUGUGAUGAAGUCGGAGCAUGAUUUAUUUAAUUAUUGUCUUCCUUAUGAGUGGCGGUCCGGGGCGAGUGAUGGUCUUUUCCUACCAAUCUAUCCCCCUAGGAGCAUGCGCGUAAUACUUUGCUUUGAUAACCUGUAGAUUUUUGCAAUAAGUAUAUGAGUUCUUUAUGACUAAUGUUGUGUCCAUGGAUUAUACGCACUCUCACCCUUCCACCUUUGCUAGCCUCUCCAAUACCGCGCACCUUUCGCCGGUAUCAUACACCUACCAUAUACCUUCCUCAAAACAGCCACCAUACCUACCUAUUAUGGCAUUUCCAUAGCCAUUCCGAGAUAUAUUGCCAUGCAACUUUCCACCGUUCCGUUUAUGACACAUUCCAUCAUUGUCAUAUUGCUUAGCAUGAUCAUGUAGUUGACAUAGUAUUCGUGGCAAAGCCACCGUUCAUAAUUCUUUCUUUUCACUCAUGCAUCAUUGCAUAUCCCGGUACACCGCCGAAGGCAUUCAUAUAGAGUCAUAUCUUGUUCUAAGUAUCGAGUUGUAAUUAUUGAGUUGUAAGAAAAAUAAAAGUGCGAUGAUCCUAAUUAUUAGAGCAUUGUCCCAAGUGAGGAAAGGAUGAUGUAGACUAUGAUUCCCCCACAAGUCGGGAUGAGACUCUGGACGAAAAGAAGAGAAAGAAAAGAGGCCAUAAAAAGAGAAAAGGCCCAAAUCAAAAAAAAUGAGAGAAAAAGAGAGAAGGGACAUUGUUACUAUCCUUUUACCACACUUGUGCUUCAAAGUAGCACCAUGAUCUUCAUAGUAGAGAGUCUCUCAUGUUAUCACUUUCAUAUACUAGUGGGGAUUUUUCAUUAUAGAACUUGGCUUGUAUAUUCCAAUGAUGGGCUUCUGAAAGUGCAACUAUCCCUAGGUGGUUUUGGUAAUUCAUAACAACAUAUAGCUCAUUGAGCUAAUGCUAUUCCAAGAUGACUAUUUCAGGAAAGCUCAAUGAUUGGCAUGGCAUGGAUGUGAAAGUGGAACCCUCAAAAUGCUAAGGACAAAGGAUUGGCUCAAUCUCAAAAGCUCAAGACUCUUCAUUUUAUAUUUUAGUGAUCCAAGAUCACAUUGAGUCCUUAGGAAAAGCCAAUACUAUCAAGGAGGGAUGAGGUGUUGCUUAAUGAGCCUCUUGCUUCAUGUGCUUAGUGAUAUGCUCCGUAACCCUCAACUACUUUCCCAUAUCCACAUAUGACCUAAACCCUAAGCCAAACUCGGUCCUUCCCGAUUCUUUCUAUCCGGCGCCACCGAGUUUCACUUGUCAUAAGCCACUGCCAAACCCUAGCAAUUCGGUUCUACCGAUAGGGAUCUCGGUCUCACCGAGAUGGGAUUGCAAACUCUCUGUUUCCCUUUCGUAACUUUUCGGUCUCACCGAAAGAGCGAAUCGGUCCCAUCGAGAUUGCAAUGUAAACUCUUUGUUUCCCUUUUGUAACUUUUCGGUCUCACCGAAAGAGCAAAUCGGUCCCACUGAGUUUGCCUGGCCAACUCUCUGUUUAGCUUAUUACCAAACUCGGUCUCACCGAGUUUGUGUAAUCGGUCUCACCGAGAUUACGUUAUGCCCAAACCCUAACCAUAUCGGUCCUACCGAGUUGCAUGUCAGUCCCACCGAAAAUCUCUAACGGUCACUAGGUUUACCUUUUUGGUCCGACCGAGUUUGUUGAUUCGGUCCCACCGAGAUUGGAAAAAUGUGUGUAACGGUUGGAUUUUGUGUGGAGGCUAUAUAUACCCCUCCACCCCCUCUUCAUUCGUGGAGAGAGCCAUCAGAACACAUACACAAUUCCAACUCAUAUGUUCUGAGAGAGAACCACCUACUCAUGUGUUGAGACCAAGAUAUUCCAUUCCUACCAUAUGAAUCUUGAUCUCUAGCCUUCCCCAAGUUGCUUUCCACUCAAAUCUUCUUUCCACAAAAUCCAAAUCCUAUGAGAGAGAGUUGAGUGUUGGGGAGACUAUCAUUUGAAGCACAAGAGCAAGGAGUUCAUCAUCAACACACCAUUUGUUACUUCUUGGAGAGUGGUGUCUCCUAGAUUGGCUAGGUGUCACUUGGGAGCCUCCGACAAGAUUGUGGAGUUGAACCAAGGAGUUUGUAAGGGCAAGGAGAUCGCCUACUUCGUGAAGAUCUACUAGUGAGGCAAGUCCUUCGUGGGCGAUGGCCAUGGUGGGAUAGACAAGGUUGCUUCUUCGUGGACCCUUCGUGGGUGGUUGCUUCUUCGUGGACCCUUCGUGGGUGGUUGCUUCUUCGUGGACCAUUCGUGGGUGGAGCCCUCCGUGGACUCGCGCAACCAUUACCCUUUGUGGGUGGAGCCCUCCGUGGACUCGCGCAACUGUUACCCUUCGUGGGUUGAAGUCUCCAUCAACGUGGAUGUAGGAUAGCACCACCUAUCCGAACCACGGGAAAAACAUCCGUGUCUCCAAUUGCGUUUGAAUUCUCCAAACCCUUCCCUUUACAUUCUUGCAAGUUGCAUGCUUUACUUUCCGCUGCCAAUAUACUCUUUGCAUGCUUGCUUGAAUUGUGUGAUGAUUGCUUGACUUGUCCUACAAUAGCUAAAAUCUGCCAAGAACUAAAAUUGGGAAAAUGUUAAGUUUUUAUUUGGUCAAGUAGUCUAAUCACCCCCUCUAGACAUACUUUCGAUCCUACAAGUGGUAUCAGAGCUUUGGUCUCCAUUUGCUUUGAUCUCCAUAGCUUUUGGUGGUCAUAGCCUUGGUUUCACAACCUAGGAGAGUAUGGCGUCUAGCGAGGGAAAUUAUCACCAUAGAGGUCCUUACUUUGAUGGUACUAAUUUUGCUAGUUGGAAGCAUAAAAUGAAAAUGCAUAUUCUUGGACAUAACCCCGCCAUUUGGGCUAUUGUGUGUGUUGGUUUGCAAGGUGACUUCUUUGAUGGGAAAGAACCAAACCGUGAAGCUACUGCGGAUGAGUUGAAGAUGUUGCAAUACAAUGCUCAAGCUUGUGAUAUUCUCUUCAACGGAUUGUGCCCCGAAGAAUUCAACAAAAUCAGCCGUCUUGAGAAUGCAAAGGAAAUUUGGGACACUUUGAUUGAUAUGCGCGAAGGUACCGACUCCGUCAAGGAAUCCAAGUUGGAUGUGCUUCAAAGUCAACUUGACAAGUUCAAAAUGAAGGAUGGUGAAGGUGUCGCUGAAAUGUACUCUAGGCUUGCUCUCAUCACAAAUGAGAUUGCCGGCUUAGGAAGUGAAGAGAUGACCGAUAGAUUCAUCAUCAAGAAGAUUCUAAGAGCCUUGGAUGGAAAAUAUGAUACCAUGUGCACAUUCAUCCAAAUGAUGCCCAAUUACAAAGAUCUCAAGCCAACGGAGGUGAUUGGAAGAAUUGUUGCUCAUGAGAUGUCACUUAAGGAUAAAGAGGAACUUCACAACAAAUCAAGUGGUGCCUACAAAGCCUCAUGUGAAGCCCCUACAUCAUCAAGUGAGAAACAAAACUUCAAUGAAGAAUUGAGCUUAAUGGUGAAGAACUUCAACAAGUUCUACAAGAGUAGAAGCAAAGAUAGAAGCUUCAAGUCAAGGUCCUACAAUGACAAAAGAUCUUCUAGUCGAGAGCGAAACUGCUACAGUUGUGGAAGACCUAGACACUAUUCCAAUGAGUGUACGGCUCCCUACAAGAGAAGAGAAGAUUCUCCAAAAAGAAGAAGCAAAGAAUCACCACCAAGAGAGAGGAGUAGAGAUGAUCGUUAUGAACGAAGAUACUCACGGAGAAGCAAGGAUUCGGAAAGGAAGGAAAAAUCAUCAAGGAGCUACACAAAACGAAGACAUCAAGCUCAUGUUGGUGAAUGGGUAUCCGGCUCCGACUCCGACAGCCACUCCGAGAGAAGUUAUCACUCCGACUCCGAAGAUACUCAAGAUGAAGGUGUUGCCGGUCUAGCACUUGUGUCAACCAACUCCUACGACAUAUUUGACUCACCAAAUGAAGGAAUUGGAAGAUGCUUCAUGGCCAAAGGUCCUAAGGUAACACACCCCGAGUAUGUUGAUUUCAAUAGUGAUGAAGAUGACUUGUUAGGUGAUGAUUUGCUUGUUGACAACUCUAGUGAUGAAUACUAUGAUGAAACAUCAAUUAAUCAUGCUAAUCAAGAUAAAACGAAUGACAAUGAUAAGGAGAAGAUUGAGGCUCUAACUAAAGAACUAAACACUCUUAAGUUAGAUCAUGAAACUAUCUUCGAAGAUCAUCGAGAACUUUUAAGAGCUCAUGAGAAAUUACGCUUUGAAAAGCUCAAUCUUGAGCAAGAGCAUGAGUUCUUAAAAGCAAUCAAUGAUGAUCUCCGCAAGAAAAGUUCUUCUUACAUUGCCAAGCGUUUACUCUUAUCCACUUACAUGCCUCAAGUCAAGUCUAGUAACAAGAACAAGAAAGAUUCUUCCUCUAGCAGUAACAAUGAUCAUGCUAAAUCCAAUAUUGUUGCUUCUAGUAGUUCUCUUGAUUCCACUAAUGAUUCUCUUAGCCAAGUUACACUUGAGCAAGAAAAUAGCUUAUUGAAGGGAAUUAAAUAGCUUAUUGAAGGGAAUUAUAGAGAAAGGAGUGUACAAAAGCCUUGCCGGGAGUAAGCAAUUCGAGGAAAUUGUGCGCAAGCAAGGAAUGCACUGGAAGAAUCAAGAUGUUGGUUUUGAACGAAAGUUCAAUGCCAAUGGAGUUGAGUGGGAAGAAGAUCAAUACCCCAAGACGAAGUUUGUUCCUCAACAAGAGAGGUAUGAUACUUCUUUCAAGGGGACACAAGCUCAAGAUGAUCUUCCACCACAAGACUACAAGCAAAAAGGCAAGGACAAGCUUCAAGAGGAAAUUGAUGCAUUUGAAGAAGCUCCUAAGACCUUAGUCAAGUGGAUUCCCAAGACUACUUCAAGUUCCACUUCAUCAAGUAUGACUACAACUCCAAGGAUUCCCAUCAAGAUGGUGUGGAUCCAAAAGAAGAAGAACUAGAGAGUUCUUGAGGGUGACUCCGCCAACAUACUUCACUCUUAUCAUUUUGGCAAGAACAAGUGCAAUCAACUUCCACAUCUUGCACUAGUUCAAGGAGUCACAAACCUUCUUGUUGGUAAGACAAGGGACAAGGUAACCUAAAAGUUUUCAUGGACAUCAUCUUGUGUGCGCAUCACUCUAUGUCUAUGGAUAUCCUUGUUUGUUCCUUGUGGGACUAACCCAUGUAGGUAUUGAAAGUGCAAUUCACUCAAAUGGAUAGCUCCAAGUGAUCUACAUCAACAUUGAGCAUCCACAUCUUCAACAUCUACAUGAAGUCAUCAUCGACAAAACCCGAGGUUAGUUCAUCCCUCUAAGGGGGGAUAUCACAUAUAGGGGGAGCUUUACUCUAAGACUUGAGCUAAAGCAACUCUAAAGAUGUGAACACAACAAUGCUUUAUGUAAAAGUGGUAACCCCACUUGAGCUUAAACGAUGAGUAUGACCUAUGAUCAAGUGUUCUCACUUGACUCCUAAGUCAAUAUACUCAUAUAUAGAUGACCUUGUCAUCGCAAAUUGCUUGAUAGAUGCUAGAAUUGGUUAUGCAUGCCUUGUCACAUAUUUCAUUUGCCAUCUUAUUGUGUGAGCAUGCUGGUUGCAUAUUUUACUCAUUCGAGGACAUCCACUUGUUGUUUUGAUUGUUUGGUUUUAUUUCCUUUUGCCAAGUGGAUGGACAAGAAUGCCUAAGAACCUCCUCUAGCUAUCUAUGCUUUUCUCGUCUCAAACUCUAUUCAUGCUACAUCACAAAAUUUGAUCAAGUCAGAUUCGAACCACUCUGUGUGAGGAGCGCUCGGAGUCCCCGAUUCGUCAUAGACUUAAACUUCCAAAACCUCUUUAUGAUUCUCGGUCUGAUCGAUACCGUACUUUCGGUCCUACCAAGAUCAUUAAGUUGAUCUAGGUUUUCGAUCUCGGUGCAACCGAUUUGAACCAUUCGGUUACACCGAGUUGCAACAACUGUAUACAGUUUUGCAUCUCGGUGCCACCGAGUUGUUCCACUCGGUCACACCGACAGGGUCGGGCUAUAUAUAGUCACGGGCAAAAAUUUGGAAAUUUCUCCGAACCCCUUCGCCCGUGUGAUAGCCUGCUCUGCCAACUUGGUCUCCGGAUCGUCUCCUUGCCGCCAGCCACCUCCAGUCGCUGGUCUCCGUCGUCGUCAACGGAAAUUCAACCCCGCCAUUGCCUCCGUAGCGAGUCUCCGCCGAACUAGGGUAUGGACUCGAUCUUUGUGCUAUUCCCCAAUCCGAUUCUUAGCACAUUGUGAUCAUCAUGAUUCUUGCCACGGUUGAAACACUCCUAUCCAGUCAAUGCGUUUGUAGAUUAGUUUUGAUUCAAAAAUUUUAGGGUUAGGUUUCCGCUGAAACCAUCUCGGACCCACCGAGUUGAAAAACUCGGUCCCACCGAUUUGGCUCAUGCCAUUGCACAAGUGAGACUCGCUCUGACCGAGAAUUACUUAUCGGUGUGACCGAUUUUGGAACUUUGUGAAACCCUAGCAGUCUCGGUGCCACCGAACUGUGACUCGGUCUGACCGAGUUCACUAGUUUAGGUUCCAAAACUACUUCGGUAUCACCGAGUUUAAAAAUCGGUAGAUCCGAGAUGAUUUCAGUGGGAAACUAAAACUAAGAUUUUGAAUCAUUCUUUUGCAAAAAUCUUUGCAUUUUGUGAUGCUCAUCCACUCUACCUCAUCUAUAAACUAUUCACAGGGUCAGCAGUCAGCUUGUUCAUCAUGUCAGACCAAAGUGAUAGCCAGAACAUGUCAGAACAGCCAGUGCAGAUGAGUGAGGGCACUAGUCCCUCAAGUUCUUCAGAUGAAGGCAGCAGGAGCACCCCUAGCAAUCUGCCUAAAGCUGCCACCAGAUAGAGGAAGAAGAGAACCUCAGAAUCAGAGGAUGAGGACUAUGUGGCAGAAGAGGAAGCAACUUCAAAGAGAGUAGUGCUCGAGAAGGAACAUGGCUCAGCUCAAGGCACAAAGCCAGGCUUGAAAGUCAAAAGGCCAGCAGGUAGGCAGCCUAUGCCAAAGGCCAGAGCUUCAACUCAGAUUCCUGAAAAGCCUACACCCAAAGAGCCAGUUGCUGCUGAAGGAAAGAAAAGGAAGGAAAGAGUCAAGAAGACCGUAGCCAGAGUGCUUGGAAAGGCUUCCAUCAUGGAAGAACAGGAAGAAGAAGACGUUGCUGCACCAGCACCUAAGGCACCCAAGCUAAUGGGUGAUGCUAUCAAAUCAGGGGCUACUGCAUCUAAGCCCAAGGAAGCACCCAAGGCUGCAUCAAAGGUCAAGACAGCUCCAAAGAGAAAUACGAGGAGCAUACCUGCAACUGAAAAGAACAAGGCCCCAGUGCCUGAAGCUGUUGAAGAAGAUGAUGAAGAGAAUGUUCUUAGAAAGCUCAAGCCCAAGAUCCCAGACCACAAUGAUGCUCAUCCUGUGGCUGAGGACAUGAAGCUCAGAAGAGACUCAGGGCUGAGGAAGUGGAGAGAAGCAGACCCGUAUGCUUCAAGGAGAAGAACUGCUAUUGACUACAGGUUCCACACUAAGGAACAACAAGACUUCUAUGAGACAGUUUUGCUUGAUAAGAAGCCCAUUGUUUGUGACAUGAGAUGGGUCGACCGGACCUACAUGAAGGAAAACAAAGAGCACUAUCCUGGAGUGCAAGACAGCUUCAAUGCUUGUGGAGUAGCAGACUUUGUUGGGCAGAAGCUCACAAAGUGGAACGAGGAACUUAUUAUGCAAUUCUACUCCACGGCACACUUCUAUCCAGAUGGUAGGAUAACUUGGAUGUCUGAAGGUACGAGGUACCAAUCAACUGUUGAGGAAUGGGCAAAGUUGAUCAAUGCCCCAGAGGAAAAUGAAGAUGACUUGGAUGUCUAUGCCAAGAAAAAGAUGGAUCAUAACUCAAUGGCAAAUAUGUACAAGGAGAUUCCAGUAGAUGAUCUUGACACUCACCAGCUUGGGUCCGUAAAACACUUGUUGUCAGGACUGCCUACGAUCAACUGGAUCCUUAGGCACACACUCUUGCCCAAGUCUGGAGAUCACAGAAUGAUCAGAGGUCAUGCCAUUAACUUGCUACAUAUAUUUGAUGUGCCUCAGAAAUUCAAGGUCAUGAGCCUCAUAGUAGAAACUAUCAAGAGGACUGCAGCAGAUCAGAAGAGGAGCUGUGGUUAUGCCCCUCAGAUUCAGGAGUUAAUCAACUCCAAGAUGGGCACAGGCAUAUACUUAUUGGACAAGGAACACCUGCCCAUCCGUCCAGAUUUUGAAGAUAAUCAAGUUGUCAUGAAUGAGAAUGAACCAUCAUCAGCUCAAGCUCAAGCAAAGAAGGAGAAGGCAAAGAAGGAGAAAGCUGCCAAGAUGCCAACUCAAGAGGAGGCAUCUGAGUAUUUCUUGAAAACCAAGCAAGAGCAGCUUAGUUACUUGAUUGCAUCCACACUGAGGAUUGAGAAAGGACUAGCCACCCUCACUUAGAAUCAGCAGAGCUUAGAGAGGAUCAUAGAACAAAAGUUCUGUGACAUGGAUGUCAAAGUAACAGAGAUUCAGUCUGCAGUGGAGCAACUUCAAGAUGACAUGCAGGAGAGGAAAGGGAAGACUAAAACUGAUGCAUUUGCCAGAGUGCCAAGAGCUCAAAGAUCACAUGCAGUGCCAGUUGCUGACACCAGAGCCACCACUUCUGCACCAGCUACAGCCUCAGUUCCACCAGCUCCAGCAUCUACUUCAGCCUUAACUCCAACCACGUCUACAGAAGGCUUCGUCCUUGGAGUGAUCCGGACUCCACCACCACCAGAAGAUCAAGCCUGAGCGUCGAUCUAGAACUAUGCAUUUUCUAGGAACUUUUUGGUAACUUGUUGCCAAAGGGGGAGAAAAAUGUAUAGAUCAUAGGCUUCGAGAGAGAGUGUGUUGCUUUUUUCUCUCUUGUUUUAUUUGGUGGUUUUUCGAACUUUGUUUGCUUUUGUGUGAGAUACUAUGUCAUUGCUCGUGAGACAUUGAUGAUCAUGUGUUUGAUCAUAAGCUACACUUAAUGUUUGCUUAAUGUUAUCAUCUUAUCUAUCUUAUGUGAUCAUUCACUAUUCUUGGUGAUGAGUGCAUGUAUUUCAUUCUUAUCAUUUUAAGCGCUCCACCAAGAUGUAUGUGACAUGGAAGAGUAACCCAUGACUCUAACUCUUUGUGCAUUUGCAGUCCAAAGCAAAUUUUAAAUAUGCACAAAUUUAGGGGGAGCUCUUACUUGUCACAUACUUCUCAAAGCGACGAUAUAUUUCAUGCUUAUUAUCAUUUGUCGAAGCUUUGAUCUAUAUGUUGUCAUCAAUUACCAAAAAGGGGGAGAUUGAAAGUGCAACUAUCCCUAGGUGGUUUUGGUAAUUCAUAACAACAUAUAGCUCAUUGAGCUAAUGCUAUUACAAGAUGACUAUUUCAGGAAAGCUCAAUGAUUGGCAUGGCAUGGAUGUGAAAGUGGAACCCUCAAAAUGCUAAGGACAAAGGAUUGACUCAAUCUCAAAAGCUCAAGACUCUUCAUUUUAUAUUUUAGUGAUCCAAGAUCACAUUGAGUCCUUAGGAAAAGCCAAUACUAUCAAGGAGGGAUGAGGUGUUGCUUAAUGAGCCUCUUGCUUCAUGUGCUUAGUGAUAUGCUCCAAAACCCUCAACUACUUUCCCAUAUCCACAUAUGACCUAAACCCUAAGCCAAACUCGGUCCUACCGAUUCUUUCUAUCCGGCGCCAUCGAGUUUCACUUGUCAUAAGCCACUGCCAAACCCUAGCAAUUUGGUUCUACCGAUAGGGAUCUCGGUCUCACCGAGAUGGGAUUGCAAACUCUCUGUUUCCCUUUUGCAACUUUUCGGUCUCACCGAAAGAGCGAAUCGGUCCCACCGAGAUUGCAAUGUAAACUCUUUGUUUCCCUUUUGUAACUUUUCGGUCUCACCGAAAGAGCAAAUCGGUCCCACCGAGUUUGCCUGACCAACUCUCUGGUUAGCUUAUUACCAAACUCGGUCUCACCGAGUUUGUGUAAUCGGUCUCACCGAGAUUACGUUAUGCCCAAACCCUAACCAUAUCGGUCCUACCGAGUUGCAUGUCAGUCCCACCGAAAAUCUCUAACGGUCACUAGGUUUACCUUUUUGGUCCGACCGAGUUUGUUGAUUCGGUCCCACCGAGAUUGGAAAACUGUGUGUAACGGUUGGAUUUUGUGUGGAGGCUAUAUAUACCCCUCCACCUCCUCUUCAUUCGUGGAGAGAGCCAUCAGAACACAUACACAAUUCCAACUCAUAUGUUCUGAGAGAGAACCACCUACUCAUGUGUUGAGACCAAGAUAUUCCAUUCCUACCAUAUGAAUCUUGAUCUCUAGCCUUCCCCAAGUUGCUUUCCACUCAAAUCUUCUUUCCACAAAAUCCAAAUCCUAUGAGAGAGAGUUGAGUGUUUGGGAGACUAUCAUUUGAAGCACAAGAGCAAGGAGUUCAUCAUCAACACACCAUUUGUUACUUCUUGGAGAGUGGUGUCUCCUAGAUUGGCUAGGUGUCACUUGGGAGCCUCUGACAAGAUUGUGGAGUUGAACCAAGGAGUUUGUAAGGGCAAGGAGAUUGCCUACUUCGUGAAGAUCUACCGCUAGUGAGGCAAGUCCUUCGUGGGCGAUGGCCAUGGUGGGAUAGACAAGGUUGCUUCUUUGUGGACCCUUCGUGGGUGGUUGCUUCUUCGUGGACCCUUCGUGGGUGGAGCCCUCCGUGGACUCGUGCAACCAUUACCCUUCGUGGGUGGAGCCCUCCGUGGACUCGCGCAACCGUUACCCUUCGUGGGUUGAAGUCUCCAUCAACGUGGAUGUAGGAUAGCACCACCUAUCCGAACCACGGGAAAAACAUCCGUGUCUCCAAUUGCGUUUGAAUUCUCCAAACCCUUCCCUUUACAUUCUUGCAAGUUGCAUGCUUUACUUUCCGCUGCCAAUAUACUCUUUGCAUGCUUGCUUGAAUUAUGUGAUGAUUGCUUGACUUGUCCUACAAUAGCUAAAAUCUGCCAAGAACUAAAAUUGGGAAAAGGUUAAGUUUUUAUUUGGUCAAGUAGUCUAAUCACCCCCCCUCUAGACAUACUUUCGAUCCUACAACUUCCUCAAAAUUGCCCUAGGUCUUCAUGAGCAAGCAAGUUGGAUGCACACGCACUUACUUUCUUUUUGAGCUUUCGUAUACUUAUAGGUCUAGGGCAUCCGUUGCAUGGCCCGUUGAUACGCCUAGUUGAUGUGGGACUACCCCUUUUUGUCUUCUCCAAAACCACCACUCUAUUCCACCUAUAGUGCUAUAUCCAUGGCUCACGCUCAUGUAUUGCGUGAAGAUUGAAAAAGUUUUGAGAAUUUCAAAAGUAUGAAACAAUUGCUUGGCUUGUCAUCGGAGUUGUGCAUGAUUUAAAUAUUUUGUGUGGUGAAGAUAGAGCAUAGCCAGACUAUAUGAUUUUGUAGAACUUUCUUUAGCCAUGUUAUUUUGAGAAGACAUAAUUGCUUUGUUAGUGUGCUUGAAGUAUUAUUAUUUUCUAUGUCAAUACGAACUUUUGUCUUGAAUCUUUUGGAUCUAAAUAUUCAUACCACAAUUAACAAGAAUUACAUUAAAAUUAUGCCAAGUAGCACUCUGCAUCAAAAAUUCUAUUUUUAUCAUUUACCUACUCGAGGACGAGCAGGAAUUAAGCUUGGGGAUGCUUGAUACGUCUCCAACGUAUCUAUAAUUUUUGAUUACUCCAUGCUAUAUUAUCUACUAUUUUGGACAUUAUUGGGCUUUAUUAUCCACUUUUAUAUUAUUUUUGGGACUAACCUAUUAACCGGAGGCCCAGCCCGGAAUUGCUGUUUUUUUGCCUGUUUUAGGGUUUCGAAGAAAAGGAAUAUCAAACUGAGUCCAAACGGAAUGAAACCUUCGGGAACGUGAUUUUCUCGCCGAAUACAACUCAGGAGACUUGGAUCCUACAUCAAGCCAACUAACAGGAGGCCACGAGGUAGGGGGCGCGCCCUCCACCCUCGUGGGCCCCCUGUUGCUCCAUCGCCGUACUUCUUCCUCCUAUAUAUACCCACGUACCCCCAAACGAUCAGACACAGAGCCAAAACCCUAAUUCCACCGCCGCAACUUUCUGUAUCCACGAGAUCCCAUCUUGGGGCCUGUUCCGGAGCUCCGCCGGAGGGGGCAUCGAUCACGGAGGGCUUCUACAUCAACACCAUAGCCUCUCCGAUGAAGUGUGAGUAGUUUACUUCAGACCUACGGGUCCAUAGUUAGUAGCUAGAUGGCUUCUUCUCUCUUUUUGGAUCUCAAUACAAUGUUCUCCCCCUCUCUUUUGGAGAUCUAUUCGAUGUAAUCUUCUUUUUGCGGUGUGUUUGUUGAGACCAAUGAAUUGUGGGUUUAUGGUUAAGUCUGUCUAUGAAUAAUAUUUGAAUCUUCUCUGAAUUCUUUUAUGUAUGAUUGGUUAUCUUUGCAAGUCUCUUCGAAUUAUCAGUUUGGUUUAGCCUACUUGAUUGAUCUUUCUUGCAAUGGGAGAAGUGCUUAGCUUUGGGUUCAAUCUUGCGGUGUCCUUUCCCGGUGACAGUAAGGGCAGCAAGGCACGUAUUGUAUUGUUGCCAUCGAGGAUAACAAGAUGGGGUUUUCUUCAUAUUGCAUGAGUCUAUCCCUCUACAUCAUGUCAUCUUGCUUAAGGCGUUACUCUGUUUUUAACUUAAUACUCUAGAUGCAUGCUGGAUAGCGGUCGACGAGUGGAGUAAUAGUAGUAGAUGCAGGCAGGAGUCGGUCUACUUGUCUCGGACGUGAUGCCUAUAUACAUGAUCAUACCUAGAUAUUCUCAUAACUAUGCUCAAUUCUGUCAAUUGCUCAACAGUAAUUUGUUCACCCACCGUAGAAUACUUAUGCUCUCGAGAGAAGCCACUAGUGAAACCUAUGGCCCCCGGGUCUAUCUUUAUCAUAUCAAUCUCCUGCGACUUAGUUAUUUACUUUGCUAUUUGCUUUGCAUUUAUUUUACUUUGCAUCUUUAUCAUAAAAAUACCAAAAAUAUUAUCUUUAUCAUAUCUAUCAGAUCUCACUCUCGUAAGUGGCCCUAUAGGGAUUGACAACCCCUAUUUGCGUUGGUUGCGAGGAUUUAUUUGUUUGUGCAGGUACGAGGGACCUGCGUGUAGCCUCCUACUGGAUUGAUACCUUGGUUCUCAAAAACUGAGGCAAAUACUUCCGCUACUUUGCUGCAUCAUCCCUUCCUCUUCGGGGAAAACCAACGCAGUGCUAAAAGAGGUAGCAUUAUCAGAGUAACCCGAAACAGCUGAAUAGCGGGCAAUACCACGUCUUCACCACAAGCUUGUGUAAGCGGGAUCAGAAGCUUCAUAAAAGGGCAGUAAACUCCGUUGAACCGGCAGUACCCCAUUACUUGCGCUGGUCUGAGCAGCCCAUUGUGUGGAGUCGAGAGGAUCAUCCGCCCUGGGUUGAUAAUCCGGGUCAUCUGGCAUUGGUGGUUGCACCUCAGGUUGGAGGGUAUAAGUUCACCAAGGUGCUCAUGGACGGAGGGAGCAUCAUCAAUAUCCUCUAUUAUGAAACCUUCCGUCGUAUGGGGUUGACGGAUAAAAAUCUUAAACCAUCAAACACUGUUUUCCAUGGUGUGGUGCCUGGUAAGUCAGCAUAUCCAGUUGGUAAAAUAGCUCUGGAAGUUGUGUUUGGGGAUGAGUAUGACUCUCGAUCAAAGACAUUGACCUUUGAGGUGGUGAAGAUCAAAAGCCCUUAUCACGCUCUGUCUGGACGGCCGGCUUAUGCUAAGUUUAUGGCAAGACCCUGUUAUGUUUAUCUACAGCUCAAGAUGCCAGGUCAUAAGGGGACCAUCACGGUACAUGGGAGCUGAAAGAUAGCCUUGGAAUGUGAGGAAGGUGAUGCGGCUUAUGCUAAGUCGGUUUGUGCAACAGAGGAGUUGAAAUUUUAUAAGGACAAUGUUGAUCCGGCAGAUAUGACUUCUUUGAAAAAGCCAACUACAAAGCAUGAUCCAACAUUGAAGUUUAAAUCGGCUGAGGAAACCAAGUUAGUUGAUAUUGUUCCUGGCGAUUCAUCCAAGCAGUUUAGCAUCAGUGCUAAUCUGGAUCCGAAAUAGGAAAGCGCGCUCAUCGAGUUCAUAUGUGAGAACCGGAACAUCUUUGCAUGGGAACAUUCUGACAUGCCAGGUGUACCGAGGGAACUCGCUGAGCACACUCUUAAUAUUGAUCCUAAGUUUAGAUUGGCCAGGCAGUUUCUCCGCCGCUUCAAUGAAGAAAGGCGUAAGGCUAUUGGUGAGGAGGUAGCCCGGCUCUUGGCAGCAGGGUUUAUUGUUGAGGUUGUUCAUCCUGAGUGGUUAGCUAACCCGGUGCUAGUACUUAAGAAGAACGGCACUUGGCGUAUGUGUGUGGAUUACACAGAUUUGAACAAGGCUUGUCCAGCUGAUCCCUUCGCUCUCCCUCGUAUUGAUCAAAUCAUUGAUGCUACGGUGGGUUGUGAGCAUCCGAGCUUUCUGGAUGCUUAUUUUGGUUAUCAUCAGAUCAAAAUGGCAGUUAAGGACCAGGAGAAGACAGCUUUUAUAACUCCCUUUGGAGCCUUCUGCUAUGUAUCUAUGCCUUUUGGGAUCAAGAGUGCCCAGGCGACUUAUCAGCAUUGUGUGCAAAAUUGUCUUCAUAAUCAGAUUGGGCGGAAUGUUCAUUCUUGCGUGGAUGAUAUUGUGGUGAAGUCCAUAAAGGAGGAGACAUUAAUAGAUGACUUAAAGGAAACUUUUGAUAAUCUCCGGGUCUAUAAGAUGAUGCUUAAUCCGGCCAAGUGUGUUUUUGGUGUACCGGCAAGCAAGCUCUUGGGCUUUCUGGUGUCUAACAGGGGUAUUGAGGCUAACCGAAAAAAUUAAGGCAAUUACUUCUCUGGCUAAACCGGUGUGCAUCAAUGAUGUUCAACGUCUGGCAGGUCGUAUUGCAGCAUUGAGCCGGUUUAUCAGCCGGUUGGGGGAGAAAGCUAUCCCUUUGUAUCAGAUGAUGAAAAAGACAGAUAAUUUUGUCUGGAGUGAUGCGGCUAAUGCGGCGUUUGAGGACUUGAAGAAACAAUUAGCCGAGCCUCCCGUCCUUGCUGCUCCCGUUGAUAAAGAGCCAUUGCUGUUAUAUGUGGCUGCUAAUGCCCGGGCUGUCAGUGUGGCUAUUGUGGUAGAGUGGAAGGAGGCAAGCAAAGAAUAUCCGGUUUAACGGCCGGUUUAUUAUAUCAAUGGGGUACUCAUUGAGUCCAAGCAAAGAUACCCACAUUGGCAGAAGCUGGUGUAUGGAGUUUUUAUGGCAAGCCGGAAGCUUAAACAGUAUUUUCAGGGUCACCCCAUCACUGUGGUCAGCUCUGCCCCUUUGGGGGAUAUAAUUCAAAACAGGGAGGCAACUGGCUGGGUUGCCAAGUGGGCCAUUGAGCUUGGACCUCAUGGGUUAAAGUAUAUGCCUCGGACGGCAAUCAAGUCCCAGACACUUGUGGAUUUCAUCAAUGAUUGGACAGAAUUGCAGACACCAGAGGAAAAGCCGGAUAACACAUAUUGGACUCUUCACUUUGAUGGGUCCAGGCAAUUGGAGGGCUCGGGGGCUGGAGUUGUGCUAGCUUCCCCUCGAGGUGAUAAAUUUUGUUAUGUCCUCCGUUUAUUGUUUCCUUGCACUAACAAUGCAGCUGAAUAUGAGGCUUUACUCCACGGUCUUCGAGUGGCUAAGGAGAUGAACUUGAGCCGGGUUAGGUGUUUUGGUGACUCAGAUUUGGUAGCUCAACAAGUAUUAGGUACUUGGAACUCUAAGGAUCCACUCAUGGCGGCUUAUCGAUAGGAGGUGGAUAUUAUCGAUGGUCAUUUCAAGGGUUACCAGGUUGAGCAUGUGGACCGGAGGAAGAAUGAAGCGGUAGACGCUUUAAGCCGGCUGGGUUCUCAACGUAAACCGGUGCCGCCCAACGUUGUUCUUGAUGUCCUUCAUAACCCGUCGGUCAAGUUACCCACAGAGGAGGAUUUGGCUAUUCCUGACCCAGAGGCUCAAUUGGUGGCAGCUCUUCAUGUUAUCCCGGAUUGGACGGUUCCCUAUUUGGCGUAUAUGACCCGGGGCGAGUUACCUGAGGAUGAGGUUUUGGCCAGACAGAUAAUCCAGCGGUCCAAGUCAAUGACUAUUGUCAAAGGAGAGUUGCAUCAUUGUAGUGUUACAGGGGCGUUUUAGCGUUGUGUGUCUCUGGAGAAGGCUGUGAGAUCCUCCAUGAGAUCCAUGAAGGGGACUGUGGACAUCAUGCCAGUUCAAAAUCUCUAGUAGCCAAAGCUUUUCGUCACGGUUUUUAUUGGCUGACGGCUCAUGCUGAUGCUAAGGACUUGGUCAUAAGGUGUGAUGGUUGUCAGAAAUUUGCACGCCGAGCUCAUGUUUCGGCUCAGGAGUUAAGGAUGAUUCCAAUUACUUGUCCAUUUGCAGUCUGGGGGCUUGAUAUGGUGGGGCCCUUUAAAAUAUCCAAGGAUAAGAAGACCCACCUCUUGGUGGCAGUUGACAAGUUUACUAAAUGGGUAGAGGCCGAGCCAGUGAGCAAAUAUGAUGCAACGACGGCGGUUCAAUUCAUGAAGAAGGUGAUCUUCCGCUUUGGCUUUCCACAUAGCAUUAUAACUGACAUUGGUACUAACCUUUCAAAGGGAGCUAUUGAAGAUUUUUGUCAACGUGAGCAUAUCCGGCUUGACAUAUCGUCAGUAGCUCACCCCCAGUCUAAUGGUCAAGCUGAGAGAGCCAAUCAAGAGAUCUUAAGAGGUUUCAAACCCCGGCUUAUGGUUCCUUUGCAGAGGAUGCCGGGUUGUUGGAUCGAGGAGUUACCUUCCAUGUUAUGGAGCAUUAAUACAACCCUAACAGGUCUACGGGUUAUACGCCCUUUUUCAUGGCUUAUGGAGCAGAGGCAGUUCUCCCUAGUGACAUCCGUCAUGACUCGCCCCGUGUGGCAGCUUAUGUUGAAGCUGACAAUGAAAAAACAUGUCAGUAAGCACUUGACUUGUUGGAUGAAGAGCGUGACAUUGCAGCGGCCCAUUCGGUGAUUUACCAGCAAGACCUGCGCCGUUACCACAGCCGCAGGUUAAAACCAGAACUUUUCAAGAAGGUGAUCUGGUGCUCCGGCUCAUCCAGGAUCAGACUGAUAUGCACAAGUUAUCCCCACCUUGGGAAGGACCCUUUGUGGUCAGCAAGAAUCUAAACAAUGGGUCAUAUUACCUUAUCGAUGUUCGAGACCACAAGGACUCACGCACAUCGGAGGAGGAGACCCACCGACCCUGGAAUAUUGCUCAGCUUAGGCCAUAUUACACCUGAGCCACAGGCUCUCCGUAUGUACAUAUUUAAACAAUCUAUAUAUUAUGAUUGAUAUAAUAAACCGUCAUCCUUGCUAAAGCGGGGCUUCUGUCGUUCCCAUACAUGAGUCUCUGUUACCUUGGUAAUCCGGCUAUCAAGCCCAUAUUAUAAGAGCACAGCUCUGUUACCUUGGUAAUCCGGCUAUCAAGCCCAUAUUAUAAGAGCACAGCUCUGUUACCUUGGUAAUUCGGCUAUCAAGCCCAUAUUAUAAGAGCACAACUCUGUUACCUUGGUAAUCCGGCUAUCAAGCCCAUAUUAUAAGAGCACAGCUCUGUUACCUUGGUAAUCUGGCUAUCAAGCCAAUAUCACAACUUCAUAUGAGCAGGGCUCUGAUCUACUUAAGGCUUAAUGCCCGGAUUAAAGGGACCAAAGAGAGUCUGAUGCAUAGCACAGCUCAAACAUAGGUAUCCCUUGGGCACAACCCACAUAAUCACUUGGGGGCUUGGUCGUAUUCGAACCAUAGCUACACCUCUUGAUAGACAUAAGGCCACCAGGGAAAUCACUUGGGGGCUUUGGUCGUAUUCGAACCAUCACUUCAACCCUCUUGAUCAUUGCAACACCACAAUUAUAACUAUUUCAAACUUUUUUUUGAUUUUUUGGUUUAUAAUGCUUUAUGAGUGUAAUUUAUCUAUUCUAUUUAAACCUGGUCUGGGCCUGUUCAUAAACAAGCAACAGCCGAGGAAUAUCAAUACUCAAGGUUUGGGUUAUCACCCUUACUACAAAAAGUUGGUAAACCAACGAUGUGAUUCAAUGUCAUAGGUAUGAUAUAUUUCAUAUUUGGUUAUUCUUAAGUACAACCUUGGUUAUAAACCCGAGUUAUAUGUUGGGCGUUAUGACCCGUCCGGCGGUAAACUGCCAGGACACUUUUUAUAUGCAGAAAUAGGUUGAAUAAAGGUGCUAAGGAUCAUAAGCAGACAUAGCAUAAUCAUGACGGAUUAACAGUGUCAUGCAAAGCGAACAUGCACAAUGCAUAGUAGACCAAGUAUUUAAACUAGCCUAUUACAAGGCACUUUGAUGCCCAAAAGGAUAAUUGUUUUCAACAAGUGUUGCAGUAUGCAGAAGGCUAAACCGGCCUUCGGAUCAUGAUUCUUCGCCGGGUUGACUUGACGGCUGUGGAUCAUCUUCCGCCGCUUCAUCAUCCUUCUCUCCACCCAGCGGCUGGAAGUCAAUGGUUGCCCAGUCGAUUCCAGUUAGGGCCUUGAAUACAACUUCGUCGCUUAUAAGUGUGGAGGGUUCAACAUCAGGGGAGUAGAUAUGCUUACGGAUUGGCGGGAUAAGAUUUUCCACAUCAUGAGUUGGCGCAUUAACCGGUUUGUUUUCGGCGUCAUAAAUCGACUGGUAAUGAGAAAGAUCUGUCUCUUCAGCCAAUUUGCUCACUAAUGGGCGCAUUUCCUUCGUCAAAGCUCGGAGAUCAUCAUUGUCAAAAUCUGACCCGUCCUCCUUUAUGCUUGGAUAGCCACUUCCUAUAUCAGCCGGGUCAAGAUCUGGUAUCCAUGCUUUAGCCCGCAUUAGCGCAGUUAGAGCACCUGCCCUUGCAGCUGAUCUUUUUAACUCCUCAAACCGGGCAGGAAUCAUUGACAGCUUCUCUAAUGUUUCCUUGAUCAAGGUUGGGGGUGGUUUGUUAUGAGAGGCAAUACAAAUGAUCCGUUGUGCGCCGGUAUAUAAUUGCUCUAUAAGAGUAUAGGCAGCCUUCAAUUUUUUCUACAUAUCAAAGCCCAGAUGGGUAAUGCGAGAUCCUGCAUCAUUACGCACAUCGAUAAACCGGCAGUUCAUAGGAUAAUACAUGUUAAACACUUAUAAUAAGGGUGCUUACCAAACACAGUAGUGGUCAUGGCAUUUAUUUGCCACUUCAGACCAGUCAGCUCUUCUACCACCGGAUUAAGGGCUGCUUCUGCAUCCUCAGCCCUCUUUUGUAGUUUGGUUUUCUCUAUGUCCCAGUCUGCCUGCUCCUUCUGGAAGUUUUCCUUCAAUUUCUCCAUGGCUACUAAGGCACUGGUUAGCUCCUCUUUGGCUUUGGAAGUUAGAGCACCUGCCCUUGCAGCUGAUCUUUUUAACUCCUCAAACCGGGCAGGAAUCAUUGACAGCUACUCUAAUGUUUCCUUGAUCAAGGUUGGGGGUGGUUUGUUAUGAGAGGCAGUACAAAUGAUCCGUUGUGCGCCGGUAUAUAAUUGCUCUAUAAGAGUAUAGGCAGCCUUCAAUUUUUUCUACAUAUCAGAGCCCAGAUGGGUAAUGCGAGAUCCUGCAUCAUUACGCACAUCGAUAAACCGGCAGUUCAUAGGAUAAUACAUGUUAAACACUUAUAAUAAGGGUGCUUACCAAACACAGCAGUGGUCAUGGCAUUUAUUUGCCAUUUCAGACCAGUCAGCUCUUCUACCACCGGAUUAAGGGCUGCUUCUGCAUCCUCAGCCCUCUUUUGUAGUUUGGUUUUCUCUAUGUCCCAGUCUGCCUGCUCCUUCUGGAAGUUUUCCUUCAAUUUCUCCAUGGCUACUAAGGCACUGGUUAGCUCCUCUUUGGCUUUGGAAGUUUCUGCUUGUUGGGACUUGAUAUUUUCUUGAAGAUCGGUGGUUUGAGAUUCCUUUUUGCUCAGCUUAGCCUAUAAGAGACAUACAUGUUAUGAGUUGGAAGCAUUUUGAAGUACCAAGCACAUAACAAGUUAUACACUUGGCACUUGGGGGCUAAUGCCUAUUGCUUCUUAUCAACUUUCUCUUAUAAGUCCCAAGAUCAAUUCAAGUAUUAUUCUUGGCACUUGGGGGCUACACAAACAAAAGUGACAAGAUUAAUAUUCUAAAAGUCCUGGUUCAUCCUGAAAUGAUAAACCGGUCCUUGGGGGCUACGCAGGCAAAGUUGAAGUAUUACAAAGUCCCGGUUUACAUUGAUAUCAUAAACCAGCCCUUGGGGGCUAUUGGAGUUGAUAUUAGAAAUCAGAUACAAGAGAGAAACAAUUAUGUGGAGUUAACAAUAUUUACCUCAUAUUGCUCUUUCAUAUGGUUCACUAAACCGGCUUUAUAGUCGCGGCUUGUGUACAGGCGGUUUAAAAACCCAGAGUGGAUAUCUUGGGCGUUAAGGUGGGCAUAGCUUUCCAAGUCUGUUUUCCACUUGCCUUUAUCCAUAGCAGCAAAUUCUUCCUUGGCACUAUGUUUUGAUAAAGCAAUGGGAUUACCAGGAGUUGUGUAGCCUAAACCAGUAACAAUGACAUCAUCCGAUUGGUCAUCAGCCGCUUUGACUGGGCUCGGCGGUUUAUCUGCAGUUUUAGCCAGGCUUAGCGGGUCAGUAGCAUGGCCUGUAGGAUCAUCUUCCAUCUGUUCAGCAAAGGUUUCAUGAUGUUGCAUUGGCGGAUCAUCAAGAAUAGCGUCAGCAUUUGGCUCAAACUGUUCUGGGAUCUUUUCCAGUUCAGUGUCCAGGUUAUCAUCAGCCAAUUUAUUCAAUUUGGCCUUUUUGCUGGGCCUAGCUUUAGCUCUGAAAUAAAUGUAAAUAAAGGUUAGUAUAUUAAACAGGUGCAAGGGAUAAAGAGUUAAGUGUAGUAUGCUUACCCAGGAACAGUCUUAAGGGGUGGAAGCUGUGUCCAUGUUGAUUCGCCAGAGGAUGAAUGGGAAGUUCCCCAGUAGUUUGAGUCAGAUGGAUUAAGAGGUUGCCGAAAAUAACCAGCCUUGGGAUAAGAUGUGUCAGGAAUAUGGAUGAAACCUCUGGUCGGCGUUUACGAACCGGUGUGUUCGGUAAACCGGAUGAAGUAACCACCUGGCCACUAUGCCGGGUUGUGCGGCGAGCUUCAUACUGUUGUUUCUUCAAAAGAAAGUUUGGAUCUAGAUAAGCUAGAGGGUGUGGAAAUUUUACUUUCCGGUUUGCUUGACAGGUUUUCUGUGCUGGCUGAGGAUCUGAACCGGAGGAAAGAAUAAUUACCUCUACAUCAUCAACCCGGCUAGCUUCGGCGUCAUCCUGAUAAUGGUCAUUUUCAAUGAGGUGUAUGAAAAAUGAACCAAGAGAAUCAAGUUCUACCUUUGAUUCCGGGUUGUCAAGAUCCUCGUCGAGGUUCAGCUCGGUGGACUCAGCUGUUUUCUUCUUGGCAGGCUUUUUGACGACCUUUGUCUUGGGUCGAGGGGUCUUGGCCGGUUUAUCCCAAGCGUUCUUCUUCCAAAAUGGGUCGUCACCCUGUUAAAAGAUUGAUAAAGGUUAUAAGGAAGAGUUAAGAAUAUCAGGUUCAAACAGGGGUUAGGCAAUUCUUACAGCUGGUGGUUUAUUUGAAACGUAGAAGAGACUUAGCCCUGUUUUGCUGCAGACAACCACCGAUUCAUCCAGUAUCUUUUUGACAGCUUCAGUGAUUUCAGCAUCAGUUAACUGAAUGUUAGUGUGCCAUUGAGGGUCUUUCAAGUCCCCUGUGUACUCGCACAUUAAACCUGGGCGACAACUUAAAGGCAAAAUACCCCAAGAUAUCCAGCAAUGAACAAAGUCAAUUCCUGUUAACCCAUUAGCCACAAAGGCUCUGAGCUUUGCAAGUUGUGGUGCAUAUUUGGCCUGUUCUUUUGCGGUCAACCUUUGGGGAAAUGGAUGUGUAUUGGUAAGUCGGUGAGCACGGUAACCCGACAGAGGGUUCUCGUCAUCUGGGGAAGUAUCUUUGCAAUAGAACCAAGUCUGGUUCCAAUCCUUAGGGUGACUAUGAUGCUUGGCGUGAGGGAAGCUCACGUCUUUCCUUUUCUGAAUUGAAACGCCGCCAAGUUCAGUAUUGGGCCCGUAUGUAAAUUCAGUACAGCGGUUUAAAUAGAAAAAGUCCCUGAACAGUUCAACGGUCCGUUCUUCUUGCAGAUAAGCCUCGCAAAACACUUGAAAAUUACAAAUAUUGGACACAGAAUUAGGUCCAAUAUCUUGAGGGUGGAUCUGGAAGCUAGCAAGCACAUCACGGAUUUUUUUUGAUCCGGGAGGUUUAAAACCACGGCUCAGAUGAUCAACAAACACAACUAUCUCGCCAUCCUUGGGCUCAGGAGGAUUUUCUGGACCGGUAGCUCACCAGUGGAUUUCACUCUGUUUCGGUAAAGCGCCAGUUAUAACGCAUUCGUUCAGAUCUUCUUCCGUAAUCCGGGAUGGAACCCAGUUACAAGCGUAAAAAGACUUGGCCAUUUCUUUGACAACUUGAAGGAAGAUUUGUGCCGGUUUAAGAUUCAUGGUGGAUAAGCAUGAAGCGUUGCAGGUUAAGGGACGAAAGGUAUUCAAGCAUGCAAAAUUAUUAAACCGGAGGAUGAUGAUAUCAGGACUACAAUGAUAAAGCGAUUGGCGGUUUACGAGGGACUAAUGGUACCUGACGGGUUAUCAUUUUCUAAAGUUAAACCGCCUACAUUGGUAUGGAAGGUACAGAUCUGAAAUAGCUAAGGGGAAAACAGGUUUCACAAGUUGGCAUUACAAAUUUGGAUCUAUCACGGGUCAGAAAAUGAAAAUAUAUUAAGACCUAAACAUGGAAACCGAAGCAGUGGAUUAAGGUUCAGAUUGAAGUUUUUACUUAAACACGAUGCGCUGAUGAAAAAAUGACUAUGGGCGUUGCUGUGCAUGCUGAAUAUGGAGGUUUCAAUCGAAGGAACUACAUCGCUGAUAUGAGCACCGACGAACAUCGACGAACACCGAGGAAUGUUCAAACCCUAAAACUGAAUCUAUGGUGGAGGAAAGAGAAGCUUACUGGUGCAGAAGGAACAACGGAGAGGCGCCGUGAUUCUUUGGUACGUUCAGGGUGAUGCAGCAGCCAAGGUUGAGGCAGAGGCAAAGUUCGACGGCGCUAACGGAGCUUGAGGUGCUGGGGCGAUGCGAGGAAGACGAUGAGGCUGAGAGGCACGAGGGGAAAAGUGAAAAUGAUCCCCGGCCCUAUUUAUAAGGUGAAGGGAUAAGCGGCAGACACAUGAAUCGAGGAGGUCGCAAAACGGAUCUAUAGACAUGCAGACGCCUUGAUUUUCGGAAAUUCAUUAAAGAAGAUACAUUUAAAGAUUUGGGAUCUGCACAAAGCUAAUGGCAGAUGACGUCACGAUGGAUUAUUAUGCUCUCAGAGAUGACGUCACAGCGGUUUACAAGGUUUUUCAGCUGGUGUUGAAGAAGGAAUUUUUCUAAGUACUGAAAAUUGACAUGAACCAGUUCAAAUCAAUUUGGGGCCUAAUAUUGGGGAUAUAACUAUUAAGUAUAAACCGCCCAGGAGGGGCCGGAUUAUACUUAUAGUAAGCUAUUCCUAUUUCAAGCCCACGAAGGCAAGGCGCUUUAUGAAGGAUGUUUAACAAGAAGGCCCAAGGCCCAAAGGCGGAUUAGGGACCGUAGAUGUAAACCUCCAUAAGAUGUAUAACUUGUAUUGUAAGAUAAGAAAGGGUAGAAACCGAGCCGGGCACGAAUAUGAGCCGGCCGGGAUUCUGUAAACCGCCGGGCGUCAACCUGUGUAUAUAAAGGGACGACCCGGCGGCGGUUUAAGGACAAGAAAACAACAGAUCAAGAGCCAGGCAAAGCGGAUUCGCUCCCUGGUCAUCGAAACCCUAGCAAUUCCAUCACAACUGGAUUAGGCUUUUACCUUCACCGUAAGGGGCCGAACCAGUAUAAACUCCUUGCGUCCUUUGUCCCGCUUUAACCCCUUUAAGCUAACUACGUUGCAAUGGCUCCACGACUAAGCCCUCACACUAGGACAUCUGCCGUGACAAAACCAUGACAAUAUGUGUAGGAUAAAAUUUGUUUGUUGCCUUCUCUAGAUCUUCUAACGAGAAAAUCUUUGUAUUCUCAUUAGCAGUUUCAUCAAACGAUAUCAACAUUUCUAGGAGAAGACCUUAUUUCUUUUGGAAAUAGUUCUUCUGUAGUUGCUUUUGAAUAUUUAUUUUCCAUCUAUGAUGGAUAAAUACUACGCUAAACCUCAGAAGAAGAGUGUCGGAACCACAUGCCAACCCAAUAAUUAUACAUGCAUGCAUUAAUUAAGCUCUUUUAAGUUUUGCUCUAUUUUUUCUAUCAUAAAUGUAACAAGAAUAUGGUCUUACCUAACUUUAGAGGUUCUUGCUUAUCUUGGUAUAGUGCAUUUUUAUUGGAUUAUACUUAGUCUUGUGAGGACAUCCAGUACAACUAAAGCUUCAUAUGGUAUUAUGGCAGAUCCCUUUACAAAGCUCCAUAAAAAACAACCCAGGGAAAAACAAAGUGGUGUUCAUCGGUGGCGGAAGGAGAACUGAACUUGUACUUUUCUCUUUGUGAAUUCAUGGUGCAAUUUUUGUGUUUGCAUCUUUUCCAAGCAGCCCAAUUGGUAUUUUUUAGAAAAGUUUGUUGAGGUAACUAGUCUUGAAGUGUUGGCAUGCUAUCGUGUGAGAAAAUGUAAUUUGGACAGAUGCCGCCUUUGAGAUAUCACAGGUCCAUCAAAGUGGACAUUAAGGAUGAGAAACAUAGUAGUAAUUUCCCAAAUAUGAUAUUUUAGUCAACACAUACAAAUUAAAUUAAGUUAGAAAAACUACGAAAUGGAUUUUAGAAUUAAUGAUAGUUUGACAAAGAUAAGUUUAAAAUGAAGGAAAAUCAUUGGAAAUCGAUGAAUUUUUUUUUGUCGUUCUUGAUAGCUUUCGAUUUUUUUCCCUUUUCAUAAAAAAAUUCUUGUUUUUUAUUAUAUAUUGAAAUUUUCUAUUAUAAACAAGAUCCAUUUUGGAAUCUAGGGAAAUCAAAAUAAAAUCAUGUUUUAUUUUCUAAUUUAUAUUGUUGUUAUUAAUAUAUAUUCAGGCUUUUAAGUGUCAUUCGUCUUCCACUUUUUAAUGAAUAUAGUGUGGGUGGGUUUGCCAUGAGUUGGAAACCACCACCAUGUUGUCGGUCAAACCACUCAGAGUUGGGUGAGGGGUCAAAUUUAUCUGGUUUUUGGUGUUAAGGAUGCUAAUGGCCACUCCCUCUAUUAUAAAAUAUUAGAAGUUCUAGGUUUAUCUUAAAUAACAUUUCAUUAAGUUUGACCAACUUUAUGAGAAAACUUACUAAUAAACACAACAUCAAAUGUAUAUAGUAUGACCAUAUAUUUUAGGACCUGAUAACCACAAAAUGUGUGGUGGUUAAGCUUAAACACCUCCAUCCUCCCCAUUUGUUACAUGCAUGCAUGCAUUAGAAUAAUCCUCUGCUCCUCCCACAUGCACUUCUCUCUCUAAUUAUAAUUUGAAAAUUCAAAAUGUUUUGUAGCACAAACUGUCAAUUCGAUUCAAAAUUGUUUUCACAUAAAGAAUUCAUCAUGAUGAGACCUUUGAUACUAUAUCUCAUGUUGAUAUGUUCCGACAACAUUUUUGGGGGGCUCAAAAGGUAUCACGCAUGGGCUACAUAAUUUACAACACAUAUGAUAUGUAAUUUAUCGUGCUAUUUUUAGAUAAGUUGUUGGGGUAUGUUUGUCAACAACUUUUCCCCCUUGGUCAAUGUUAUCGUGGUGUUUGCACGUAAGUCAACUGGUAUGUGGUUCGUAUAUUAACAUAUUAUUUUCACAUAAGUUGCUGGGGUACAUUUUUCAACAAUCCCCCCUUGUCAAUCUUACCACGGUGUUUGUAUGUAAGUUAUCACAUAUUCGGUUCAUAUAUUACCAUG
This 168364-nucleotide long non-coding RNA is filed under the name Triticum aestivum (bread wheat). Its description in RNAcentral is "long non-coding RNA (TAES_LNC006309)". The record is from RNAcentral. Lineage: Eukaryota; Viridiplantae; Streptophyta; Magnoliopsida; Poales; Poaceae.